UGCGUUUUUGGGUCGAUAGGUGAGGUGGUACUAUGUUUUCCUUGAUCCAAUAGGUCGGUGGAACAUCCCGAGCGAAAGAGUCCUGAUUUGGCUCCAACAGGGGGGCGGGCGCCCUGGGCCUGGCCCAGUUUCGCCUCCGCUUCGGUCUCGUGGCUUCUGGAGUCUUCUAGAUGAUGUAAAAUCGUGCGGUGCGUUGAUAUCUCUAUGUAAUCCCGACAUGUGGGCCUUUCUUCCUUAUUUCCUGAUAACCCCCUGCGGAAACAGAUAAACAACAAAACUCGUGGAAUUCUGUCAGAUCAAACCCUAAUUCUAGGUGUUGGUUGCAUUUGGAUCCUUUUCUUUAUUUAUUUGAUAAUUAAAUUUGAUACUUAAGGACCGUCAACAAACUCCCCCAAGCUUACCUCUUGCUCGUCCCUGAGCAAGGAUAGACUUAGCUAUGGAUCAUAAAUUGUUGCAAUAUUUUAAAAAUUGAUGUUACACAUGCUUUUUAAAUAAAAUCUCAUCUCUGAGUUAGAGUAAACUAUCAAGACUUAAAACUUACUUUACCUUCACCAUGGGACUUGUAACCGUCACUUUUGUCUUGAGAGGUUAAAAGAUAGAACAGUCUAGCCAAGUGCCAUGUCUCUUAUUCUUGAUCAGCUAUAGCUCUAGAGUUUUUGCAGAUUUUCAAAUAAAACUCAGAGAUUCCUUGUAUGAUUCUCUCAGAUCUCUCUUUUAUGGUAUUUUUGGAUCCUUACCAAGGCAGUGAUGGUAUAUGCCUUCUCUCAAGAUAUGUAGUAUUUGUGGUAUGAAGCAUAGUGACAUUGUCUUCUCUCUCACCCUACUCUAAUAAGGUUCUGAUAUCUGGAGCUCAUAGGUGGGAGACAGCUAAUACAUACUUACAAGACAUUUAUUGCAUAGUCAAACCAUGGACCCAGAGAAACAAGUCAAUAAGUCAAAUCAAGAUGUGCAUGUGUGGCGAAUGAAUGGUGUAUGGUGAUGAUGAUGAUAAUAAUGGUGAAAGUCUAAUUCUACUUUUGCUCUUUUGAGGGGAUACAUACCUUUCUUGCACUUUGAACCUUUUUGGGGAGAAUAAGAUGCUCUAUAUUUUCUUUUUCUUUCCUCUCAGGUGGGUAUCUUGUACCCCUAAUUCUACUGUCGGACACUUGUCCAUUUUUACCUCUCGUCUCACUUUUUCUUUUCUUUUGAGGUUCCGGGCACUUGCCCCUUUUUAUUUCCUCGUAUAUAUAUUUUUUUUCUCUCUUCUUUUUUUUUAGAGCACUCAUCUCCUGAAAUAAUGUAGCAAGUGGUAGUAACCAAAAUAACUGGAGCAUUUAUUUCACAGGGAAUAACAGGGAUAGGAAAAUGUUUUUGGCUAUUCUCUCCCGGAUUAGGAGUAGAAUAAUUUUGGGUGAAACUGGAGAUGGAAAUGAGUGGAUAUAUGUGGAUGGUACUUCCGGAGUAGAAGUAGCAUGUAUGAGUGAAUGUGCAGGUGAAUCUUGAUUUUAACCACAUGACAAGCUCCUAAGGGUCUACACAGCUUGACCACACUCAAUGCUCAUAAGCAGUAAAAAGUAAAUAUGUGGCUCAAAGUCUAGCAAGCAUGUAUAUAUGGCUGUGGUAGGAUUUUAAACUCUCAUCAUACAGGAACUCAUCAUGUGUUAUUUUAAAGAUUUUUUUAAAGAUAAAAUUCUCCAGAAUUCUAGCAUCUCUAGGAACAGAUAAAAAGCAGCUCAACCUUCCCAUAUCAUAUCCAUUAACGACUUAGACUUUAGAUCAAGUACUCUUCCCACAAGUUUAGGUUUAGAGCAAGCUUUAAAUUAUAACAGUUAUGUCUAAACUUGAGAGAGAUUUCAAUUUUAAGAACUAGUCAUGGCAGAGCAACUAUUCAUCAUUUCCAUGAGAGAGCUUAUCAUGAGGGUUCAUAGCAAAUUUUAUUUAUUUAUUUAUUUAGAAAACUAAGCAAAGAUAUAUAUAUAAAAGCACAAAAUCUUUAUUUGGGUUUUUCAUAGUUUAAUAUUCUAACAUAAUAUAAGUAUAAAGAUAGGUAGAAAUACUUAGCAAGAUAAAUGGGGGUGCUCUCCCCCAAGCUGAAUUUUGACGUAAUUUCUUCUGAUGUAGCUAGCAGGUGAUGGAGGUGUAUUUGAAAGUCGACAGCACCCCGACAGCGAUUAGGAUGUCUUCCGUCUGCUAGUCUUCUUUGAUCCUUGAAUUCUGUGGAGCUCAAAUAGACAACAAAGCUUUGUGGAACUGAUUAAGUAGCAUAAAUAUCUAGCCUUUAUCAUGUUGAGCCUCCUCAAUAUUACUUAUUUAGCAGGAUCAUGCACUUAUUAUUUUUAUAUUUUUAUUGUAAGAUGAAAACUUAUUUAUUUUAUUUUCAUGCCACCACAGUGAAUGUACUUAUGGGUUUUAUGCCAUGAGCAUACUCACAUGAGGCUUACUAUUUUUUUUAGCAUUUUUAUUUUCUUUUCAAGAUAGCAUGAACCUGAUUAACUAAGCAAAACUAUUGAAUGGAAAAGGAUAACUACCAAGUUUACCUCUUGGCAAGGCGUUCAGUGUUUUUAAGUCCUCCGAACGGGACUCUCCAUUUUCUUAGUCGUCCUGGGAUUUGCCGGGUGGCGUAGUCGGUGGUUCCGGCGGCGCCUCCUCUUCGUGUAUGACUAUCUUCUCUUUCCACACCUGACUCGGUGCUACGGUCUCCUCAGGACAGUUCUGUUCAAGUUGUAUGUCUUCAGUCCUUAUCACUUCUCCUUCGUAGUCUACCCAUCCGUCCUUGAUGAUUUGCCUCCUCUGGUUGCGGUUGCAUUGUCUUCUUCUUGUCCCGACCUGCUUAGAAUCUUCAACUAUAUAAUCAUUAAAGUAGUGGCGUACCUUCUCAGAGGGGAAAUGCAUGUAGACUUCUCCGGUUCUAAUAUAGAUAAUGGCUUUGAUAGUGUUUGAGGAACGGUCUUCCAAGGAUGAUGGGUGGAUCGAACUCGUCUUCUCCCAUGUCAAUGACCUGAAAAUCAUCUUGAGCUGAAUAUAUUGGUUGUAGGGGCAUGGUUCCAUGCAGGAGCUGAUAAGUGACUGCGGCCAUUAUGUUGUCGUUAGAUCCGGUGUCGUAGAGUGUCUUCUGAAAAGAGUAUCCGUUGAUUGUGCAUUCGAUUCUUGAAACACCAGGGUCGUCCUUCUUGAUCAAGAAAGGUGACUUGAGUCGACGAUCUUGACCUCCUUGAACUGCAGUGACCAACUUAGCUGACUCGGUCCACAUUUGCUUGUUCCUGUUCCUCCUGUUGGUCCUCUUCCUUGGUUGAUGUCGGGGUUGCUCUGAACUUUGUGUAGUCUUGUUCUUGAAGGAAAGUCUCCUUCUUCCCCUUGAUGUAGAGACUGAUCUUGGCAGCAUUAGCGUAGAUGACAGCUCUAGUGUUUAGGAAUGGCCUCCCUAAGAUGAUUGGUGCCCUCUCCUCAGUGCCAGUCUCUAUCACCAUGAAGUCUGCUAGAGCAUACAAGGUACCAACUCAGACGCAGAGGUUCUUCAAUAUUUCCUUUGGGAAACUGAGUGUCCGAUCUGCAACCCUGGGCAUAAUGUUGACGCUGGAGCCAAAGUCGCAGAGUGCUUCUGGGAAGUCCACCAUGCCGAUGGAGAUCGGGAUGACGGGGCGUCCUGGAUCACCUCUCUGAGUAAUUAGGCCUCUGUUGAUUCCAACCUUGAUGUUGUUGAGGACGGUUGUAGUAAUAGUUGUUUUUGUUGUUGAUGUAGUUCACGUCCUCAAGCAUCUCAGGGCAGUGAUUGCCUGAGCGUCCAGUAUCUCCAGUGUUUGUGCUCGUAGAUCCUAGUUCUUCACUUGGUGGAAUCUGGGAGUUGUAAAACUCCUUCAUAUUAUGCUUGAAGUGUUCCUGCUCAUAGAGACAAGGUAGAGAUCAAGUGCAUGGGCCCUGUUGGUGGAAAACACCAAUAGAACCAAAAGUGUAUUUGUUCUUCUCUAACCUUAAGCAUAGUGAGCAAGACAAAGUUGGUGGAUCAUGAGUGUAGCAUUUGUCAGAUCAGAUGGCUCAACAUAAUGGAAAGAUAAUCUAUCUAUAUUUAUGUUUUGUUUAUAUCUUCCAAAGAUUGCAUGUGCAAUACUUUAGCUUAUAUGAUUAGGAGUGUGGGGUCACGAAGGUAGUACUAAGAACAAAGAUUAAAGGACUAAACAUGUUGAAUUAAUUGAGUUGGUUAAUUUGGAGUUAUAAAUCAUACAUGUUUGUCUCUUUAUUUAUGUGAAUGCCAGAACCAAGGAGGAGCUUAUAAAAGUGUUAGUCAAGUACCUUAUGAUGUUACCUUAAUUGAAGAGUGAUGGUACAGUAUCACCUUGUGGAAGCUUUCCUUUCUUAGCGGUUGUGCAUCGUGUUUGUGGCACCCUCCAUGAAUCAUCUCUUAUGAGCUACGUCUUUCUUGUGCAAAUUGUUAAACUUCAUGUGUCACUUUCUUCAUCUCUAAUGAGUUUGCAUCUCAGGACUUCCCAGGUUGUUAUUGAAAGUUUUCCUGCAGGGGUUAGUCCAACAAAAUAUACCAAUAUCUACUCAAGCAGUUUUUUAGUUCAGUAACCAAACUAGACUCCAUGUCUAAUCAGAUUAAGGAAGGCUAUUUAACCUAAGCACCACGCUUAAUUUAAAUGCCAUUGGAAGUGUGACCAGUACUUCCAAACUAACACUUACUAGGAUAAACAAAGGUAGCAUGAUGGCUUUUAUAGAGAUCUACUCAAGUGGAGAUGAAGUAGUGUGAUUAGUAUUUAACAAAUUGAGCAUGUCUCAAAGGUAGGGACAACCAACAUAGCAACAUGGCAAAGGAUGUUUUAUGGAAAGUACUCCCCCAAGCUUGAAUUUUGCAAAAUUCAAGAUUGGAUGAAUUUAAUUUAAUGUUGCAUGAUGAUUGGUUGGGCAUACCUUGUGCUUGUCAUUCAUCCGAUCUUCUUGCUCCAAUCCUAGAAAGGUUAGUGACAAGAAUACCCGAAGGAAUAUUUCUACAAUUAUCUUUAUAUGCUCAAUACACAAGGCAAUGUUGCAAAUAAUUAGAAGUGCUUGUUUUAGGACACUAAGCUUGUCCUUGGGAAACCAUCAAUUAACUCAAUGAGAUCUGCAAUAUUUAUUAUAGACAUAUGCAUCGACAACCGCUCUUUUAAAGUUUUUAUAAAUAGAAAAGAAGAGGGGGUUGGAGAUCUCAAAUGUGGUAAGGAUGGAGAGACAAAUUGAUUGGAGAGAUGUUUUAUAUGAGCAAGGACUAGGUGAGGUAUUUAUGAAAUAACUUCCAUGCUCACUGUUGUUUCUCUCAUUCUCAAACUCCAACGAUGAUUCUUCAUGAAUGUUUAAAAUUCCUCUAGGAUUGUCUCUCAAGUUUGUUUUAUCUAACCAUUCAAUGGUGAUAGCACAUGGAUUUUUAAUGCCCUCUAGCCAUUGAUGUUGCUCUUCUCGAUCCUCCUUCUUAUGCAUGGGAUGUCUAGAAAGAUUCAUAGGAUUAUCGGGAGGUUCAAGAGGAAGAGCAUAGUAGAAACUAUUAAGCUCAAGGAUGGGAUGGAUAGCCAAAUCAUGGGAUUGAAAUGUUUGGAAAUCGGCUAUUGAAACUUCCUUUCCUCGUCUGGGAGAUGAUUCCUUCUCUAUCUCUAAGAUUUUUCUAUGAAGACUAGUACAAGAAGGAUGUCCACAAAUGAAGACAUACCUUCCUUUACUAAUAGAUAAAGAAAGAAGGACUCUACCAAAGGUUAUAUGAUUAAGACCAAUGUGAAAAUAUUUAGGAAAAACAUGGUCUUGUAGGGCUAGGUCUAAACCAGAAUUUAUAGAAAGAUUAACAAAUUCUCUAGGUGUAGCUAGAAGUGCAUUAUCUUUUUGAUUAAAAGAUAGGACCUCGGCUAUAGAAAAGGGUUGGUUUUGACCUAUUGCAAUCAACUCCGGACACAGAUCAUAAUUACGGGCAGGACGUGUUGACUCCCAUGGUCUAUCGCUGGUCUCCGAAGGUGCAAAGAAUUCAGUAAUAGGUAUGGAAUAUAAGUUAUCCAUAAAGAUAAAAAUAAAAAGAUAAAAGAAUAAAAGUAUAAAAGUAUAAUACAAGAUAAUAGCAAGACUCAAAGUUAUCUCGGCAAACCGUCUUUCUCCCCGGCAACGGCGCCAGAAAUGCUUGUUGAUAUUUGGUAACGCAAUAAGGAAAUGAUCUGCAAGCGCACAGAUAUCGGUGAGCAUUUCACCCGGGAGGUUUUCCAGAGUAUCGUAUUUAUAUUUUUACCACUGGGAGAAAGGGUGCAUCUGACUAACCAAAUCUAUUGCUACUAUCCCUUUAGGCUACAAAGAAUGUCUCUCGAUGUGAGUGAUGUAUAGAGAAGACUGCAACCGUAGUCUCGUUCUAACCUUGGUAAGGAUGAUCUACUGUUCUAUUGGGGAGGCUCACGGAAUCUAGACAACACAAGGGAUGUUCGACCCGCACCUUUAACCCUACCCGUCCUGCUAACGAGAUGUGAUCUACAAAGGUAACUCGGAAAUGUCACGUUCCUCGCUACUACCACGGUCCAGCUAGUGAGGGGAUAUCUAUGAGUACCCUAGCCUAAACACCACGUUUACGCUAACAAGUGAUUACUCUAAUACUCAACCGGAAGAGGAUUAAAGUAAACUCAUAAACCAAAGAACAAUAAAACAAGAACUUACUAGUAUUAGAAGUCGAAUUACUGAAGAAUCUUAGAAGCAAGCCUCGGGUUAGGAGACUUGAUCCCGUAGGUACAACUCGGAGUAGACACCGUCAGGCCGGCCUUCCUCCGAUCCACACCUCCACUCUAUCUCUCUCAAUCUAGUAGAAACUAGAAGAUCUAUUUCUACCUUACAUUGGUUGCUACGCCUAAAAAAGAAAUAUUAUUUAGAGAAGAGGUUUUCCUUCGAGGGCACCCCUCAAUCUCUAUGAUAAUUUCUUGUCUUCUCCAGGGCCAGGGGGGCCUUGCUUAUAUAGUCCUCCCCUUCUAUGCGUUUUUGGGUCGAUAGGUGAGGUGGUACUAUGUUUUCCUUGAUCCAAUAGGUCGGUGGAACAUCGCGAGCGAAAGAUUCCUGAUUUGGCUCCAACAGGGGGGCGGGCGCCCAGGCUACCAGGGCGGGCGCCCUGGGCCUGGCCCAGUUUCGCCUCCGCUUCGGUCUCGUGGCUUCUGGAGUCUUCUAGAUGAUGUAAAAUCGUGCGGUGCGUUGAUAUCUCUAUGUAAUCCCGACAUGUGGGCCUUUCUUCCUUAUUUCCUGAUAACCCCCUGCGGAAACAGAUAAACAACAAAACUCGUGGAAUUCUGUCAGAUCAAACCCUAAUUCUAGGUGUUGGUUGCAUUUGGAUCCUUUUCUUUGUUUAUUUGAUAAUUAAAUUUGAUACUUAAGGACCGUCAACAAUCAUGAUCCCUUAUAGUCCACAAUUAGGGUGUUUCAUUCGUUGGACACUCCUUAGGGAUUCAAAUUUGUCCUUUUGAGUUCCCUAAACACCUUGUGGUUGUGAUCGACUUUUGAUCUCAGUUACAUUCUUGGUAUUGUGAGACAUGGGUUCUUGUUGUGGUGCCCUAUAGUGGUGCCAUGUCCCGUGACCACGGUGCCGCGUCGGAACCUAGAGUCUUUUGUGUGUCCGGAUGACACAAAUUUCUACUGGGCGCGUGUAGGUAUCGAGGUUAUGGACAUGAUCCAUUAUAGCCCCACAACUAAGGUGCCCUCGCUCUUUGAGCCCUAUCAUGGGAACCCAUGCCCAUAUCUUUGUGGGAAUUACCUAAAACCCUUGACUUGGAUAACCGUCAUAGGUUGAUUGAAAGCUAUUGUAACCGUACUCUAUAGUAGGUACCAUGAUCCGUGAUCACGUUAUAGUGUCGAACCUUGUAGUCUCCUGUGGAACCGUGGCCAUAAGGAAAUACUACCAGGUUCUCGUUAAACAUCGGGAUCUCUGGUCAUGCUCCACUAUAGUCUACAGUUAGUAUGCUUUCAUUCUCCUUGGAAGCUCAUUUGAAGAUUCAUAUCUUCUUAUGAGUUCUCUAAAAUUCCUGGUUGAUUACAACUUUCUGUUGAUCUUAGCUGUAAUUCUCAGACCAAUUGUAAUUGUUUUAUGAACUUCUCAGAAGUUAAUGUGCUUGACACAUUUCCUUUUCCAUUACUUAACCCCAUGGGUUUUAGUACCCUGGAAAUCUCGGGACGAGAUUUCUUUAAGGGGGAAGGGCUGUAACAUCCCUGAUGUUACGAACAUUAAAACAGGAUCAUGUCAUCAUAAGCAUUGCAAAGCAUAUUUGUUAAGCACAUCAUGAUGCAUCAACUUAAAAUAAGUUUAAUUUGGUUGAAUGUGCUCAGGGAAUUAAAGUGUGAUUAUCUUGUAUAUCGAUGCUUGUGUUGGUUGCUAAAACCCUAGGGUGAAAGAUUUCCGAAAGGCUUAGGGGGGGGGAAACCCUGAUUUUUGAACCCUAGAACUGCCCCCCUUUUGUACAAUUUAAAAACCAAGCAAAAUUUGAGGUUGAGUUCAAAAGCAAAGUUGUAGAUCUUGUCAAGAUGUACAACUUUGGUGUUUUGAGUUUUUGAAGUUUCAAUAUAAAAUUUAAAGUAAUUUUGAAAAUACAGAUUUCCAGAAAUUGUCCUCUUUUCCAACUUGAAUCUCUAAUUCAAAAUCUAUUUGGAAUCCUGAAAAGUGAUCGAAAUGAAAGUGGUAGGGCUAAUCAAAAUGAACAACUUUUAUUUUGGGAGUUUUUCAAGUUGUUGAGAAAAAUCAAAAGUAAUUUUAGAAUUUCUAUUCUGCCCCAAUUCAAACCAGUUUUGCCCCCAAAUUGAAUUUUUGAAUUUCAAACUGUUUUCCUCAAAUUCAUGCCCUUCCACUCAAAAUCAGUUCUGGACUCUUAAUGAUGUUUUGUAGCAUCCAAAAUUUUGAACAACUUAUGUUUUGGCGGAAAUUUGAGUGCUAUUCAGAUUUUGGGAAUAAUUUGGAAAAUGAGGGGGAAGGGAUUAGGGCGAGCUACAGUAGCUCCACCUAUUGCCACCGGCCAGCAUCGCACUCCAGCGCCGUGGUGGACGCGCUGGCGUCCGGCAUGCCCUCCACGCAGCUGUGCGCUUGCUUGCCCUUGCCUAUUCCACGCCAUCCUCAUCCGAAGCGGACGACAGCGUCCUCCUUGCUUCCUAUUUCUUUCCCUGGUGUCCUGCCGCCGCAAGCCAUGGCCGCCAUACGUCACCCCACCAUGACCAGAGCUCUCCAGCGCAGCUCCACUCUAUCCGUUUGGUGUUAUAGCUCCACCUCUAUUCGCUGAUACCUAUGAGCCUCUCGUUUCAUACAACACGGGCUAGAACUCCGUCGUGCCGCCGUGUUGCGGACCGGCAAACCGCCAUGGCAACCUGCGCACGUGGCCAGGAGGCCAUAAACCUUCUCCGGCCAAGCCACACACACCAGCGCGAGCGCGCAAGCCUCAGGGUGCUCCCCAACGCUUUCCCUCUCUGCCAACAAGCGUCCACCGGCCGGAAAUCAGGUUUUCUCCGACAUCCUCUGCUCUGGAUUCGCGACCAGGGACUUCGCGCGACAAUUUGAAGUUCUCCAGGGGUCUAAUUGCACAGACUGUGACUCAGGUGAAUAGUGCUAUAAAGACUUGUUUGUAGAUGUUUUGUUGAAUCUUUGAAAAUUCAUAUCUGGAGUUUGGUAACUCCAAUUUUGGUGAAAUAAAUUUUGUUGUGCUCCUUGAGAUGUCUAGUUUUUAUUAAAGAUAUGAAACUGUCCAUGUUUUGUAGUAAAAGAAUUAGUUAUGAUUUAUGCCUUUUAUUUAUGUUUAAAAAGGAGAAAUUCAUAUCUCAUUCUGUGUAGCUCCUAUAGGCCUGAAAUUUUUAUGAUGUUCUCAUGAUGUUAUGUGAGUGUUGCAGUAAAGAUUUCAUGUUCAGUGGAUAAUAUAUGGUUAAGUUAUUAUUUUAUCUUGUUUAGUGCUUAUUAAAUUGUCUAUAAUUAAACUAAAAAUUAAUAAAUGUAAAAUAUGGUUCCUGUACCUUUAUAUGAGGUUGUUAUAUCAUAUAGGUACAUAAUUUAGCUAUGUGUUUGUAGAAAAUGUCGAGUUUCUUAUUUAUCUUGUUGUUACAUGCUUCCUUGUGAUGGAAAUUUAUCUUUUUCAUGGAAAUUGCUAUACUUAUCCAAAUGGCAUGAAAUUUAUACAGUAGACUUUGGAGAGCAUAUAUGAGCUUCUGUAGUUUUCUCAGAAUUUACUGUGUACUUUUGAUAUAUGGUUAUUACUUUGUCUAUUUAUUUAAAUAAAUUAAUAAAGACAUGAAAGGUAUUUAUUUAGGGAUGGCCAUGAUGUUUUCUAGUAUCUCUUUGAUGUAUUUCAACUGUUGGUGAGCUGGGUUUUGCCUAGGUUCAAGUUUGGAACAUAAAUGAAAUGUUAUUUCUCGGUAAUUCAAUUGUUAGUGGUUUCUCGAUAGUUUUUGGAGCAUUAUAAAUUGCUCUAGGUAAAUAAUGUUGGAUAUGAAACUUGUCUACAACAAAGUUGUAUAUAAUUCAUGUAUCUACUUGGUGUUAAAUUUUGGUGGCAUUUGGCCCUAUAGUUUCUGAGUUAUGCCUGUUUAAAUUUAAGUUUCAGAAAUGGUUUCUCUCUGUCAAAUCCUGGAUCAGUUGCUGUAGUUGUGCAAUUUCGACCUACUAAACUUGUGAAUCAUGCUUUGAUGAUGAAAGAUAAAUUGUAGCAAUUUUCAUAGGCUUUCCAAAAUGUUAUGGAUCAUGACUUUUGGUGAUCUAGAACUCUGGUUAUAGAUGUAUGAAGCUUAAUGUCUCAUUCUGUCCAAGGUCUGGACAGAAUUGUUUAUUCAUACUGUUUGGCCAUUUUAUCUAUUAAAUCAGUUCUCGAAAAUAAUAACAAAGUUGUAGAAAAUUAUCUAAGCUUUCCAGAAAGUCUAAUAUCACCUUUAUUGGAUGCUUGGAUCUCUAAUUAUGGUUGAGUGAAGUUGCGUAUAUGCUGCUGUCCUGGUUAUGUGUGCAAAUAGAGUUGAUUGUUUUUUUUUUGCUAGCCUUUACUUAAAUAAUGAGUAGCUUAAUCUCUCAAAUAGGAUUUGAGUGAUUUUGGGAUUGUAUGAUGACCUAAGGUCAUUAACCUUAAUGACCUUUGGCAUUUAAUUAUUGUUUGAUGUUAAUACUUACUUACUGCUACUAAUACUUAAUUAAGAAUUAAUUAAGGUAAAAAGGUUUAAUGGUCAGUUAAUUAAGGAUAAUUAGGAAUUGAGAAAGGUCUUAUUUUACUAAUGCAACCUCUUGGGUAAAAACACUAAGAUCAUAAACAACUUUAAUUACUGUUUAGCCUAUUUUUGCACCAAGAAGGAAAGUUGUACUCAACUCGGUCCUUCUUAAAUAUAUGUCAUACGCAUAUCAUGAGCAUCCAUCAUUUUGCGUAAAGUGCACGUGACCGAAGGAGCGACCGUUGAACCGAACCCCGAGGCCGGUGCUCCGUUCGAGGAAGUAGGAUCCGAGACUUGGGAAGUCUCCGAGGGUCCCUCUCAGCUCUGCAACCAAGGCAAGCCCCAGAUGCAUUAACCCCUCCUUGAAUGUUUUAAAUCUUUUAUCACUUAUGAAUUGAAAAUGCUGCAUUAGGUAGUUGAGAAUUGGGUUAACCUACUUGCUGCAUUUACUACCUUGUUAUCUGUUAUCCUGUCCUUGACACCUAUUUUAUUUUAAAAAUUGCGUAGUGAUGCUUAGCCCUGCUACUAGAUAGGUUUUCAAACAAGAAAGUUUGAAGGGUUGUUGUGGAAUACUCUUAUGAUCAAUGAUAUUUCAACUUGAGACCGGUCGGUGGACUUGCUUUAAGAAUGGAGUCUUAAAGUAGUGUCUCCAACUGUGUCGGUUAAGGACCGGUCCGUUGGUGGGCUGAUGGGUUGAGAAUUUAUAGUACUAGCCACUUGCCCUCGGUAAGCCCGGUCUUGUGAUCCCUCGACGCGAACAGCUACUCGCGCACUGGGCGUGGAGCGAUGGCGAGAGUAGUGUGUACCCACCUUACGGAUCUGAGAUGACCGGGAAACAUCUAGAUCGGCUGUAGGAGGGUGGAGUACUGUGCUCUCGGGUGCCGCGAACCUGGUCAAAUUUGGGGAGAGCUUGAUUUGGGUUGAUAUAAGCAAGAUUUGGUUCUACAUAUGUCGGGUGGUUAGGAACUCCAGCUGGAUUGCUAAGCGGUUCGAAUCGUCGUUGCUCCCCGAUUGGGAGACUCAAUCCACUGACCCUCAUCGUAGUUAAAUAUGCAACUAAGUGAUAAAAGAAGAAAGGGGAAAUGUCUCAUGAGGUUCGGAUCCCAAUUCCCGGACUUAGAGUGACAUGAAGCUAUGGCCGUUGGAUGGAUACUACUUUAGUUAAGGACUAGGAACUUACAGACUUGUCUGUGAGAAGCAACUAGAUAGACUGUCCUCGAACUCCUCGACCUCUUAAGGAGAGGAAUUCAUGGAUAAAACUUGAAAAUAAGGAUGCACUAUUAGUAAGCUUUUUGGCAAAACAAUUUGGCUCCUUGCUCAGCCACUCCUUGUCUACCCUAAGCCUGCAUUCCUAAGUUCUCCCUUUUUCCGCCGGGUAAGUCUUGUUGAGUACUCCCGUACUCAGGGUUUUAUAACCCCUGUUGCAGGUGCUGACUUAUGCUGCUAAUGGAGGUCAUGUCGGUGGGCGCGACAAGAUUUAUCCACCUCUUCUACCUUAGAAGCUUCACCUAAGAUGCUUCCGCUACUCUACACACCUUUUGGAAAUUUAGUUGUUUAUAUUCCAUCAUAUGUUGUAAAUUGAGCUAUAAAUCUUCCGCACUCCGAUGUAAGAUAUUUUUGUAAGAAAUAUUGUAAUGUUGUGGAAACUCCAUGUUGCUCCUGUAUGAGUUAAAAUGUGGAUGAUUCGGGGUCCUCUAAGGGCACCCCACAGACUAUCUGGGUUAUAUGACUCUCAUGUGCAGUAAUCAGAGGUCUUAAUGACAAUGAUAGGUGCAUGUGGGCCAUAAAAUUUAGGUGGUUCUGCCACAAAGGGGGGAUCGGGAGCGAACUCAUCAGAAAAAGCAGUAUAGCCUUUUAAGGAGCCCAAGACUCCUUAAAAGACACGGGGGCUACCCCCACGAGGGUCGCUCGUGCGACCCCACGGAAACUCGACCAAUGGAAAAGCCUCUACUCGAGCGCAAGCACUCGAGUAGAUACUCGGGGGCUACUGUCGAGGGUGUCAGUAAGGGGUAUCUCAACCGACGCUCAUAACGAAAGGACCCAUACAUAAGUCGAGGCCCAAACUCGACGCCCUCGCUUACACUCGUGAUCACCAAAGCUCAAUGUCGACCAUAGCCUCGAACACGAAAAUAAGGUCGUGCGAAUUGACAGAGGCUCGACUAAACAACAACCGUCGAAUACGGAAGUGGCUCGGGCGAAUCGACAGGCCUCGAGCGCAUAGGCGCCGUCCGCCGCCUAUCGCGGGUAUGGGAGCCAGGGCAUUUAAUGCGCCUGCCAUGCUCUCACCUACCCCGACAGUCACGGGAAACAUGAUAGGGAACAAGCACCGGUCCAAUCCCCACUUUUCACAGCUUUAUCCCCCUUAUAAGCAAGAGUACAACCAAGCACAGUGUGACAGUCGAGACGUCACGUCACGGUGUCCCUCGAGGCACCGAGAGUCAGCGCACCGCUCAACGAAGCCAUACGCAGUACCGAACCCUCGAGCAAAUACGUUCCUUCCUAGGGAAGGGUUAGGCGAUGAAUGUCAGCGCUUCAACCACCCUAGACGUGACCACUGCCACGACGUACAGGCACGCUCGAGACUAAGCCAAUCCGAGACAAUGUAUAGGGGCCAAACCUAGAAGCACGCGUGAUCAUCACCAAAGUACCCAAUAACAUGACGGCUCGAAGCCACGCCGGUACGGAGGCCUCGAGUAGGUCAGCGCGCCAUGCCCCUAUCGAUCCCUAUUCUGUUGCCUACGACUUGUAAUCCAGGUCUCCCCUUGGAACUAUAAAAGGGGACACCGAGGAAGAGAUACGGGCAAGGAGACACUACACGUAGAACAACCUUCCAUACACCCCUGUACAAGCACUUAGCUGCAUGAAUGUAGAAGAUCUCCCCCCCGGUGGACGUAGGGCCUUCUAUUGCCCGAAACAGGAUAAAUAAUUGUGUCACUCUUGUAUCACCAUCUGGAAAAGGGAACACGCACACAAAUUCACUCAUUGGUGUUACUCCUCGGGGUCAAAACACCGACAUAGAGCUGCUCUGUCGGCAAUACACUGAGCAGCCUUUUGAUAUUGGAGUUGGCGGCUUUCUAGAUGACUAGUUUGGAAGAGUGCUUUGUUGACACCAGAAGUGGCAAACGGUUAUACCGCAAGCGUACGGUAGUCAAUGUAGCCUUCACCGGGAGUAUUCCAGGUAUCGUGAUUUCCACGGGGAACGCGAAGUGAAUUAACUAGGCUUUAGAUCGUUAGGUGAUGAUCAAAGGGUCUAGGAUAAUGGGGUAGAGAGGUCUAACUAGUUAAUGCCUGGUCUUGGUAAUUAAGUAUAGUCAAGGUUUUUCACCUAACUCUUUACUGAGGGCGAUACCCGAAAAGGAGGAUUGAGUUAACGAAGUUUUUCACCUCCUCGUCUCCUAAGCGACUACCCUGCUCAGCCCAACUAUUAUUUGCAACUUGCCUACAACAGAUGCGAGGAACUUUCCGCCUAGCGAGGACUGUCACUCUCACACUACGUGUCUACACAACUGCGACAAGGAGUCCACACUGGCAAGAAGUAGUCUAGACACCACGUCUAAACUAGCUCUUGCUACCCUAAGCUUAGCUAAAGCUAAGAGCACUCAAGAUCAAGCAAUGUGCCAGUAAAGGAUUCUUAUACUUAAAGUACCAGACCAAAUAUUAAAUACUAGAAAAGACUCAGAAGUAAGACUUACAAGAAGACCUGCUUCCGCUGAGGUGCUCUGCGAAGAAGACUCCCGACAGGCCGGGACUCCUCCUUGGAACUCCUCACUCUCUACUCACUAUGAUAGCACUAAGCUACUAAAGUAGUUUACUCCUAAGAUACAUGACUCUUAAGUGAAGGAAUAGGGGGGUAUUUAUAGUGGGAGAUGGAGUAGGGGCUACUCCGGUGCCACGUCAGCGAUCCGCGUCAUCUUCAUCAUGCACCAUUGGAUCAAACCGACUUCACAACCGCCAUCUGAUCAACGGUAGAGGCAAACUAACAUGUGCAACAUGUGGGCAAGGUCGGUGGGAGGCCAACCGACCCUGGAACCGCCAUGAAGUGGGGUCGGCCGACCCCCUAUCUGGCUGGUUGGGCCCACCUGCAGUGUCCUGGAGGCUCUCUGAUGUCGGUGGAGUUGAGCUGACCUGUGGGACCCACCAAAGUGGGGUCGCCCGACCCCAAUUCUAUGGGGUUAGGGUGUCAGCCCUGUCCUACAUGUCUUCCUCUUCAUGACUAUAAUGUUGUCUUGGUUACUGGUGUCACUGAUCUUUAGUUAUUCACCCCUUCUUAGUGUUUGGACCCUUGAAAAGUACCUGUUCUUACUCCUGCAACCAAAUAGUAGCAUGUACAUGUGGAACUAGGUUAUAUGUACCUAUAUUACUACUUUGUUUGGUUGUUUUCUCCCAAAAUGAGUCUUAUGUUGACGGUUAUGAUAGUAGAAAACAUGGUAUAAAUACCGUCAACAAGACCCCCCACACUUGAGUCUUUGCUCGUCCUCGAGUAAAGGUUAAAAAUGAGUGAUCAAUGGUUUCUAACUUAAGAUAGUAGUGAGCAUAAAAUGCUAGUUCGAACAUAGUUCAUCCAAAUGGGUUUUUGUGUAAGUGUCUAGCAUAUAUCCUUCAGAGGUUGAGAAAAGGAACAACUCUCAGAACAAGAUCAAAUUCCAAUUUCAUAUUCUUGGUACUUAGAGUUUUUAUGACACUUUUUAAAAUAAGUCACAUAGUUCAAUCCUACUCCUCAUUUAGCGCUCUAGAUCACUCAAAGUUUUUUUUUUUAGUAGUCCUCACCAAGGCAUGAAUGCCAACUUGUUUCAUCCUAUAACUAUAGGCUUAUAUGGGGCUUGGUAGGGAUAAACAAGGUAGCAUACUCUACUUUGCAAAUAUUGUUAAGUCAAAAACAAGGAUCCAAAGAGAGGAGUGUCAUAGUCAUAGAUCAAGAUGUGCAAGUGUGUUAUAUGGUGGACUAGGUUGCUCCUUUAUUUGCUACACUCUCUCUACUUGUAUAUUGAGACAUGGCUAGAUUUUCUUUUUCUUCGAGCUUUAUGUGCUCAAUUUUUUUUUUAAAUACUUCAUGGACUUGCACAUGUCCAUUUUUUUCUUUUUCUUUUAUUUUGCCAAGCCUUUUAUGUCUCAUUUUCUAAACAAUAUUUAGAGAGGUGUUCUAACACUUAGAGUAUGGAGCAACCUAUUUAGUGGAUGCACAAUACAUGUGGUUGCGUACUUCCAGUGUAGAAGCAGCAUAUAUAUAUGUGGUGUGUACGUGAUCUUGAUCUUGUGACUAUGAUACAACUCUCACUAGGGUCAACAAGGUUUUGACAAAACUCAUUACAAAAGCAGGUUGCAUUUCAUAAAAUGGUUACUUGAAUAUCUAAGUGUAUGGCUUUUGGUGGGAAUUUCUUGCUAAUGAGGAGUAAAUGAUACUAUGGUUUUGUGAUAUUUUUGAAACAAAUCUCUAAGUACCUUGAAUAGAAAUGUUAUGAAUUCUUAGCCAAGAGUUAUAUCACUUUCAUCAACAACUUAGUCAAUAUGGUUCCUAUAGAUUUUUACCCAUGAGGAUGAACAAUUGUAAGAACUAUACUUUAUGUCACAAUUUCUCUUAAAUCAUGAACCAGUUCACUUUUUAUUUUGCAAACAAGUUUAAACUAUCAAAUUUUAUUUUAAUUGUGACACAAAGGUAGAGAAUUGGACAGACUGAGAGGGGGAAGAGUUAGCAAACCGGGCAGGAAAGAUGUGUUUCGUCGUAUAGAAGCUUCCUGGUGGGCCCAGGGCUCUAUGGAGGGGUCGGCCGACCCCACCUGGAGGUUCCUGGCCCUGCCACUCGAUUCUACGUCCCUCGGGAAGUCUUUCUGCACUUGUGUCGUUUCCUUUUGCCAUAGAAAGGGGGUCGGGCGACCCCCUCAUCGCGCCUGUUUUUGGUGCCAUGACGUGCCAAGGUGUAUGCAGUGUUGUUCCAUGCUCACGGCAGUUCAGAGAUGAAGUUGGGGGGUCGGGCGACCCCCCCACACUUGCAGUUUUCGUGCAGCUGAACUUAAAACAGAGAGACGAUCAAAUGCAGAUGUCCUGCUGGUGGCAACACACCAGCAGGACCAAAAACGACUCCAUUAAAUCAAAUUUCAAUUGUAUAGGCACUUUUACAUUGCGAAAUUCAAAGUGACAAACUGAAAAAUAAAAUUGAGUAAUCAAACCUAAAUAAUCAAAUAGUGCCUAUAACCUAAACUAACUAAUUUAUUUAGGGAGAUGGAGGUUUGAGGAGAUCCUCCCGCCCAAUUGCUUGCGCCUAACGCUUGAUUUUAGCGCUGGUGCUAAUGCGCAGGUGGCGGAAGUGAUCUUCUAACUCAAGAUUCUCCAUCCUGAGCUCCGACACUGUCUCCUCUAAGAUCCUAUUUUUCUUUCUAAGGCUAGCUGUGACUUCCAGGAGCUUCUCGAUGUCGCCUUUUUCUGGAUCUUCUUCGUAUUUGCCAGGCGCACCGUUGAUCGGAGGUGGAUCCAUCUUCCGCCGGAUGGAUGGACUUGCUGACGAGUCAAAGGACUCCCGCAACUCCAUCUUUUCCUUAGAGUUCAGCGGCGGGAUCAGCACCUUCCCCUUUCCCGGCCCACUGCCCACCACUUGGUGGUUCCUCCAAAAGGUUGGGGUGGACGGCGAGUAGGAAGAGGUGUGGAUCGUGUCGGAGGAGAUGGUGAUGGCCUGCUUGGUGGCCAUCGGCGCCUUCUCCCGCAGCGCAAGUUGGCCCGUGGUAGGUCGAAUCGGCGUUACGGCUCGAGUAGGGGACUUGCCGAUGCCCCUGCGCGGUGUGAGCGAACGAGAGGCCGACGCGGAGCGCUGGGUCACCCGGGGCGAGGUCGGGCGACCCCUCUUGGGGUCGGGCGACCCCCACAUGGGGCCCGUCGGCCCUCCAGCCGGCGGCACCAUGGCUAGUGGUUCAGGCUCCAGCACGUUGACGGCUAGGGCAAGCUCCAGGCUCUCAGUUAGAGACCUUUGCGGACGUGGGGAGUUGGAGCGAAUGGCUUGGUUGGAAGAUUUAGUUGGAGGAGCCAUGGAGAUGAAUCUCUUGGCAAGGAAUGGAGGCUAGGAGAGUCUGGUUCGAGGUGAAGAUGAGAAGGAAUGAAUUGAGAGGAGGAAGAAGAAGAAGAGGGGGGAUAAAUAGAUGUGUUUGGAGCCUGAGAGUUUGAAUUUUGAAAAGGAGCGUCGUGGAACGUUUGAGGGACGAUCCGAGACUCCAGGGGAUUUCAAAACUCAAAAUAUUGGGGUCGGGCGACCCCUAUAUUUCAGGAUUUUGAAUUUUGAAUUUCAGCACCGAACUCUAUUCAUUCCCCUCUUUCUAAACCUAUCCCCCCUUGGGCCAAAACCCCUAGAAGAGGGGUCGGCCGACCCCCAUUUGGGGUGUUCGGCGGCCCAACUUUGAUCCUACGUCAUCUAAAACCCUUUACAAACCUAUUUCAAAACAAAAAGGAACUAAAUAUAUUGAUUUAGCAAUUAUUUAAACAAAAAGGGGGUAAAAAGAAGGACAUGUGGAUUUUAAGACUUUGUGUCAGAUUCAAAUUCUAUCAUAUCAACUUCUUCUUCUAAAGGUUCAUGUUCAUGGAAAACUUUAAGACGAUGACCAUUUACCUUAAAGGUGUUGCCGUCGUCGUCCCGCAGCGUUACCGCUCCAUGAGUCGCGGCGUCAACAACGAAGAAUGGUCCUUCCCAUUUGCUCCUUAGCUUUCCAUGGCCAAAUAACUUGACCCUUGAGUUGAACAUGAGAACCUUAUCCCCAGGAUGAAAUUCCUUUUGCUUGAUCCUUUUAUCAUGCCAUCUUUUUGUUCUCUCUUUGUAGAUCCUGGCAUUGUGAUAGGCUUUAUCUCUCCAUUCUUCUAGUUCGGAGAUUUGGAGCUUUCUAUUUCUUCCGGCCGAGGGCAAAUCCAUGUUCCAUUUCUUGAUUGCCCAGUGAGCUCUAUGCUCUAGCUCUACCGGUAGAUGGCAUGUCUUACCGUAUACAAGUUGGUAUGGUGUCAUACCAAUUGGGGUCUUGUAUGCGGUCCUGUAUGCCCAAAGUGCAUCUGGUAGAUGGCUUUUCCAGCCGGUUCCCAUCUUAGUGACAGUCUUCUGCAGAAUGUUCUUGAUUUGUUUGUUAGAUGUUUCUGCUUGUCUGCUCGUUUGAGGGUGAUAGGGUGUUCCAAUGUUGUGCCUUAUCCCCACUUCAGCUAAGAACCGUCGGAAUCUUCUGUCAAUGAAGUGGCUCCCUCCAUCACUGAUAACUAGUCUGGGGGUGCCGAAGCGUGGAAAUAUGACUUCCUUGAACAUCUUUAUCGAAUGUGUAGAGUCGGCUGCUCUGCAGGGCAUUGCUUCGACCCACUUGGACACAUAGUCUACUGCCACUAGGAUGUACUCACACCCUUGUGACAAAGGGAAUGGCCCCAUGUAGUCUAUGCCCCAAGCAUCGAAUAUCUCGACUUGUAAGUUGUUUGUGAGUGGCAUUGCAUCACGAGUAUUGAUGUUCCCAUGCUUCUGACACCUUGCACAUCUCCUCACGAAGUUCUUUGUAUCUUCGUACAUGGUAGGCCAGUAGAAUCCACUCUGCCAUAUCUUGGCAUGGGUCCUGAAUGCUCCAUAGUGGCCUCCGUACUCUGCCCCAUGGCAUUUUUCCAUUAUUUUUACUGCUUCGUCCAUGGGAACACAUCUCCUGAGUAUGCCAUCUUGACAGACUCUGUAGAGGUAAGGAUCGUCCCAUAGGUGCACCCUACUCUCUUUAACAAGCUUCUUCUUGUCUACCCCAGAUGGUAUGUAUCCGGACGCCAGGUAGUUGACUAUGUUUGCAUACCAUGGGUAGGCUUCUGAAACUCGGAGGAGUGUGUCGUCUCGAAGGUAGUCGUUGAUAGGUGGAUCCUGUUUAUCCUCGAUUUGCAUCCUAGACAAGUGAUCGGCUACCGAGUUUUCUACUCCCUUUUUAUCUCUAAUUUCUAAGUCAAAUUCUUGGAGUAGUAGGAUCCAUCUUAUUAAUCUUGGUUUAGCAUCUUUUUUAGUGAGCAAGUAUUUUAGAGCUGCGUGAUCGGAGUAAACAAUCACCUUUGCUCCAACUAAAUAAGAUCUAAACUUGUCUAUAGCAAACACUACAGCCAACAGUUCUUUUUCAGUUGUUGCAUAAUUCAGCUGUGGUCCUGUUAGUGUUUUGCUAGCAUAAGAUAUUGCGUGAUGCUUCUUAUCUUUAGUCUGUCCUAAGACAGCACCUACAGCGUAAUCACUAGCAUCACACAUUAUCUCAAAAGGUAGCGACCAAUCAGGGGGUUGAAUGAUUGGUGCAGAGAUAAGUGCUUUCUUAAGAUAGUAAAAGGAAUCCAAGCACUCAUCAUUAAAAUCAAAGGGUGCAUCCUUUGCUAACAGGUUUGUUAAAGGUCUAGCAAUUUGAGAGAAAUCUUGUAUGAACCUUCUAUAAAAGCCUGCAUGGCCAAGAAAGCUACGGACGCCCCUAACAUUUGUGGGAGGAGGGAGCUGUUCUAUAACUUCAAUUUUAGCUCUAUCUACCUCUAUCCCACGUUCGGACACUCUAUGUCCUAACACUAUCCCUUCUCGAACCAUAAAAUGGCACUUUUCCCAGUUCAAGAUCAAGUGCUUCUCUUGGCACCUUUGUAAGACUCGGUCCAGGUUCUUUAGGCAAUCAUCAAAAGUUUUCCCAUAGACGGAGAAGUCGUCCAUGAAAACUUCCAUGAUUUCCUCGAUCAUAUCGGAGAAGAUGGACAUCAUGCACCUUUGAAAAGAGGCAGGAGCAUUGCAUAGGCCAAAAGACAUGCGCCUAUAUGCAUAUGUUCCGUAGGGGCAUGUGAAUGUAGUCUUACUUUGGUCGUCGGGAUGGAUUGGGAUUUGAUGGUAACCCGAAUACCCAUCAAGGAAGCAGAAGAAAGAGUGUUUGGCUAACCGUUCCAGCAUCUCAUCGAUGAAUGGCAACGGAAAGUGGUCUUUCUUAGUGGCCUUGUUAAGUUUUCGGUAGUCUAUGCACAUUCUCCAUCCCGUGACAGUCCGUUGAGGAAUGAGUUCAUUGUUGUCAUUUUUAACGACCGUCAUUCCUCCUUUCUUAGGAACUACUUGAACGGGGCUGACCCAUUCACUGUUCGGAACAGGGUAGAUUAUGCCCGCAUGCAAUAGUUUUAAGACCUCUUUCUUCACAACUUCUCUCAUCGCAUUAUUUAGCCUUCUCUAAGGCUCCCUGGAAGGUAUAGCAUCGGGUUCGAUAGGGAUGCGAUGAGUGCAGAGUGCAGGACUAAUUCCCUUAAGGUCUUCUAACGAGUAUCCUAAGACAGAGCGGCGUUCUUAUAAGACGAUGAUGAGUUUGGUGACUUCUUCUUCUGUCAGUUGAUCACUAAUGAUUACCGGAGUCUCUCUAUCAUCAUUAAGGAAGGCGUACUUAAGUCCAGAGGGAAGUGGCUUAAGUUCUAUAGAGGGUUUUGGUGGUGGUUUAGAUUCAUCCAAGUCUAAUGGUUCUUCUAAUUUGUUCUCUUCUUCUUGGAUGAAGUUUUCGGCGUCUUCUUCUAAGUCAGGCUGAGAAGCGUCCAGAAGAGAUGCCGACAUCACCUCCUUUAUUGGGUCAGGCUCGGGCGGGGUCUCGGCUUUAGAAUUAAUAGAGCCGGCAAAAGGCAUAGAAAGGUCUAAGCCCUUCCCGAGGUUACCCUUGAGACGCCCUUCAUGAAAUCCAUUUAGGAACCUCAUGAUGGGGUGCCCGAUUAACAAGUCAACUUCUUUCAUAUCAAAGAUAAAGAAGUUUAGCAGAAUGUUGACUUUGUUAAUGGAGACAGGAAUAUUCUGUGCAAUCCCACAACUCUCGACCAUUUCCCCAGAGGGUAAUUUAAGAAAUUUGCUGGUCGGGGUUAAUGGUUCCUCGCCUAGGAGUGUCAGUACUAAUGAUUUGGACAUUAGGCUUACUCCUACAGCAGGGUCAUAAAGGGAUUCUAUAGGAGUGGAGUUUAUGACACAGGGAAUGGGUGUAAAACUCGAGACAAGUUUGAUGACAUCAGAUGAUGUCUCAGCUUCUCUAACCCAUUCAUUACUCAUAAUAGCCGUGAGUUCUUGGGCAGUUGCCCUGAGGUAACCAGCCUCAAGAUGAGCUGGGAUAUGGCUAUUCGGAGCUCUGCGUGCUGUAGAUCUCCUUUGCACAGGUUGAUUCGAGACAUUGCCAAAAUCGGCAAAUAGAUCAGUCUCGAUGUUAAGUGGGUAAUCCAAGGGAUGAAUUACUUCUUCCCUUGGAGGUGCUUGUGGUAUUGGUUCAGGUUCGACAGCUUGGGUUGCGGCUAAAGGAGUUUUGGCUGUCGAAGGUUCAUCCCUAGGAGUUCGAUCUUCCUCAGGAGCUUCAAUAUGAUCAUCAGUGUAAGGGGUAUUCUCGAGAAUAGUCCCAAGAAUGGCCUUACCUUCACUGAUAGGUAAAUGAAGGAAUGCUCCCUUGGAGGCUAAAUCAAGGAAUUGUGCGGAUUGUUGGCUAAGUCCGAGGUAAAAAUGUUGCAUAAGAAUUGGCUCGGUUAUACCUAAGUCUGGGCCAGAUGAUGUUAAGUCGGUGAGACGCGCCCAGGCCGCACCUAGAGACUCCUUCCCUUCUUGCUUGAAGUCUAGGACUUCUCUACGGAGACGAGCUAUUCUAGAGAUGGGAAAGUAGGUGAGGCAGAAUUUGGCUUGCAGCUUUUCCCAUUCUCCUCCUACACUACCUACAUAGCGAGUGUACCACCGUCUGGCCUUUCCCGUCAAAGAGAACGGAAAGAGCUUCCACUUGAGGGUAACUCGCCUCAUCCCUUGGAUGUGGAUGCAUGAACAAAGUUGUUCGAAAUCUCGUAGGUGUGUGUAAGGAUUUUCAUCUCCUUCUCCCGAAAAGGGAUUCUCCUGAACCAUCGCUAUGAGACUCGGGCGAAGCUCAUAGUGACAGGCCAAAAUGGCUUUUGAUGAACUCGCUGGCUCCAACUCAGCGCCCGUUGGAGCAGCGUAAUCGAAGAGGGUUGUUUGAUCCAUUUGGAUAUGUGUAUAAAGUUUUAAAUCAAACAAAGAUAACUUAACGAUUUUUUUUCCUAGUUAAAACAGCUACCGUUCCCCGGCAACGGCGCCAGAAAGCUUGUUGACACCAGAAGUGGCAAACGGUUAUACCGCAAGCGUACGGUAGUCAAUGUAGCCUUCACCGGGAGUAUUCCAGGUAUCGUGAUUUCCACGGGGAACGCGAAGUGAAUUAACUAGGCUUUAGAUCGUUAGGUGAUGAUCAAAGGGUCUAGGAUAAUGGGGUAGAGAGGUCUAACUAGUAUUAAUGCCUGGUCUUGGUAAUUAAGUAUAGUCAAGGUUUUUCACCUAACUCUUUACUGAGGGCGAUACCCGAAAAGGAGGAUUGAGUUAACGAAGUUUUUCACCUCCUCGUCUCCUAAGCGACUACCCUGCUCAGCCCAACUAUUAUUUGCAACUUGCCUACAACAGAUGCGAGGAACUUUCCGCCUAGCGAGGACUGUCACUCUCACACUAGGUGUCUACACAACUGCGACAAGGAGUCCACACUGGCAAGAAGUAGUCUAGACACCACGUCUAAACUAGCUCUUGCUACCCUAAGCUUAGCUAAAGCUAAGAGCACUCAAGAUCAAGCAAUGUGCCAGUAAAGGAUUCUUAUACUUAAAGUACCAGACCAAAUAUUAAAUACUAGAAAAGACUCAGAAGUAAGACUUACAAGAAGACCUGCUUCCGCUGAGGUGCUCCGCGAAGAAGACUCCCGACAGGCCGGGACUCCUCCUUGGAACUCCUCACUCUCUACUCACUAUGAUAGCACUAAGCUACUAAAGUAGUUUACUCCUAAGAUACAUGACUCUUAAGUGAAGGAAUAGGGGGGUAUUUAUAGUGGGAGAUGGAGUAGGGGCUACUCCGGUGCCACGUCAGCGAUCCGCGUCAUCUUCAUCAUGCACCAUUGGAUCAAACCGACUUCACAACCGCCAUCUGAUCAACGGUAGAGGCAAACUAACAUGUGCAACAUGUGGGCAAGGUCGGUGGGAGGCCAACCGACCCUGGAACCGCCAUGAAGUGGGGUCGGCCGACCCCCUAUCUGGCUGGUUGGGCCCACCUGCAGUGUCCUGGAGGCUCUCUGAUGUCGGUGGAGUUGAGCUGACCUGUGGGACCCACCAAAGUGGGGUCGCCCGACCCCAAUUCUAUGGGGUUAGGGUGUCAGCCCUGUCCUACAUGUCUUCCUCUUCAUGACUAUAAUGUUGUCUUGGUUACUGGUGUCACUGAUCUUUAGUUAUUCACCCCUUCUUAGUGUUUGGACCCUUGAAAAGUACCUGUUCUUACUCCUGCAACCAAAUAGUAGCAUGUACAUGUGGAACUAGGUUAUAUGUACCUAUAUUACUACUUUGUUUGGUUGUUUUCUCCCAAAAUGAGUCUUAUGUUGACGGUUAUGAUAGUAGAAAACAUGGUAUAAAUACCGUCAACAUGCUUCUUUGACACUGGCAGGGAUUUAGCCAUAGAUUGUUUUAAAAAUAACAUUUGUCGGGUCAGAGUCAUCCACCAGUUGAGCUGUAUCUUGCUGCAAUAAGACCAACAGGUCGUCCAGCUUGGAUCUAACUUCUGCCAAUAUUGUCCCAGGCACCAAUGAAGAGCUUGCCUCUUCCCCUUCGUCAUCAGGAAUAUCGAUGACAAAGGAGAAUAGGCUAUCAGGAGAGUCUUGUUCCUAAAAGGAGAGAGAAUGAGUCAGUUGGGAGUGAUCAUGAAUAAGUGCAAAUUGGUCAAAACGGAUAAGCUUACUUGUUUCAAAGCAUUGGCUGGAGGUAUAGUCUGAAUUAUGUCAUGGUGAGAAUCGACUGGGUCUGCCAAUGGAAUAACUUCAGCUGCUAUUGGUAUAAAUUAACUGCACUCCAUUUAAAUAAAUUUAAGUAGGAUUAUCCGCAAGUGCACAGAUAUCAUACCACUAUCACAUUUUACCUGGAGGUUUUAAAUAUCGAAUCCAUAGGGAAUAGUUGUGAUGAUGACAUAGUAUAUAGACUUAACCCUACAAUUAGGCUAGAUCAUAUCAAGAAAAAUGAAAUAACUAAUGCACUCUGGUUCCGACUCCAGUAAACUUUGUAUAAUACCGUUUUAUCGGGCAAGUAACCCGAAUAGGGGAAGAAUCAAAGUAAUCCCCUAUCAGGCACCUAUAAGCCUAUCAAUCCUAUCAAUGGGAAGUGGACUAUAGAGGAAUCAACGCAGUUGUCACCUACGCGAACUACCACUGUCCGGUUGAUCACGGGACAUUCACAAGUAAACCUAACCUAGGCACCACACCUACACUAUGAAAUACUACUUCAACCAAGUUAUGACCAAGAUCAAAGCACUCAAUAUGAGUUGUGAACCAAAGAGCAAAUAAGAACAAGUUGCUUACUUAAACUAGAAGGGUAAGUACAAAAGUACCUCAAAACAAAGCUCCAGGCGAGGGAACUGAAUCCAGAAGAACUAGUCUCUCCUAAUUGCUACAUCUAGACGACACUACAAGGUUUUGACCCAUUAGCCACAAAACACUUAGGCAACACCACUCAUUUGGUUGCAAUUCGGGGGUACUAUGACACCCAAACACUAAAUUGGUAGUAAUAGGGGUACAUAUUGCUACACUUUUAUUGUGUUGUGAUACUGUUUUUUUAGUUGCAACUAGUUCAUGAUAAUGCACCCAUUUUAAGGAUUUUUGUUGCAAUUUGCGUGUUGUCCAGCUACACAAAUUUUGAGUUGCAUUAGCAUUUCGUGUGUUGCAAAUGAAUGGUGAUAUGGCAACCAUAUUAUCUUUGGUUGCUUAUGAAGGGCACAAUCACGAUGAUUGAUUUAGGUUGCAACAUGCUUUCGUUCCUUGUGGUAAUAUCUAGAUGACAAUUGCAUCCUUUCUUGCUGCGAGAUGCAAUAUAUAUACGUAUUACCACUAUUGAUGUGUGGUAGUAAUACUGGCCAUAGACGUGGCAACUGUUAUACGUCUAUUGCAACGAAGGCUUACUUGGUUGCACUUUAAUUUCUAUUCCUCUAUAAAUAGGUGGGUCAGUAGUUCCCAAUCCGCAGGCCACAUAUCUUCCUUCCCAAAUCUGCCCACCGCCGCCGCCAUCAUCCCCCCUGCUCGCUCGAUCUAGGUAUGGCGGCGCAUAGAGAAGGUAACUCGUCUAGUGGGAGUAGGGUAUCGAGGAGGGAGGAAUGACGAGCGCAAGCACCAUAUCCGAUAGGUCAACAAACUGGGCUGCCUCUAGUUAUGUGUCCAAAUUGCAAGCUCGCUCAUGUGAUCGAACUUCGCGUCAUGUCAGAGACUAAAAACAAGGGCAGGAGCUUUAUCAAGUGUCUGAGGAAUGGGGUCAGUGAAGUUUUCUUGUAAAUAUUAUUGUCAACCAUCAUGAUUGUUUGCAUAAAUCUUUGUGUUAACUAUUGUAGUUCCAACUUUUUGUAGAAUCCCAAAUUAUGUGGCUACUAUAAGUUUCAGAAGGAGUACUUAGAUGACUUGAUUGAUAUGAAGGUGUUUGUCAUCAUAUGUGAGGAGCUUGAGGAGCUGGAAGUUGUCGGUGUUUUCCCCACGGGGGGUCACACCAACGAGUAAAUUUGUAUGCGUGCUCCCUUUUCUAGAUGGUGAUGCAAAAAGACACAAAGAUUUAUCCUGGUUCGGGCAAGAGAAGGCCCUACGUCGAGUGGGGGAGGAGAGUUUGUAUUAUUCUGCACCUAAGUGCUUGUACAGGGGUGAAUACAAGCGUGUAUGAGCUAGGAUGGAGUAUGGAUGUUCUACUGCGUAUGAGUGUUGUCUUCCCUCUAUGUAUCGCCUCCCGGGCCUCCCCUUUUAUAGUUCCAAGGAGAAGCCUAGGGUACAAGUAUAGGUGUCAGAGUUGGGGUCGAUAGGGAUAUGGCGCGCGGACCUACUCGAGGCCUCCGUACCGGCGUGGUCUCGAGCCGUCCCGUCCUAAUGGCUUGAUGAUGAUUACGCGUGCCCCUGUAUCCUGCUCUGUGCGCCGUCGUGGACUGGUUUAUCUGCUGCACGCCUGUACGUCAUGGCGGCAGAUGCGUCGGAGUGGUUGCAGUGCUGUCUUUCGAUGCCCGACCCUUCCCCAGGAAGGAAACAUGUAUGGUCGAGGGUCGGACGCCGUGUAGCACCUUGCUAGCCAGAGCGUUGACCUUGGAUGUCUCGAGGGGGUCUUGAUUGGACGUUCCGACCCUGCUUCCUGCGUCCUGACAUGCUCUAGGUCGUUUGUUGGGGAAGGCUGCAAAAAGAAUGAUGGGACGGGUGCCUGUUCCCUAUCACGCCUCCCGUGACUGGCGUGUUAGGUGAGAACGCGACAGGCUCAUUAAAUGCCCUGGUUCCCGUGCGCGCAUCAGGCGGCGGGUGGCGUCCUUGCGUUCGACGCCUUCCGGUUCGCUCGAGCCUAUUUCCGUAUUCGACGGUUCGCUCGAGCCUAUUUCCGUAUUCGUCGAGUUGGGGGCCUCGACCUGCGUACGGGCAAUCUCGUUAUGUACAUCAGUUAGGAUACCCCUUAUUGAUACCCUCGACAGUAGCAACAGAGUCUCCAUUUGAGCGCUGGCGCUCGAGUGGAGGCUUUAUUUUGCGGUUGAGUUUCCGUGGGGCGCGCGAGGGACCCCGCGGGGGUAGCCCCCGAGCCCUUGGAGGAGUUUUUGACUCCUUCGAGGGUUAUAUCGCCUAAUUCAUAGAAACGCUGUCGACACCAGUGGUGGAAGGUUCUGUUUGGCUCGUUUUGCGCAGGGGUUUCGACGUACUCUUGAUAGAGCGAGCGUCAUCCACCCCAGAUUGAGCUCCUAACGGGUAGUCCAAGUGAGAACCUGUGCCCCAUUCGAGGGGGUCAGCUGUAGCCCGGAGGCAUUCUCAUAAAGCGCGGUCGACGUGGUCGGGGAUGCUGGUCUCGUUCGAUAGAGUCCAGUGGCUCGAUGCCUCCCGUCGGGGGGAUUCCUCUCGACUAUCUCGACCCUACCUUGGACAUCCCCAGCGAGUUCUCGAGGCUGGCCUCGAUUUUCGUCUACUCGCCGGGCAUCCCUGACUCUGGUGCUCGAGAUUGGCUGUCGAACUCUUUCGGCGGGUCAGCCCACGACCUCUCGAGGCUUUCAUGGACACGUACCUUGGCUUACAAAGGAAGGAAGAGGCCAUGGCAGUUCACCUUUUUGCCCGUUGGGCGCGUCUUUUCAGGUGGGAGCCGUUGCGACACUGUAUCGGCGCAGCAUUCGUAGCGUCUCGUCCCGUGGCCCGGUUGCCGUUCUUCCUUCCGCCUUAUGCCUCCAUUCUUGCUUUAGCUCCCUUGCCUUCUCACGCGCACGCACCCUCGAGUAGCAGCAAAUCUGCCUUCCUUCCACCUAAGAUGCCUGUGAGACUUGUUGCCGCCGACGACUGGCGCCCGUCGUCGAUAACGGAGCGCCGGCUGCUGGAGCUCGAGAGGGAGGGGCUUCUGCGCUCCCGUACUUCAUUGUCGUGGCCGGAGUGGAUUGCGCCGGCGGUGGACCACCGGGAGCCCAGGCCGCCCUCAGGCUACGUGGUCUCUUUUGCUAAGUUCCACCACCACGGCCUGGGCGCUCCUCCGAGCCGGUUCAUGCAGGCACUCUAGCACCAUUACGGGGUGGAGCUUCAGCACUUCUCCCCAAAUGCCAUCACCGUCAUGGCGGUCUUUGCCGCGGUUUGUGAAGGCUAUUUGGGGAUGAUGCCCUGUUGACGGUCCUUAAGUAUCAAAUUUAAUUAUCAAAUAAAUAAAGAAAAGGAUCCAAAUGAAAUCAAGAUCUAGACUUAGGGUUUUAUCUGACAGAAUUCCAUGAGUUUUGGUGUUUGUCUAUUUUUGUAGGGGGUUAUCAGGAAAUACGGAAGAAAGGCCCACAUGUAAGGAUUACGUAAAGAUAUUAACGUGCUGCGCAAUUAUCUUACAUCUAGAAGACUCCAGAAGCCACGAGACCGAAGCGGAGGCGAAACGGGGCUAGAGGCAGGGCGCCCGCCCUGUCCUACUGGGCGCCCGCCCCCUGUUGGAGUCCAAACAGGACUCUGCUUUGCGGGAAGUCUCCACCGACCUAAAGGAUGAAUCUAAACCAUACAAUCUAUGUCGGUUUGAUCCAAGGGCCCAUAUUCACUUGAAGGGACUAUAAAACCAGACCCCCUGGCCCCUGGAGGAGGGAGCCUCUCAACCCUAAUUCAUUGUUCCAUCAAGGGAGAAGAAGCCUCUGAUCAAGAUUAGAGCCACCACAUCAAUUAGACAUCUAGAUUAGCAUAGCUACAUAGGAUUAGAACUAGAAGGAGUCAAUCUUCGAUUGGUUUCCGGAUCUGUCAGGAGGAUUCUUGGUAAUUCUCUAAUUGUGCUUCUAAUUGCUUUCUAAUUAUCUUUGUUCAUCAAUAUUAUGAAUAUGACUUUGUUCUACUUCAAUAUAUUGCUUAUGACUUUGCUCUACUUGCUUAUAUUCAAGAUUAUAUUGUUCUUAGUUUAUCAUAGUUAUGUACUUGGCUUAGUUAGAUACGAUCUAUAUACAUGCUUAGGAUCGUAUAGCUUUUAUCCAUCAGAUCCAUGGGUAAAUGAUAGAUAUUGUGUAGGCGUGGUGCUUAUACCGUAUUUAUCUGUGAUUGUACCCAAUAUGCCAGAUCGUGGGGUGGUUCGUGAUAGUGACAGCUUCAUUGAUUCUUAUAUAGUCCCCCUCUCGUGUAUUGGGCUGGCAGAGCAACAUUAUUAUAGGGGAGUGAUUGCUAUGUUUCUCAUAUUCCUUGCUAAUAUCACUAUGCAUGGGCGUAGUCUUGUCUCGCAAUGAUUGCUAAGUAUGCUUGCACUAACUAUGAUAAUGCUAGACUAUAUAGUUAAGAAUAACUUAGGGAAUAUUCUUGUAGUUCGUUCUAAUACCAUGCUAAUGACUUUCUAGAGUAUCUAAUUGAGGUGCUUAUCAUAUUUAUUAUGUGGCUAGAUCAGAUUAGUUAUCCUUGUCACUAUUAUUAUUUCAUAUAUCUUUUAUGUGACACUUAUCCCUGUAUGAAGAGUUAGAUAUAAUGUUCUCAAUUAUACAUGCAAUGAUAGAUGCUCAAUCUCAUAUUCUAUUCUGUAAUCAUUAGUGAUGAUUUCUAAUCCCUUCCCAGUGGUAAAAAUAUAAAUAACGAUACCUGGAAUACUUCCCGGUUAAAAUGCUACAUCGGUAUUAAUCUGUGCGCUUGCAGAUCCCAUUCAUUAUUUAUUUAGAAGAGCAAUUGCAUAUUUCAAUACCGCGUCUCUCAUGUCAUGCUGGGGAUGACAACUUGGCUUAAGUGGUGUGAGGGAUAGGUUUGGCAUUUUUGGCACCGUUGCUAGAUUUAGAACUUAGUCUACUUUUAGUAAUGAUGUUAAGAAUACCCAACAAGCAUUUUUGGCGCCGUUGCCGGGGAAGGUUGAUUACCAAUCGGGAAUGGAAUAAAAGAUUUUGAGUUAUCAUUCGCAUCACUAAUAUGAUUGAGCUUAUCUAUUCUCUCAUACAGUUUUACCCCGAUAUUUUUCUAUUUUAUCUUAUGCAGGGGAAUGUAUGAAUAGAAGAUAUCUUCCAGGAAAUUUUGUUGACAAUCCCGAAGCAUUAUUCAAGAAGACAAGAGCCAAGCUAAAGAAAUCAUCAACACUUCACGAAGAAGCAUCAUCCAAUCAAGAAGAUCACCGGAACUUGUCUUCAGAGUUCGAAGCCAUGGCGAACAAAUCGAUCCGCGAGUUCUCAGCUCCCACAACGGACAACAUCCGCACUGGACCUGCUGCAGAGAUCGAUGGCAACUUUGAGCUCAAGCCUGGACUUAUCAUCAUGGUGCAAUCCAACCAGUUCUGUGGGAAGGCACACGAAGAUGCUAGUGCUCAUUUACAACACUUCCUGGAGAUUUGCAACACAUUCACUAUAGCAGGAGUUUCCAAAGACGCUAUACUACUUCGCCUCUUCGCAUUCUCACUGUUAGGAAGAGCGAAGCAGUGGUUCUACGCUACAAAGGAGAAGAAUACUACGUGGGCACUCUGCUCAACAAACUUCCUCGCUAAGUUCUUUCCCAUGGGCAAGACCAAUGCUCUCCGUGGGAAGAUUACAAGUUUUCAGCAACAAAAUGAUGAAUCUAUUCCAGAAGCAUGGGAGCGCUUUCAAGACUACAUCCUAGAAUGUCCCCAUCAUGGAAUGGAGAGUUGGCUAUUGAUGCAGACGUUUUAUCAUGGGCUCAGCAACAGUACCCGAGAAACCAUGGAUGCUGCAGUUGGAGGAGCAUUCUUAUCACUUACUAUACCACAAGCCACAACUCUUGUGGAGAAGAUGGCGUCCAACCAAAGCUGGAAUGAAGAGAGGACCCAGACACGCAAGAGAGGUGGAGGUAUGCAUCAGCUGAAGGAGGUAGACAUGCUGUCUGCAAAGCUAGACCUGCUCCUGAAGAAGCUCGAUGAUAGAGCUGGAGACAAGAAAGAAGUUAUGCACAUCUACGACUCUCACAUGACUUGUGAGGAGUGUGGAGACACUAGACACUCAGGCAACCACUGCCCUGAGAUACUUGAGGAUGUGAACUACAUCAACAACAACAACUACUACUACUACAACCGUCCUCAACAAAAUCAAGGUUGGAAUCAACAGAGGCCUAACUACUCAGGUAAUUAUCAAGGUAAUAAUUCUUAUAACAACAAUAGUAAUUUUCCACCUUUGAGAGAGUUAGUGUCUAAUCAAGGAAAGCUAAUGGAUAACCUAUCUAAGAAAUUGGCAUCUAAUGAUAAAAUGCUAGAAAAUAUAAAUAAUAGAAUGGAUAAUUUUUCUACUGCCAUCAAGAAUCAAAUUAGCUUUAAUAAAAUGAUUGAAUCUCAGUUAAAUCAAAUAGCUACUGCUGUUCCUACUACUAACCCCGGUAUACCAUCACAACCGGAAGGAUUAGAAUCUGCAAAUCUUGUAGACGUGUUUGAUGCAGGUAAUUGGAGUAACCCCGUCACUGAAUUCUCUACUGACAUUAUGCCGGUCAAGAGAGGCGAUCGAGGACGCCCCGUCAUCCCGAUCUCCAUCGGCAUGGUGGACGUUCCAGAAGUACUCUGCGACUUUGGCUCCAGUGUCAACAUUAUACCCAGGGUACUCUAUGAAAAAAUCUUUACAUAUCCUUUAUUAGAAACAACCAUGUGUUUGCAGUUUGCAGAUCAGACGAUAACUUUUCCAAAAGGAAUCGUGAGGAACCUUUGUGUCCGAGUUGGUACCUUAUAUGCCCCAGCAGACUUCGUAGUGGUAGGGACCGGAAAUGAUGAGAGAGCACCUAUCAUCCUAGGGAGGCCAUUCUUGAACACCACGGGAGCUAUCAUCUACGCCAGUGCUGCCAAGAUCAGUUUCUUCGUCAAAGGGAAGAAGGAGAUAUUUUUCUUCAAGAACAGGACUACACAAAUUCAAGAUCAAUCCAGACGUGAAUCAAGGAAGAGGACCAAUAGGAGAAACAGGAACAAGCAAGUGUGGACCGAGUCAGCUAAGAUGGUCACUGUAGUUCAUGGAGGCCAAGAUCAUCAACUUAAAUCACCGUUUUUGACUAAGAAGGACGACCCAGGAAUGCCAAGCAUCUACUGCUCCAUAAAUGGAUACAACUUCUACAAGACGAUUUGCGACACCGGAUCAGGCGUCAACAUAAUGGCCGCAGUCACUUAUCGGCUCUUGUUCGGGACCAUGCCACUAAGACCAACAUACAUUCAACUCCAGAUGGUAGAUCAGACAUUUCGAGAAGUUCAAGGAAUAGUAUCUGAUGUCCCAGUCAAAAUAGACGAUCACUUUGUCUACACAGACUUUCAAGUUGUUGACAUGGGAGAAGACGAGUAUGAUCCACCCGUCAUCCUUGGAAGACCGUUCCUCAGCACCGUUAAAGCAAUUAUCUACAUUGGAACCGGAGAAGUCCAUAUGCACUUCCCCUCAGAGAAGGUACGCCGUUAUUUUACUGACCCUAACUAUAUCAUUGAAGAAUCUAAGCAGGUAAGAAAGGGACGCAAUCGCAACCAGAGGAGGCAGAUCAUCAAGGACGGAUGGGCAGACUAUGAAGGAGAAGUUGUAAGGUCAGAAGACAUAGAGUUUAAACAGAAUUAUCCAGAGGAGAUUGAAGCACCGAGUCAGGUAUGGAAAAUGAAGAUAACUAUACAAGAAGAGGAGGCGCUGCCGGAAGUACCGACUACGCCACCCAACGAACCUCAGGACGAUUAAGAAAAUGGAGAGUCCCGUUCGGAGGACUUAAAAACACCGAACGCCUUGCCAAGAGGUAAACUUGGUAGUUAUCAUUUCCCUUUCAACUAUUUCAAAUAGUUUACUUAGUUAAUCAUAUUCACACUAUCUUAAAAAGAAAAUAAAAAUGUUAAAAACAGUAAGCCCCAUGUGAGUAGACGAGUGGCAUGAAACCCAUAGGUACAUUCACUGUGGUGGCAUAAAAAUAAAAUAAAUAUUUUUCUGCUUUAUAAAAACAAAAAUAUAAAAACAGGGAGUAAUAAUUAUUAAGAAGUCUCAACAUGAUAAAGGCUAGAUAUUUAUGCUAACACUUAAUCAGUUCCACAAGCUUUGUUGUCUAUUUGAGCUCCACAGAAUUUAAGAAUCAAGAACACUAGCAGAUGGAGGACAUCCUAAUCGCUGUCAGAAUGCUGCUGACUUUCAAAUACACCUCUGCCACCUGCUAGCUACACCAAGAGAAAUUACGUCAAAAUUCAGCUUGGGGGAGAGCACCCCCAUUUAUCCCGAUAAGUAUUUCUUUCUAUCUAUCUUUAUACUUAUAUUAUUUUAGAAUAUAAAUAACUAUGAAAAAACCAAAUAAAGAUUUUAUGCUUAUAUAUAUGCCUUUUGCUUAGUGUGUUUAAUAAAUAAAUAAAGUGGCUAUGCUAAUCUGUAUCUAAAUAAAACUUAAGCAUGGAUAUGAUAAAUAGUUGCUCUGCCUAAUUUGCAAAUUUUAAGUUCUCUCUCAAGUUUAGAUAUAACUGUUAUAAUUUAAAUCUUGCUCUAGACCUAAACUUGUGGGAUGAAAACUUGAUUUGAAGUCUAAGUUGUUAACGGAUAUGAUAUGGGAAGGUUAAGCUGCUGUUUAUCUGUUCCUAGAGAUGCUAGAAUUCUGGAGAAUUUUAUCUUUGAAAAUCUUUAAAAUGUUGCAUGAUGAGUUCCUGUAUGAUGAGAGCUUAAAUUCCUACCACAGCCAUAUAUGCAUGCUUGCUAGACUUUGAGCCACACAUUUAUUAUUUACUGCUUAUGAGCAUUGAGUGUGGUCAAGCUGUGUAGACCCGUAGGAGCUUGUCAUGUGGUUAAAUCAAGAUUUCACUUGCACGUCCACUCAUAUAUGCUACUUCUACUCCGGAAGUACCAUCCACAUAUAUCCAUCCAUUUCCAUCUCCAGAAUCACCCAAAAAUAUUCUAUUCCUAAUCCGGGAGAGAAUAACCAAAAAUAUUUCUGUUUUUCCCUUGUCAAAUAAAUGCUCAAGUUAUCUUGUUACUACCACUUGCUAUAUUAUCUCAUGAGAUGAGUGCUCUAAAAAAAAGAGAUACGAGGAAAUAAAAAGGAGCAAGUGCUCGGAACCUCGAAAGAAAAAAAAAGUGAGACGAGAGGUAAAAAUGGACAAGUGUCCGACAGUAGAAUUAGGGGUGCAAGAUGCCCACCUGAGAGACAAGAAAAAGAAGAGCAUCUCAUUCUCCUCAUAAAGUUUCAAAAGCAAGGAAGGUAUGUAUCCCCUCAAAAGAGCAAAGUAGAAUUAGACUUCCACCACCAUUGUUUCCACCAUUGUUAUCACCAUUAUCACCAUACACCAUUCAUUUGCCACACAUGCACAUCUUGAUUUGGCUUAUUAAUUUGUUUCUUUGGAUCCAUGGUUUGACUAUGCAAUAAAUGUCUUGUAAGUAUGUAUACUUUAUCUCCCACCUAUGAACUCCAGAUAUUAAAGCCUUAUUAGAGUAGGGUGAGAGAAAAGGCAAUGUCACUAUGCCUCAUACCACAAAUACUACAUAUCUUGAGAGAAGGCAUAUACCACCAAUGCCUUGGUAAGGAUCCAAAAAUACCACAAAAGAGAGACCUGAGAGAAUCAUACAAGGAAUUUCUGAGUUUUAUUUGAAAAUCUGCAAAAACCCCAGAGCUAUAGCUGAUCAAGAAUAAGAGACAUGGCACUUGACUAGACUGUUCUAUCUUUUAACCACUCAAGACAGAAGUGACAGUUACAAGUCCCAUGGUGAAGGUAAAGUAAGUAAGUUUUAAGUCUUGACAGUUUACUCUCACUCAGAGAUGAGAUCUUAUUUAAAAAGCAUGUGUACCGUCAAAUUUUAAAGAUAUUGCAACUACUUCUGGUCCAUAGCUGAGUCUAUCCUUGCUCAGGGACGAGCAAGAGGUAAGCUUGGGGGACUUUGUUGACGGUCCUUAAGUAUCAAAUUUAAUUAUCAAAUAAAUAAAGAAAAGGAUCCAAAUGAAAUCAAGAUCUAGACUUAGGGUUUUAUCUGACAGAAUUCCACGAGUUUUGGUGUUUGUCUAUUUCUGUAGGGGGUUAUCAGGAAAUACGGAAGAAAGGCCCACAUGUAAGGAUUACGUAAAGAUAUUAACGUGCUGCGCAAUUAUCUUACAUCUAGAAGACUCCAGAAGCCACGAGACCGAAGCGGAGGCGAAACGGGGCCAGAGGCAGGGCGCCCGCCCCCUGUUGGAGUCCAAACAGGACUCUGCUUUGCGGGAAGUCUCCACCGACCUAAAGGAUGAAUCUAAACCAUACAAUCUAUGUCGGUUUGAUCCAAGGGCCCAUAUUCACUUGAAGGGACUAUAAAACCAGACCCCCUGGCCCCUGGAGGAGGGAGCCUCUCAACCCUAAUUCAUUGUUCCAUCAAGGGAGAAGAAGCCUCUGAUCAAGAUUAGAGCCACCACAUCAAUUAGACAUCUAGAUUAGCAUAGCUACAUAGGAUUAGAACUAGAAGGAGUCAAUCUUCGAUUGGUUUCCGGAUCUGUCAGGAGGAUUCUUGGUAAUUCUCUAAUUGUGCUUCUAAUUGCUUUCUAAUUAUCUUUGUUCUUCAAUAUUACGAAUAUGACUUUGUUCUACUUCAAUAUAUUGCUUAUGACUUUGCUCAACUUGCUUAUAUUCAAGAUUAUGUUGUUCUUAGUUUAUCAUAGUUAUGUACUUGGCUUAGUUAGAUACGAUCUAUAUACAUGCUUAGGAUCGUAUAGCGUUUAUCCAUCGGAUCCAUGGGUAAUGAUAGAUAUUGUGUAGGCGUGGUGCUUAUACCGUAUUUAUAUGUGAUUGUACCCAAUAUGCCAGAUCGUGGGGUGGUUCGUGAUAGUGACAGCUUCAUUGAUUCUUAUAUAGUCCCCCUCUCGUGUAUUGGGCUGGCCGAGCAACAUUAUUACAGGGGAGUGAUUGCUAUGUUUCUCAUAUUCCUUGCUAAUAUCACUAUGCAUGGGCGUAGUCUUGUCUCGCAAUGAUUGCUAAGUAUGCUUGCACUAACUAUGAUUUUGCUAGACUAUAUAGUUAAGAAUAACUUAGGGAAUAUUCUUGUAGUUCGUUCUAAUACCAUGCUAAUGACUUUCUAGAGUAUCUAAUUGAGGUGCUUAUCAUAUUUAUUAUGUGGCUAGAUCAGAUUAGUUAUCCUUGUCACUAUUAUUAUUUCAUAUAUCUUUUAUGUGACACUUAUCCCUGUAUGAAGAGUUAGAUAUAAUGUUCUCAAUUAUACAUGCAAUGAUAGAUGCUCAAUCUCAUAUUCUAUUCUGUAAUCAUUAGUGAUGAUUUCUAAUCCCUUCCCAGUGGUAAAAAUAUAAAUAACGAUACCUGGAAUACUUCCUGGUUAAAAUGCUGCAUCGGUAUUAAUCUGUGCGCUUGCAGAUCCCAUUCAUUAUUUAUUUAGAAGAGCAAUUGCAUAUUUCAAUACCGCGUCUCUCAUGUCAUGCUGGGGAUGACAACUUGGCUUAAGUGGUGUGAGGGAUAGGUUUGGCAUUUUUGGCACCGUUGCUAGAUUUAGAACUUAGUCUACUUUUAGUAAUGAUGUUAAGAAUACCCAACAUGCCCCACUGGGAGCUGUGGCUCCACUUCUACAGGGGUGAGCUCUUCAACGCCCCCACUAGGACUACAGGCGUGAGGAAACCCGUGCGGGCCGGGUGCCUUAAUCUGGUGCUGAAUACGGGGAAGACGGAGAGGCCACGUGAGUACACCCUGGUGGGGUUGUCAUCGAACCACGCUGGAUGGGACUCCCAGUGGUUCUACUUGAGGAACGACGAUGAUCUCCUUCCUGCCUACACCGGCCGCCUAAUCACGGAGCGCCCGGAGAACUGGACGUACGGCGUCGUCCAAGUCCACCAGUCGCGGCUCGACCCCCUCCUCGACGCCUUGAAGAAGUUACGCAUGGAGGGCCUGUCCGCCGCUCUCGUCCUCUCGGCCGUCCAUCAUCGGAGAGUUCUCCCACCGAUGUCUCGGCCGCUAAGGAUGGAUGAGAUGGGGCCCGGUGCUUCGUCCCAGGACCUCGAGGCGUGCCGAAUGUCCAACGAGGCUCCGGCAGACGAUGAAGUCGCGGCCCAGGUCAGGGCGGCCGUCGCCAGCGACUUCCAACCGGAACACGUUAAUGGCUUCCCCAUGAGGCCUGAUGCAGGCUCAAUCGACCUGGUAAGUUCAUUUCUUGUAUAUGGCUUCAAUUCUGGAUUUCCUUCGAUCCCCUUUUCAAGCCUGUCUUUGUUUACGAAAGGACCGCUCGAUGUCCGGUCCUCGAGGCCUCCAGUAAAGGAGGACGGGGUCGACCGUGACAAGCGGCACCAGUUCGCUGAGAAACAGAAGUCCGCCAAGGACAUAGAGAAGAAAGAGAAGAAGAAGAAGAAUCUCGACCGCCAAUCGUUAGAGGCGCGUCGAGCCAAGUCUAGGCGAAGGGGGGAGCCUCAAGAACAAUCCCCUAGCAAGAAUGAUGGCGGAGACAGCGAUGACGACAGCGACGACUCCGAGGGGAUGGCAUCUCGCCUCGACCGCAUCCUCGAGGGUCCGCCUCGAGGCGAUGUCGACGCCCCGCGGACGGGAGCGCCAAAGGAGGGGCCAGGCGGAUCUCACCGCCCCCGCGCUGACACCCCUCCCAUGCCUGCGCCAAGUCGGUCUGUUUUGCACCACCAACCUCCCCCUGAUCCAAAGGUGGGUGGCCGGGCUAAGCCCCAGGCGAUGGGGCCAUUGACCCGUGGCCGCGCCGCGGCCAUCGAAAAGGGAGACACUGGCCGCAGGAGCGCUAGCCCCGGCGCUCGCCAGGUGGGAGAUGCUAGACCGAGGCCUGCGCCUACCCGUGAGGGGCCUGGAGCCUCGACGUGGGGUUGUUCGAGGCCCACCGGUCGAGGUACCGGCAGGCGAGCCGUUCUCCCUGUGGGGUAAGUUAUUCGACGUCGUGAUUCUCAUCCUCCUGUUUCUUCGCGUUUUCUCGUAUAACGAUCUCUCUUAUGCCCAUUUCUCUUUCCUUAGGUUGAAGCGGACGCUUGAGCAGGCCCAGCCUUCAAUGGCGAAAAGGCUCUAGGUGGGAGCGGCCUCCAAGGAUUCGGGUUAGUAGCUUAUUCCCAUUGUUAUGGGAGUUAUGUCAUUCUGGUGACGACUGGCGGGUGAGUCUGCCCCGUCAUCGCCAAAACGGGCCAAGGCGCCUCAGCCCCAGGAGCAAGAGGGAGCCCCCGAGCCUCCUUGAUCGGGGGUUGAGGCGGAUCCGAUCACUAUAAGUGAUGGGUCUGGCGGCGAUGGGUCUUCGAGGGACACCCGCCCUACGGACGAGGAGGUUGAGGCCUCUCCCACCACGAGACGGACUCCUUAGCCCAUCGGGCUCCACUCUGUCAAAGAGCAGAGGAGGAAAGAGGAAAGAGAGCGUGAGCAGAAGACGCGACAUCAGCCGCAGGAGGAACAGCAGCUGCUGCCGAUGGGAGGAGAGGUGGGGCAGCCGUCGGCAGGUCCCUAGCUCGAGGAGCUGCUAGAGCAGGGCCGUCGCCAGGAGCCGCAGGAGGCCCAGGGGUAGCAGCAGCAGAGGGGCCAGCAGUCGGAGGGACCGCUCGAGCCUCCUCCCCACAGACCGCCCCAACCGGUACUACCGGCGCCGCAAGAGCCCGGGAACCAGGAGGAGGGUCUGCCAGUUUUCAGCCCUCCGACCCCGGCGUGGCUCCAUCUAGGGGCACCCGCCGCGAUCCCAGUAGAGUCGGGGCGGGCGGAUGGCGUGGUGGCGCUUGCCUGCAUGAUGCGCACAGCCGUCGACCCCGAAUCCGAGAUCAGGAGGACGAUCUACGGCAUGGACGGAAUCGCCCCGGGAUUCCUCCGGGAACGUCGGUCGUGGGAGGAACGUAUUCCCGCCGAGGAGGACGAGGGUGGAACGUCGGGCGGUGGUGGAGGCGGCGAAACUGGGACCUGGAAGACGGUGGACGACGAUGGGCGGUUCCCUUCCCUCGUCUACUUGUUCCUGCGCCACGGGGGGUCACUCGAGACUGUCGAGGAGCUCAUCCGCGGCGUCAAGGCGCGGGCUGACCAGGAGAUGGAGAAUUGGUGCCCCGACCGGAUCUGUAUCCGGGCUUCCACCGAUCCGUCUGAGCCCAAUAUCUUUCUGGACGAUCGGAAGGAGGCCGAGAAGUGGGAGCACGUCAAGGAGCUCCGCCUCUGGAUGAAGCACAUGGUGGGGCUCCUGUCGAACGUUGUUAACAACGGGCUCGGACCGGCCUACUUUGUAAGCAUUUCCAAGUCUUUUAAUUUUUAUGGAACGUUUGGUUUUGUGUUUUAACUGCUCGAUCACCGGUUCGCAGGACCUAAAAGAGACCUCCCGCAUUAAGUCAAGCUUCAUCCACGCCACGAGAGACGGCUAGGAGCAGCUCCCCAUCCUCAAGGACCAACUCCUGGAGUCGCAGGAGAAACUCCUCAAGGCUUAUAAAGAGCUCUUAGUGCUCGAGGAGCAGAAGAAGGAGAGGGAGGCUGCUCUAGUCGAGGCUCGAGAGGCCUCAAGGAAGGCGGUGGAAGAGGCUGCGCUACUGAGGGAGCGGGCCAAGACGGUCGAGGAAGCCGCGUCCAAAGCCCGGGAGGAGGCCCUGUCCUACAAGAACGUCGUUGCUGACCUGGACAAGGAGAAAGGCCUCCUCAAGACCGACCUGGACUCCAUCCGAGAAUCCUUUCAAAGGAUGAAGGUGGAGUGUGUGAACAGCGAGAUCGCUAGGAGCGCCGCGGAGGAGGCAAAGAAGAAGGCCCUCGAAGACCUCGAGGCAAAGCAGGCUCGAUCCCGUAGCCUUUCUGAUGACGUCGACCAUCUAAAGAGAGCGCUGCUGGAAAAAGAUGGGGCCAUCUCGCAAGCCGGCAAGGCGAUCGAAGACCUGCGUGUCGCCAACACCGAGCUAGCGCACUCCAACAGGGAGGUCGAGAGGGCCACUACUGUCGAGUUCCUUUUCUGAGGUGUGCUUGGUGUUAUCUAAUUUCUUCAUGUUGGUCCUUGCAGGACUCAAAGAUGAGCUGCUGGCCACCCAAGUCGAGGCCCGUUCCAUCAAGACUCAGCUCGAGGGGGAGGUCGCCUUGAACGGUCGUCUACAGACUGUGAUAGGCGACCUCUCGGUCUCCUAGGAGCUCAAGCUUGUUGACGAGUCGACGGAGGAGGCUCGAGGCGACGCACUCGUCGACCAGCUAUGCUACCUUGGAGCUACGCUGAGGGACCGGGUGCGGGACGCUCUUCCUGUCGGAGUGAAGCGGGCGAUGGCGGUAGUCUGCUCAGGCUUCUCCUACGACAUGGAGGUAGUGUCCCACGGCUUCGUCACCGACAUCUCCAAGACUGAUGCGGAGAACGAGGAGAGGCUCCAUGCCUUGAUCGAUGACGCAGAGGUUCCUGGGGAGAGGUUGGCUAAGUUGUUUGAGCCAGAAGUACUUCCUCCUGAGACUAGCUCAGUCGCGGGUGAGGAUGGUGGGGGCCGAGACGUUGACUGAGGCCUGUGAGCCUACGCUGGGUGCCUAGGCCCCUUGUACAGUACUUAGCCAAUUUGUUCUUAAGUAUUAUAAUGGCUUUAUGUGGUUGUUAGAUUUCUAUGAAUGUUUGUCCAUCUUUCUGCUCGAGGCUCCUUUGUUUCCUUUUGCACCUAUGUUUGCAUUCCUCGUUUGGUCUUUUGUUUAAGGCGAUCUCGAUUGCCUCAAGGGUGAGGAAGCGAGUAGAGUUUCCGUUGCCCGGGGGCGUAGGAGUUCUCAGGCUCAUCGUCCCUCGGCCCUUAAGGGCCUCGAGGUGCCUCUACUACUCGACCGUACGGGAUUACUGAUAGGAACGAAAGGAUUACUUGGGUUUUUUCGACAUUUGGGUGGGGGUCACCCCCUUGCUAGCCCCCGAGGGGGUAUCGACUAUGAUGGGUCAUAGUUGGUACUCCCUGCUAACGUCGAGAUUUCGACUCGUGAAAAAGUAAAUUGCUUUGAGGGAAAGAUCUUAUUCAUUCAUGCAUUCAUUCAUAAGGCCUUGGUACAGAAUGUACAUAGGAACAUAAAGCUUUGAAAUUCUAGGGGUAGAAUCGACGUAGCUGUUCGAUGUUCCACGCAUUGGUGAAGAUCGCCCCCUUUUCAUCUGCGAGCUUGUAUGUCCUCGGCUUCAAGACUUCGGCCACUACGUAUGGGCCCUCCCAAGGUGGAGUCAGCUUGUGGCGUCCUUGAUUGCUUUGCCGCCGUCGUAGGACGAGGUCGCCCACGUUCAAGUCCCUCUUGCGCACGUGCUUGUCGUGGUAGCAUCGAAGUUUCUACUGGUAUCUGGCAGAGUUGAGGAGGGCCAUGUCUCGAGCUUCCUCGAGUUGGUCGACCGCGUUCUCUUGAGUCUCUUUAUUUGAUUGCUCGUUGUAUGCUUUGAGUCAAGGGGAUCCAUACUCGAGGUCCGUAGGAAGCACAGCCUCAGAGCCAUAGACCAUGAAGAAUGGGGUGUAUUUUGUGGCCCUGCUCGGCGUCGUCCUUAAGCUCCAUAGGACCGAGGAAAGCUCCUCAACCCAUUUCUUGCCGAAUUUCUUCAAGCCAUUGUAAAUCCUUGGUUUGAACCCCUGCAAAAUCAUGUCAUUGGCACGGUCGACAUGGCCGUUAGUUCAAGGGUGGGCCACUGCAGACCAGUUCACACGGAUGUGAUGCUGAUCGCAGAAGUCCAAGAACUUUUUGCUGGUGAACUGAGUGACGUUGUCGAUGAUGAUGACGCUGGGAAUCCCAAACCGGUGGAUGAUGUCGGUGAAGUAGUGUGAUUAGUAUUUAACAAAUUGAGCAUGUCUUAAAGGUAGGGACAACCAACAUAGCAACAUGGCAAAGUAUGUUUUUAUGUAAAGUACUCCCCCAAGCUUGAAUUUUGCAGAAUUCAAGUUUGGAUGAAUUUAAUUCAAUGUUGUAUGAUGAUUGGUUGGACAUACCUUGUGCUUGUCAUUCAUCCGAUCUUCUUGCUCCAAUACUGGAAAGGUUAGUGACAAGAAUACCCGAAGGAAUAUUUUUACAAUUAUCCUUAUAUGCUCAAUACACAAGGUAAUGUUGCAAAUAAUUAAAAACUCAUGUUACGAUCUGAUCAGUGCUUAUUUUAGGACACCAAGCUUGUCCUUGGGAAACCAUCAAUUUAUGUCGGCGAAGUGGUUUCCCUUCCAACGCUGACCUAAAUCAAGAUCAACUCAACGAGAUCUGCAAUAUUUAUUAUAGACAUAUGCAUCAACAACCGCCCUUUUAAAGUUUUUAUAAAUAGAAAGGAAGAGGGGGUUGGAGAUCUCAAAUGUGGUGAUGUUGGAGAGACCAAUAGAUUGGUAAGAUGUUGCAUAUGAGAAUGGAGUAAACAAAGUGGCUAUGAAAUAAAUUCCAUGCUCAUUAAUGUUAUCUUCAUCUCCAAUCUGAAUGUUCAGAGUUUUUCUUGGAUUGGUCUCACUUAUGUCCUCUUCUAUAGUUGGAUGAAUCCCAUCUUCAAAGGGAGUCAAGAACUCACCAUUUGAAAUUGAACCAAAGUCAGAAUUCAUUAAGGCUUCUUCCUUAUCCAUCCAUUCUACACAUUCUAGCCAUUUAGAACUUGUGAUCAAGAAAGGGGAGGUGUUAGAAUUUUCAAUAUGGCUUAGCUCUCCUUCACUUGAUAUGUCAUCCUCGACUUCUUCAUAAAAGGAACCAGGACAUUCUCUAAGAGAACCAUUAUUGUGAGGAUUUGAAUUAUCCCUGCUUGAAGGUCUCUUAUGGAACCAGAAGUCUAAACCAUCAGCAUCUGAAAGAUUUAAGGUCGGAAUUCCUUCCUCCCUUGGAGAAUUUUGGGGUAUUGAUGGUUUAGGAUCGAUACCUAAAGGUUGGGAUUGAAGUGUUUGUGAUCUGGCUAUCGAAACUUUUUCUUCUUGUCUAGGAACUGGUUCUGUCUCUUUCUCAGGGAUAUAAAAGCUAGGAGACUUUCCACUUAAUAAAUCAAUCAAAUUUCAAGCUUCACUAGCAGGUAGGUGAUAGAAGGAUCCUCUAGAGGCUGUAUUCAAGGUUUGCUUAUCUUCCCUACUAAGGCCCUCAAAAAAGUGAAUUAGAAGAACUUCUUCUAGAAUAGAAAGCUUUGGGCCAGUGAGAGUAAGGUUAAUAAAGCGGUCUCAUGAUUUGCCAAGAGAUUCUUCUUCUAGUUAUCUAAAAGAAAUAAUCUCACGCCGAAGUUCCGCCACUUUAGAGAUUGGAAAAUAUUUUAAAAGAAAACUAUUAUGUAACUCCUUCCAAUCUCCAUGAACACUCCCUACUUUGAGUUUGUACCAAUGUCUAGCUUUUCCUGUUAAAGAGAACGGAAAGAGCUUCCAUUUGAGAGUCUCAUCGGACAUUCCUUCUAUGCGAAGGAGGUCACAGACUCGAUAAAACUCUCUUAGGUGUUGUUGACGUUCCUUAAUGCUCACAUAUAACCAUCAAUUAAUCAUGGAAAAGGAUCCAAAUGCAACCAACACCCAGACUUAGGGUUUUAUCUGACAGAAUUCCACGAGUUUUGGUGUUUGUCUAUUUCUGCAGGGGGUUAUCAGGAAAUACGGAAGAAAGGCCCACACGUCGGGUUUACAUAGAGAUAUUAACGUGCCGCGCAAUUUUCUACCAUCUAGAAGACUCCAGAAGCCACGGGAGCGAACGGGAGACGUAACGGAGCCGGGCACUGGGCGCCCACCCUCCCUUACUGGGUGCCCGCCCUCCCCCCUGGACCAAUCGGGGUGAAGCUCGGGGAUCAUGCUCCACCGACCUAAUACUUCAAGGAAAACCACACGAUCAAUGUCGGUUUGAUCCGAUGGCCCAGAUUCAUCUGAAAAGACUAUAUAAACAAGGCCCCCUGGCCCCUGGAGAGCAUACCUCUUCUACAGAAUCAAAGUUAGGGUUUCAAUUCUUCAUCCAAGUAGAGAGGAUCCCUCUAGUUCUUCUAGUUCUACCUCUAGUUCAUCUAGAUCUAGUUCUAGUUCAUCUAGUUCUAGUUCUAGUUCCACUAGUUCUGGUUCUAGUUAGUUCUAGUUGUAAUCUAGAAAAUAGGGAGAGAGAAGAGGAGAGCGGAGGAGGAGCCGGAUCUGUCGGAUCUUUCUCAACAUUGUACUUUUGCAGCAACUGGUUCGUCCUUCAUCGUUCUCCAAGUUCUUCAAUUCAUAUUUCCUGAGUUCUUUAAUUACUUUUAUUUACAUUCAAGUUAUUUAUUGGAUUCCCACUUGCAUCAAGUGCUCUAGUCUUUAUAACGCUAGAGUUGUAAUUAAUAGAUUAGACGUGGUGUUUAGUCUUGCGAUUACCUAGAAUUGCACCCAAUCCUACGGAUUGUUGUGGUAGCCCUAGGGUAGUGACAGCCCUAACGGUCGACGUAUUCCACCACGUUCGGUUCGGUGUUUGUAGGACCGUAGUCAGACCUUUCUAGCCCCCAUCUCAUCUCUUUCUGUGGUUAGUGCUCUGAUGUCCCGAUAUAGAUAAUCUUGAAGUAAUUCUUGAUUCUUAGAUCAACUAGAGAACUCUCAGGAAACUUCUUCUCUUCCCACCAAAAAUAAUUAUAUAGUUAUCCUUGGGCGAUCUUGGAUCUUAAUUAGUACACUCACGUUCUCUGUGGAAAAUCGAUACUCUGGAAUACUCCCGGGUGAAAGCUACAUCGGUAUCCGUGCGCUUGCGGAUUUUUCUGUUUGCGUUUAAAAUACCCAACAAGCUUUCUGGCGCCGUUGCCGGGGAACGGUAGCUGUGCUAGUUUCGAACCAAGUCGCCCGUAUAUCCUUUUUCUUUUCCUUUUUUACCACACUCACCUUAUCAUUUUCACCGUACCACAUGGAUUUCACUCUAAGCAUUAAUGAGCAUGGAAUUUAUUUCAUAGCCACUUCAUUUACUCCAUGCUCAUAUGCAACAUCUUCACAAUCCAUUGGUCUCUCCAACAUCACCACAUUCGAGAUCUCCAACCCCCUCUUCCUUUCUAUUCAUAAAAACUUAAAAAGGGCGGUUGUCGAUGCAUAUAUCUAUAAUAAAUUUUGCAGAUCUCGUUGAGUUGAUCUUGAUAUAGGUCAGCGUUGGAGGGGAAACCACUUCACUGACAUAAAUUGAUGGUUUCCCAAGGACAAGCUGAGUGUCCUAAAACAAGCACUGAUCAGAUUGUAACAUGAGCUUUUAAUUAUUUGCAACAUUAACUUGUGUAUUGAGCAUAUAAGGAUAAUUGUAAAAAAAUUCCUUCGGGUAUUCUUGUCACUAACCUUUAUAGGAUUGGAGCAUGAAGAUCGGAUGAAUGACAAGCACAAGGUAUGUACAAUCAAUCAUCAUACAACAUUGAAUUAAAUUCAUCCAAACUUGAAUUUUGCAAAAUUCAAGCUUGGGGGAGUACUUUAUAUAAAAACAUCAUUUGCCAUGUUGCUAUGUUGGUUGUCCCUACCUUUGAGACAUGCUCAAUUUGUUAAAUAGUAAUCACACUACUUCAUCUCCACUUGAGUAGAUCUCUAUAAAAGCCAUCACGCUACCUUUGUUUAUCCUAGUAAGUGUUAGUUUGGAAGUACUGUACAUACUUCUAUUGGUUUUUAAAUUAAGCAUGGUGCUUAGGUUAAACAGCCUUCCUUAAUCUAAUUAGACAUGGAGUCUAGUUUGGUUAUUAAACUAAAAACUGCUUGUGUAGACAUUGGUAUAUUUUGUUGGACUAACCCCUGCAGGAAAACUUUCAAUAUCGACCUGGGAAGUCCUAAGAUAAACUCACAUUGGAGACAAAGAGAGACACAUGAAGUUUGACAAUUUACACAAGGAAGGCAUUGCUCACAAGAGAUGAUCCAUGGAGGGUGCCACAAACACGAUGCACAACCACUAAGAAAGGAAAGCUUCCACAAGGUGAUACUGUACCAUCACUCUUCAAGUAAGGUAACAUCUUAAGGUACUUGACUAUCACUUUUAUAAACUUCUCCUUCGUUUUGGCGUUCACAUGAAUAAAAGAGACAAACAUGUAUGAUUUACAACUCUAGAUUAACUAACCCAAUCGAUUCAACAUGUUUAGUCCUUCCACCUUUGUGAUCCUACACUCCUAAUCAUAUAAGCUAAAAUGUUGCACACUCAAUCUUUGGAAGAUAUAAAAAACUACAUAAAUAUAGAUAGAUUAUCUUUCCAUUAGGUUGAGCGAUUCGAUCUGACAAAUGUUUUAAAUACUACACUCAUGAUCUUAUUAUCCAUCAACUUUGUCUUGCUCACUAUGCUUAAGGUUAGAGAAGAACAAAUACACUUUUGGUUCUGUUGGUGUUUUCCACCAACAGGGCCCAUGCACUUGAUCUCUGCCUUGUCUCUAUGAGUGGGUACACUUCGAGCAAAAUAUGAAGGAGUUUUACAACUCCCAGACUCCACCAAGUGAAGAACCUAGAUAUAUGAGCACAAACACGCUGGAGAUACUGGACACUCAUGCAAACACUGCCCUGAGAUGCUUGAGGAUGUAACUACUAGAGUAACCCCGUUGUGGAAGAAAUUACUGACCUUCUGCCGGUCAAGAGAGACAAUCUAGGACGCCCCGUCAUCCCAAUCUCCAUCGGCAUGGUGGACUUCCUAGAAGUACUCUGCGACUUUGGCUCCAGCAUCAACAUUAUACCUAGGGAAGCCAUUCCUGAACACCUUGGGAGUUGUCAUCUACGCUAGAGCUGCCAAGAUCAGUUUCUACAUCAAGGGGAAGAAUGAGACGUUUUCCUUCAAGAAACAAGACUACACAAAUCCCAGAGCAAUCCCGACAUGAACCAAGGAAGAGGACCAACAGCAGGAACAAGAACAAGCAAAUGUGUACCGAGUCAGCUAAGAUGGUCACUGCAGCUCAAGGAUGUCAAGAUCGUUAACUCAAGUCACCUUUCUUGAUCAAGAAGGACGACCCUGGUGUCCCAAGCAUCCAGUGCUCCAUUAAUAGAUACAACUUCCAAAAGACGCUUUGCGACACCAGGUCAAGCGUCAACAUAAUGGCCGCAGUCACCUAUCAGCUCCUAUUUGGAACCAUGCCCCUAAAAUCGACAUACAUUCAGCUCCAGAUGGCAGAUCAGACAUUCCGAAAGGUUGAAGACGAGUACGAUCCACCCAUCAUCCUUCGAAGACCGUUCCUUAGCACCGUUAAAGCAAUCAUCUAUAUUGGAACCAGAGAAGUCCACAUGCACUUCCCCUCUGACAAGGUAUGUUGCUAUUUUACUGACCUUAACUAUAUAGUUGAAGACUCUAAGCAGGUCAGGAUAAGAAGAAGACGACGCAACCGCAACCAGAGUAGGCAAAUUAUCAAGGACGAAUGGGCGGAUUAUGAAGGAGAAGUGGUAAGGUCUGAAGACAUACAACUUGAACAGAACUGUCCUGAGGAGACCGUAGCACCGUGUCAGGUGUGGAGAGAGAAGAUAGUUAUACAUGAAGACCAGGCGCUGCCGGAACCACCGACUACGCUAUCCAGCGAAUCCCAGGACCACUGAGAAAACGGAGGGUCCCGUUUGGAGGACUUAAAAACACCGAACGCCUUGCCAAGAGGUAAACUUGGUAAUUAUCCAUUCUCUUUCAAUUAUUUAAAAUAGUUUGCUUAGUUAAUCAGGUUCAUAUCAUCUUAAAAAGAAAAUAAAAAUAUUAAAAAUAGUAAGCCCCAUGUGAGUAUGCUCAUGGCAUAAAACCCAUAAGUACAUUCACUGUGGUGGCAUAAAAAUAAAAUAAAUAUAUUCCUGUCCUAUAAAAAUAAAAUUAUAAAAAUAAAAUUAUGAUCCUACUAAUGAGUAACAUUUAUUGAGGAGGCUCAACAUGAUAAAGGCUAGAUAUUUAUGCUAACACUUAACUAGUUCCACAAAGCUUUGUUGUCUAUUUGAGCUCCACAGAAUUCAAGGAUCAAAGAAGACUAGCAGACGAAGGACAUCCUAAUCGCUGUCAGAGUGCUGCCGACAUUCAAAUACACCUCCGCCACCUGCUAGCUACAUCAGAAGAAAUUAUCCAGCUUGGGGGAGAGCACCCCCAUUUAUCCAGCUAAGUGUUCUACUCACGUUUAUACUUUACUCAAAUAAUAAAAAGAUGCAUAAUCAUAAAAACCCAAAUAAAGAUUUUAUGCUUAUAUAUAUCUUUGCUUAGUUUGCUAAAUAAAAAAACAAAUAAUAAAUCAAGAUAAGUAUUAUUUUUCUUUCUUACUAGUAUUCGGAAAUAAAAAAAGGCAUAACCAUGAAACCAAACAUAGUUUUUGUUUUGAGUAAUAUAUAAUAGUUUUAUGUAAUACUAAGUUUUAAAUAAAAUAAAAAGAAAGUUUGAUUCAACUCUAGGUAAUUGACAAACAUGAUAUGAGAAGGUCUGAGCUACUAUUUAACUUGUUCCAAGUUUUGCUAGAGUUCUGGAGAUUUUAUCUUUUGAAAAUCUAAAAAUUCAUAAAAAAUAUAUAUAUAUGAGAUCAUAAUACCUAGAGUCUUAUAAGAAAUAAAUAUUAAAACUGUGGGUACUUUCUUUGUUCAAGCCAUUGUUAAUUCUUGUAGUUUUGGUUGAGAGAAUUAUCAUGCUCCCAAGAUCAAGAUCUUUUUGUUUUAAAAAUAUAAAAGAUUCACUCUUCCGAAGUAUUAUUGCGUUAGAGGCAUGGGACUAUGCAAAAAUUUGAUUCGAAAAAAAAAGAGUGAGAUGAGAGGUAAAAAUGGACAAGUGUCCAAAGUAGAAUUAGGGGUACAAAGAUACCCACCUGAGUGGAAAAAAUGGACAUGUGUCCGACAGUAGAAUUAGGGGUACUUGGUGCCCACUUGAAAAAAAGAGACUAAAAAAAAGAGAAAAAAAAGGAAAAAAAUGAUAGCCCAUGGUCCCUCUAAUAAGCAAUAUGCCAGUAAGAGAUGACAAACUCUUCAAAAAGGUCAAAGGUCUUGAUCUAGGAGUAUGACAUUCCUCUCCCUUGCUCCGAGCAUUGACAUAGCAAAAUGCAAAGUAAGUAUGCUAAAAUAUUUAAAGCUCUACUUAUAUAUCUUUGGAGAAGAAGGCAAAUGCCUCAGAUUUAUUUUGGAAACUUACAAACAACUCCAGAACAAAGGUAAGAUAGAAGAACUUGAGACAUAGUGCUUGACUUGAUCAUUCUCUAAGAGAACCAUUAUUGCGGGGAUUUGAAUUAUCCCUACUUGAAGGUCUCUUAUGGAACCAGAAGUCUAGACCAUCAGCAUCUGAAAGAUUUAAGGUCGGAAUUCCUUCCUCCCUUGGAGAAUUUUGGGGUAUUGAUGGUUUAGGAUCGAUACCUAAAGGUUGGGAUUGAAGUGUUUGUGAUCUGGCUAUCGAAACUUUUUCUUCUUGUCUAGGAACUGGUUCUGUCUCUUUCUCAGGGAUAUAAAAGCUAGGAGACUUUCCACUUAAUAAAUCAAUCAAAUUUCAAGCUUCACUAGUAGGUAGGUGAUAGAAGGAUCCUCUAGAGGCUGUAUUCAAGGUUUGCUUAUCUUCCCUACUAAGGCCCUCAAAAAAGUGAAUUAGAAGAUCUUCUUCUGGAAUAGAAAGCUUUGGGCCAGUGAGAGUAAGGUUAAUAAAGCGGUCUCAUGAUUCGCCAAGAGAUUCUUCUUCUAGUUGUCUAAAAGAAAUAAUCUCACGCCGAAGUUCCGCCACUUUAGAGAUUGGAAAAUAUUUUAAAAGAAAACUAUUAUGUAACUCCUUCCAAUCUCCAUGAACACUUCCUACUUUGAGUUUGUACCAAUGUCUAGCUUUUCCUGUUAAAGAGAACGGAAAGAGCUUCCAUUUGAGUCUCAUCGGACAUUCCUUCUAUGCGAAGGAGGUCACAGACUCGAUAAAACUCUCUUAGGUGUUGUUGACGUUCCUUAAUGCUCACAUUUAACCAUCAAUUAAUCAUGGAAAAGGAUCCAAAUGCAACCAACACCCAGACUUAGGGUUUUAUCUGACAGAAUUCCACGAGUUUUGGUGUUUGUCUAUUUCUGCAGGGGGUUAUCAGGAAAUACCUAAGAAAGGCCCACACGUCGGGUUUACAUAGAGAUAUUAACAUGCCGCGCAAUUUUCUACCAUCUAGAAGACUCCAGAAGCCACGGGAGCGAACGGGAGACGUAACGGAGCCGGGCACUGGACGCCCGCCCUCCCUUACUGGGCGCCCGCCCUCCCCCCUGGACCAAUCAGGGUGAAGCUCGGGGAUCAUGCUCCACCGACCUAAUACUUCAAGGAAAACCACACGAUCAAUGUCGGUUUGAUCCGAUGGCCCAGAUUCAUCUGAAAAGACUAUAUAAGCAAGGCCCCCUGACCCCUGGAGAGCAUACCUCUUCUACAGAAUCAAAGUUCGGGUUUCAAUUCUUCAUCCAAGUAGAGAGGAUCCCUCUAGUUCUUCUAGUUCUACCUCUAGUUCAUCUAGAUCUAGUUCUAGUUCAUCUAGUUCUAGUUCUAGUUCCUCUAGUUCUAGUUCUAGUUAGUUCUAGUUGUAAUCUAGAAAAUAGGGAGAGAGAAGAGGAGAGCGGAGGAGGAGCCGGAUCUGUCGGAUCUUCCUCAACAUUGUACUUUUGCAGCAACUGGUUCGUCCUUCAUCGUUCUCCAGGUUCUUCAAUUCAUAAUUCUUGAGUUCUUUAAUUACUUUUAUUUACAUUCAAGUUAUUUAUUGGAUUCCCGCUUGCAUCAAGUGCUCUAGUCUUUAUAACGCUAGAGUAGUAAUUAAUAGAUUGGACAUGGUGUUUAGUCUUGCGAUUACCUAGAAUUGGACCCAAUCCUACGGAUUAAUGUGGUAGCCCUAGGGUAGUGACAGCCCUAACGGUCGACGUAUUCCACCACGUUCGGAUCGGUGUUUGUAGGACCAUAGUCAGACCUUCCUAGCCCCCUUCUCAUCUCUUUUUGUGGUUAGUGCUCUGAUGUCCCGAUAUAGAUAGUCUUGAAGUAAUUCUUGAUUCUUUGAUCAACUAGAGAACUCUCAGGAAACUUCCUCUCUUUCCACCAAAAAUAAUUAUAUAGUUAUCCUUGGGCGAUCUUGGAUCUUAAUUAGUACACUCACGUUCUCUGUUGAAAAUUGAUACUCUGGAAUACUCCCGGGUGAAAGCUACAUCGGUAUCCGUGCGCUUGCGGAUUUUUCUGUUUGCGUUUAAAAUACCCAACAGGUGUGUGUAUGGGUUUUCCUCACCUUCUCCUGAGAAAGGUUGUUUUUGAACAAAUUCUAUGUAUUCGGGGUCUAUCUCAAAACUAGAUGCAAUGAUAGGCUUUGAAGAUUUUGGUGGUUCAAGAUGUGUGCCUGUAGGUCUAUGAAAUUCAUAGAUAGACAUGUUUGAAUUCAUGAUAGACCAGAGAUCAAGGAUUAGAUAAGAAGAAAGAUUAGCAGAGAUGAGGCAAAGGAUAAAAGGAAUAUAUAUAUAUAAUUUUUUUUUAUUUUUUAGAAAAUGAUUAAGCUAGUUCGUAGUCAACUCAGCAACCAUUUCCCCGGCAACGGCGCCAAAAAUGCUUGUUGACACUUGCUAACACCACUUGAAUACUAGGUUGUCAUCCCCAGCAUGGCACUAGAGUGUACUAUGGUAUUUAUACACACACAGAUAAUCUGCAAGCGCACGGAUACCGUUGAAGCUUUUACCCGGUUAAAGGUUUUAUCGUAUCCACAGGGAAACGAGAGAACCAACUAUGCUCUAACUUAACCAAGAUAGAUAGAUAGGUGUAAAUAGGAAAGAUGGUAGAAUUGAAUAAGAACAAUAUUAAAGGUAAGAUAACAGUGAGUGAUAAAAUGGGAAUAUAGAAUAGAGCAAUUCUAGUAUAUGGGCGAUGGUAGCAGAAUAGAGAGGAUAACUAUGGUUUCUCUACUUCAAAGGGGUAUGUCUAUGUCUGGGACAAACCACGUGAUAAGAGUACACCACAAAGGAUGCUUAUCCUUAAGCCGAUAAACCCUACCCGUCCUGCUAACAAGAGGUGGACUACAUGGGACCAACGUAACUGUCACCUACGCGGCCUACCACACGAUCCAGCUAGACAGGGGAUAUCCACAAGUAAUCUAGGUCUAAGCACCUCGCUUACACCUAUACUACAACUCUCACCUAUAGCGUCCUAUAGAUUAGAAGUACUCAAAAGAGUUGUGAACCAGAACAUACAUAAUUAGUAAUUGCAUAAUGAAUUAGAAGUAGAUUACCAGAGUCAUCCCAUGAGCAAGCUUUAUUAGAGCUUGAUCAUGAUGAAGUACAACCAGAGGAAGAACCGACGGGCCGGCCUCUCCUCUAAUCCUCCUUCGCUCUCCAUCUCGCUACUAUCUAGAUCUACUCUAGUUUAGAGAAGAGAGGAGAGCUCUCAUCUCUAAACCCUAGCUUUUGCUCUAUCUAUGAAUAAUGAAUAAUGAUCAAGGGGUGCCUCCUCCAGGGGCCAGAGGGUCUGGUUAUAUAGUCCCCUCAAGUGAACCUGGGCCGUCGGAUCAAACUGACAUUGAUUGAACGGUUAUUCUUGAUCCUUUAGGUCGGUGGAAAAUAAUCCGCGAGGUUGAACAUGAUUGGCCACUGUAGCUGGGCGAGCAACCUAAGGACUUGGGCAGGCGCCCAGGUCCUGGCUCCGUUCGGCCACCGCUUCCUUCCCAUGGCUUCUGGAGUCUUCUAGAUGUAAAAUAAUUGCGCGGCACGUUGAUAUCUCUAUGUAAUCCUGACGUGUGGGCCUUUCUUCCGUAUUUCCUAAUAACCCCCUGUAGAAAUAGACAAACACCAAAACUCAUAGAAUUCUGUCAGAAAAAACCCUAAGUUUAGAUGUUGGUUGUAUUUGGAUCCUUUUCUUUAUUUAUUUGAUAAUUAAAUUUGAUACUUAAGGACCGUUGACAAUGGCGCGCGGACCUACUCGAGGCCUCCGUACCAGCGUGGUCUCGAGCCGUCCGGUCCUGAUGGCUUGAUGAUGAUUACGCGUGCCCCUGUAUCGUGCUCUAUGCGCCGUCGUGGACUAGUUUAUCUGCUGCACGCCUGUACGUCAUGGCGGCAGAUGCGUCGGAGUGGUUGCAGUGCUGUCUUUCGACGCCCGACCCUUCCUAGGAAGGAAACAUGUCUGGUCGAGAGUCGGACGCCGUGUAGCGCCUUGCUAGCUAGAGCGUUGACCUUGGAUGUCUCGAGGGGGCUUGAUUGGACGUUCCGACCAUGCUUCCUGCAUCCUGACAUGCUCUGGGUCGUUUGGUGGGGAAGGCUGCAAAAAGAAUGACGGGACGGGUGCCUGUUCCCUAUCACGCUUCCCGUGACUGGCGUGUUACGUGAGAACGCGACAGGCGCAUUAAAUGCCCUGGUUCCCAUGCGCGCGUCAGGCGGCGGGCGGCGUCCUUGCGUUCGACGCCUUCCGGUUCGCUCGAGCCUGUUUCCGUAUUCGACGGUCGUUGGUGCUCGAGCCCUGAUCGAUUCGCUCGACGCUCUUUCUGUCUUCGAUGCUGCGGUCGUCGAUGACUGUACGUGUGACUGGUUAGAGCGUCGAGUUGGGGGCCUCAACCUGCGUACGGGCAAUCUCGUUAUGUACAUCAGUUAGGAUACCCCUUAUUGAUACCCUCGACAGAAGUAUUGAUAGAGGCAAGUGAACAUGCAAUAGAUGAUGAUGGGAUGAAGGACCUAAAGACAAAAUUGGACCACCUAAUGUGGAAAAUGAAUGUGGGCUUUGUUUGUGUUGCAGUUGUUCUACUUAGUGUUGUAGUCAAGUACCUAAUCUAAUGAGGUUCGGUAAUGUUUAUGGAUCAACACAGCUUGUAUGUGUUCUAAAGGGAUCUUUUAUUUGUUUAAUUUUCACAGUGUGGUUCAAAAAACACUUGAUUUCGACAUAUAGUAUGUGAAUUCUAUACAUGUUCACACCCAAACAAAAUCAUAUAAGUAAUCAAAUAAAAAAGUCAUUAUCUCAGGAUUCUACCCCACAAACAAUUGGUGCAACAACUCCAUCGUCAAUGUACGUGUCAUCUUCCUCAUCUUCAUCGUCAUCUAAUAAGGCCACAUGGUCUGGUUCAUCAGCUGCUUUGGCCUGCACCUGAGCAAUAACAGAGACAUCCCCGAUUGUGCCUUGCUUGUCCUAUCUAGUCCAACUUGUUGUCAAAUCCUCUUGUCCACCAAGUAAAUCACUAAUGCCUUGGAAACCCACAUCAAUUGAGUCCUCCCGUUCUAAUUCAGGAAUGGCAAACAAGUCCCUUGGUUUCAUCGCAAUAACACUUCUCCAACCAGGUUUGUUUACCACAUCCACGUAGAACACUAGUUCUGCCUGUGUCACAAGAAUAUAGGGUUCAUUCUCAUACCUGUUCCGAGUACUAUCGAUAUCAAUAACCCCAAACUUAUCCUUAUUGUAUCCUCUGCCUCUGCUUGUACUGGCAGCAGGCACAUCAUACCAGUCACACUCGAACAAAAUGACUUCUUUUUGUCUAGGGAAUUCUAGUGAUAUCUUUCUUUUAAUCACCCCAUACCAGCACAUGUUACCAGUACUAGCAGGGUCUCCCUUGACAAGCACACCACUGUUUUGUGUGACGAGGUUUUUCUCAAUGUCAACUGUGCAAAACAGCCAAUUAUUGAUAUGGCAUCUAUGCAGUAAACGAGCUCAGUUGUCCUUCCACUCAGCAAGUGCAAACAUCUCGGCACUUACGUUCCGUUUGGCAUAUUGCUCUCUCACCUUGCCCUCGAACCGUCUUGCAAAUUGUUCCUCGUGUCGCUUUUUAAGAUUUCUUGUACCACCACGCAUCUGCAGUUCUUCCAUAUGCACACUACACAUAGAAAAGUUAUAUUAAUAAUGUUGGUUUGAAAUAUAAUAUUUAAAAAUAAUGUUGUUUAAUUAAUAUGUAACUUACUCGAUGAAUGGUUUAGUGUCAUCAUAAUUAGAAAUUAUGUAGUGCUUAAUCUUCCGCAUCUCAUCUCUGUCAAGGAGCUUGAUAGUCUGUCCUCUCCAGUUGUAAUCCAUUGCAGCAAAUAAGCUCUAACCAGAAGGUGGCUCAUUCACGGCAACACUUCCAUGACGAUCAGCACGAUUCAGUUUUGUGUCCAUGUCCAAGAAUCUAUAGCAAAAUGUAAGGCACUCCUCGAGUAUGUAUCCCUCGGCUAUUGACCCUUCAGGAUGCGCCUUGUUCCUCACGUAUCCUUUUGUAGUAUGUAGGUACCGCUCCACUGGGUACCUCCAUCUAUAACAAACGGGCCCUCCAAGUUUAGUCUCUUCAGCUAGAUGAAUAGGCAAAUGCAUCAUGAUAUCCAAAAAUGAAGGUGGGAAUAACAUCUCUAGUCGGCAUAGAGUGUCAACAAUUGUACUACUAAGUUUGUCCAAGUCUGCUUCCCCCAUCUCCUUGGAACAUAGUGCAUCGAAGAAAUUACUAAGCUGGAUCAAUGCAACGACAACUUGUUGUGGCAAAAUCCUCUGCACCACUAAGGGUAACAGUUUCUAUAGAAUUAGAUGGUAAUCAUGAGAUUUCAAGCCAGACAGCUUAGAUGCGUUUAGGUCAACACAUCUUACUAUAUUGGAGGAGACCCCAUCAGGCAUUUUCAGUCCAUAUAGAAAUUUGCAUAAAUUAUCCUUCUCAUCAUUAUCUAACUUGUACAAGGCUGCUAGCAAGGUAUACUUAUCUUUAUUGAUCACAGGAUGUUGAUCUGGUCUCAUCCCUAGUUGUUGCAUGUCAAGCCAGGCCUUCUCCCCAUCCUUACACUUACCUUCCAAUUCUAGCAGAGUGCCUAAUAUGGUCUCACAUAUAUUUUUCUCAAUGUGCAUGACGUCUAAAUUAUGCCUGAUGAGCAAAGAAGACCAGUAUGGGAGCUUGUUGACGGUCGUUAAGUACCAAAUAUAAUCAUUAAAUAAAUAAAGAAAAGGAUCCAAAUGCAACAACCACCCAGACUUAGGGUUUUAUCUGAUAGAAUUCCACGAGUUUUGGUGUUUGUCUAUUUCUGCAGGGGGUUAUCAGGAAAUAUGGAGGAAAGGCCCACAUGUCGGGUUUACAUAGAGAUAUUAACGUGCCGCGCAAUUUUCUAUCAUCUAGAAGACUCUAGAAGCCACGGGAAUGAACGGGAGGCUGAGCGGGCCCGGGCACAGGGCGCCCGCCCUCCCCCUUUGGGCGCCCGCCCAGGUGUCUCGGCCAAUCAAGCCCCGCCUCAUGAAUUAUGCUCCACCAACCUAAAGGAUCAAGGAAAACCGUGUGAUUAAGGUCGGUUUGAUCCGACGGCCCACGUUCACUUGAGGGGACCAUAUAAGCACGACCCCUGGCCCCUGGAGGAGAGCAAUCCCAUCAUUCAUUAGCAUAUUUUCUAGAGAGGAUUUAGAGAGAGAGGUCCCUCUAGGGUUCCAACCUCAUAGGGCUUAGCAUCCAAUGUGAGAUUAGAAUUAGUUCUUAUAGAUUGAGAGAGAUAGAGUGGAGAUGUAGAUCGGAGGAAGCCGGCCUGUCGGUGUCUACUCUAAGGUUGUACCUGCGGGAUCAAGUCUCCUAACCCGAGGCUUGCUCCUAGGAUUCUUCAGUAUUUUGACUUCUAAAUUAUAGUAAGUUCUUUGUUCUUAUUGUUCUCUGGUUUAUGAGUUUACUUUAAUCUCUUCCGGUAGAGUUUAGAGUAAUCAUUGCUAGCAUAAACAUGGUGUUUGGGCUAGGGUACUCAUAGAUAUCCCCUAUCUAGCCAGACCGUGGAAGUAGCGGGGAACGUGACAUUUCCGUAGCUACCUUUGUGGCCCACAAUCCUGUUAGCAGGAUCGGUAAGGUUUAUAGGUGCGGGUCGAACAUCCUUUGUGGUGUCUAGAUUCCAUAAGCCUCCCUAAUAGAAUAGUAGAUUAUCAUUACCAAGGUUAGAACGAGAGUGUGGUUGUAGCCUUCUCUAUACAUCGCUCACAUCAAAUCACAUUGUUUGUAGCCUAAAGGGUAGUAGCAAUAGAUUUGGUUAGUCACAUGCACGCUUUCUCCCAUUAGUAAAAAUAUAAAUACGACUCUGGAUAACCUCCCGGGUGAAAUGCUCACCAAUAUCCAUGAGCUUGCAGAUCAUUUCCUUAUGGCAUUAACAAAUAUCAACAGAGCUCAAAAAAAUACUCUUCUUCAUCCAGUUGUGCCAUCUUUCAUCAUCAUCGUGCUUCCUUUUUUUGUAGACGUCUUUCCAAAACUCACUUGUUCAAAACUUUCAUACUGCUCAAGUACCUGUGCACCAGUUAGUGGUACUGGUGCCUCCCUGGUUUCGACCAUGUUGUUGAAGCUGACCAUGUUCUGGUGCUAAAUAUGGUCCAAGGGUAAGAAACGUCGACUGGCCAUGUAGCAGUGCUUUCUCCCAUUCUUCAACCACAAAAAAUCAGUAUCUUUGUGGCAAUAUGGGCUUGCAAACUUUCCUUUGGUGCUCCAACCAGACAACAUGGCAUAUGCUAGGAAGUCAUUAAUUGUCCAAAGUAAAAUAGCACAUAAUCUAAAGUUUUUAUUGGUUUGUGCAUCCCAUGUUCUAACACCCUUUUCCCAAAGCACCUUGGGCUCCAAUAUAAGAGGCCUCAAAUAUACAUCAAUAUCCAUUCCAGCAGAAUUUGGACCAGGGAUCAACAUUGACAUCAUCCAGUUUGAUUGUUUCUGACACAACCAAGGAGGCAAAUUGUAAGGUAUUAGGACAACAGGCCAUAUGGAUUAGGUUGUACUUUGCAUCCCAAAGGGGUUGAAGGCAUCAGAAGCAAGACCCAGCCUAACAUUACGAGCUUCUUUUUCAAACCACCUAUAUUUCUUAUCCACGUGCUUCCAUGCCUUCGAGUCAGCAGGGUGACGCAUUUUCCAAUCAUUGACCCUCUCUUUCUUAUGCCAUUGCAUGUCCUCCGAUGUGCUCUUCGACAUAUACAUUCUUUGCAGCCGAGGAAUAAGAGGGAAGUAGCGUAGGAUCUUCACGGGAAACCGUUUCUUAAAAGUAGUACCAUCGGAGGUGUUCUCGACAACUUUCCACCUAGACUCCCCACAUGUGGGGCAUUCCUACAGAUUUUCAUUUUCCUUAAAAAAUAACAAACAAUCAUUCUUGCAGGCGUGUAUCUUGACAUAGUCCAAGCCUAGAUCUCAAACCACUUUUUGAACUUUAUCCAAUGAGUUAGGGAUACAAUGGCCUUUAGGGAGAACCCUUGAGAACAAUUUAAGUAUGGCCUCCAAACAUGCGUUACUAAUACCAUACAUGUACUUUAUCUGAAAAAGUUGCACGAUAAAAGAAACCUUAGAUUGGACGGUUAUCCUUGAUCCUCCAGGGGCCAGGGGGUCUGGUUUUAUAGUCCCUUCAAGUGAAUACGGUCCGUUGGAUCAAACCGACAUAGAUUGAAUGGUUAUCCUUGAUCCUUUAGGUCGGUGGAGAUCUUUCCCGAAAGAGUGUCCUGAUUGGACUCCAACAGGGGGCAGGCGCCCAGGGCAACAGGGCAGGCGCUCAGUGCCUGGCCCCAUUCGGCCUCCGCUCCCUUCCUGUGGCUUCUGGAGUCUUCUAGAUGUAAGAUAAUUGCACGGCACGUUAAUAUCUCUAUGUAAUCUCGACGUGUGGGCCUUUCUUCCGUAUUUCCUAAUAACCCCCUGCAGAAAUAGACAAACACAAAAACUCGUGGAAUUCUGUUAGAUAAAACCCUAAGUCUAGAUGUUGAUUUCAUUUGGAUCCUUUUCUUUGUUUAUUUGAUAAUUAAAUUUGAUACUUAAGGACCGUCAACAAACUCCCCCAAGCUUACCUCUUGCUCGUCCCUGAGCAAGGAUAGGCUUAGCUAUGGAUCAUAAGUUGUUGCAAUAUCUUUAAAAAUUAACGGUACAUAUGCUUUUAAAUAAGAUCUCAUCUCUGAGUUAGAGUAAACUGUCAAGACUUAAAACUUACUUACUUUACCUUUCAGCAUGGGACUUGUAAUCAUCACUUCUGUCUUGAGUGGUUAAAAGAUAGAACAGUCUAGUCAAGUGCCAUGUCUCUUAUUCUUGAUCAGCUAUAGCUCUGGAGUUUUUGCAGAUUUUUAAAUAAAACUCAGAGAUUCCUUGUAUGACUCUAUCAGAUCUCUCAUUUGUGGUAUUUCUGGAUCCUUACCAAGGCAGUGAUUGUAUAUGCCUUCUCUCAAUAUAUAUGGUAUUUGUGGUAUAAGGCAUAGUGACAUUGCCUUCUCUCUCACCCUACUCUAAUAAGGCUUUAAUAUCUGGAGCUCAUAGGUGGGAGAUAAAGUAUACAUACUUACAAGAUAUUUAUUGUAUAGUCAAACCAUAGAUCCAAAGAAAAAAAUCAAUAAGUCAAAUCAAGAUGUGCAUGUGUGGUAAAUGAAUGGUAUAUGGUGAUGAUGGUGAUAACAAUGGUGAAAGUCUAAUUCUACUUUGCUCUUCGAGGGGAUACAUACCUUCCUUGCUUUCUGAAAGUUUUGAAGAGAAUGAGAUGCUCUAUAUUUUCUUUUUCUUUCCUCUCAGGUGAGUAUCUUGUACCCCUAAUUCUACUGUCAGACACUUGUCCAUUUUUACCUCUCGUCUCACUCUUUUUCUUUUCUUUCGAGGUUCUGGGCACUUGCCCCUUUUUAUUUCCUCGUAUUCUUUUUUCUUUCUUCUGUUUUUUUCUUUUUUAGAGCACUCAUCUCUUGAGAUAAUAUAGCAAGUGGUAGUAACAAGAUAACUUGAGCAUUUAUUUCACAAGGGAAAAACAGAAAUGUUUUUGGCUAUUCUCUCCUGGAUUAGGAGUAGAAUAUUUUUGGGUGGUUCUGGAGAUGGAAAUGAGUGGAUAUAUGUGGAUGAUACUUCCAGAGUAGAAGUAGCAUAUGUGAGUGAACGUGCAAGUGAAUCUUGAUUUAACCAUAUGACAAGCUCUUAAGGGUCUACACAGCUUGACCACACUCAAUGCUCAUAAGCAGUAAAUAGUAAAUGUGUGGCUCAAAGUCUAGCAAUCAUGUAUAUAUGGCUGUGGUAGGAAUUUAAACUCUCAUCAUAUAGAAACUCAUUAUGCAAUAUUUUAAAGAUUUUCAAAGAUAAAAUUCUCCAGAAUUCUAGCAUCUCUAGGAACAGAUAAACAGCAGCUCAACCUUCACAUAUCAUAUUCGUUAACAACUUAGACUUCAGAUCAAGUUUACUUCCCACAAGUUUAGGUUUAGGGAAAGCUUUAAAUUAUAACAGUUAUGUCUAAACUUGAGAGAAAACUUAAAAUUCGUAAAUUAGGCAGAGCAACUAUUCAUCAUAUUCAUGCUAGAGUUUUAUUUAGAUAUAGAUUAGCAUAGCCACUUUAUUUAUUUAUUAAACACACUAAGCAAAAGAUAUAUAUAUAUAAGCACAAGAUCUUUAUUUGUUUUUCCAUAAUUAUGUAUAUCUAUAUUUUAAUAUAGUAUAAGUAUAAAGAUAGAUAGAAAUACUUAGCGGGUUGAAUGGGGGUGCUCUCCACCAAGCUAAAUUUUGACGUAAUUUUUUUCUUGAUGUAGCUAGCAGGUGGCAGAGGUGUAUUUGAAAGUCGGCAGCACCCUGACAGCGAUUAGAAUGUCCUCCGUCUGCUAGUCUUCUUUGAUCCUUAAAUUUUGUGGAGCUCAAAUAGACAACAAAGCUUGUGGAACUGAUUAAGUGUUAGCAUAAAUAUCUAGCCUUUAUCAUGUUGAGACUCCUUAGUAAAUAUUACUCCUAUUUUUAUAUUUUCAUUUUUAUAGAGCAGAAAAAUAUUUAUUUUAUUUUUACGCCACCACAGUGAAUGUACUUAUGGGUUUUAUGCCACUAGUCUACUCACAUGGGGCUUACUGUUUUUCAACAUUUUUAUUUUCUUUUUAGGAUAGUAUAAAUAUAACUAAUUAAGUAAACUAUUUUAAAUAAUUGAACGGAAAAAGAUAACUACCAAGUUUACCUCUUGGCAAGGCGUUCGGUGUUUUUAAGUCCUCCGAACGGGACUCUUCUCUUUCUCAAUUGUCCUAGGAUUCGUUGGGUGGCGGAGUCGGUACUUCCGGCAAUGCCUCUUCUUUAUGUAUAGUUAUCUUCUCUUUCCAUACCUAACUCGGUGCUACGGAAUAGUCUGGAUCAUUUUGUUUAAACUAUACGUCUUCUGACCUUACAACUUCUCCUUCAUAGUCUGCCCAUCCAUCCUUGAUGAUUUGCCUCCUCUGGUUGCAGUUGCGUCGUUUUCUUACCUGCAUAGAUUCUUCAAAGAUGUAGUUAGGGUCAGUAAAAUAACGGCGUACCUUCUCUGAGGGGAAGUGCAUAUGGACUUCUCCAGUUCCAAUGUAGAUUUUUGCUUUAACGGUGCUGAGAAACGGUCUUCCAAGGAUGAUGGGUGUCGACGAAAGCUGGUCAGCAGUCUACCUUGGGGUAUACCCACGGUAGUAGUUUAUCGGUAGACGGUGCGCAAACUACGAACUCGAUGGUGACGCAAGACACAGGCGAGCUUUUUAUCCAGGUUCGGCCGCCGAGUUGGCGUAAUACCUACGUCCUGCGUCUGAUUGCAUUGGUUUGGAUUGAGAGAAUAAUGUGUGUAUGACUUGUCCUCUAGGGGAUCCCUGCCCCUCUUUAUAUAUCCUGAAGGGACAGAGUUACAAGCAAAGUAUCCUAUUUGGUACAAAAUCUUGUAGCCUUGCGGUGCACGCCGACCAGUCGUGCGCCGCACGUCUUCAUCUUGUGGGCCGAGCCACCUCUGAUGGUGCGGCCCAUAUAGGCCCAUGAGGGUAUAAGGGUUUAUACCCCCACAGCUAGUCCCCGAGCACCAUGUAUUAUGAUGUAACACGCUGUCUUGAGCUUCUUCGAUCAGUGAGGCUUGACGUCUUCAAUAAGCAGGAAUGUCGCCCAAACGGUUGCAACGGUAUUUUGACCAACUCAAAAGACAGUUGAUCAACAUUGACCUCAAAGAAGCAGGUUGUUCGAAGAAUGCAUGGUGCUCCAAAUUAAAAAAGAUUUCUUUCCUGGUGAAGUGUGCCCACUUUACUUUUUCUGAAAAGUAUAGACCUCAAAAAAGCAAGCAUAUUCACCGCAAGGUGAAGUGUGCCCACUUAGUCCCCGAGCCUGGUAGUAGGUGACGUAGGCACAUGAUGCCAGGGUCAAAAGAAAAGUCCUCAAAGAAAUUCUGAAACUGAGAUGCAUCGCCAGAUGCAUCGUACCGAUGUAGUCCCCGAGCUUGCUGGAAGACGAAGUAUGAGCCUUGUAGCAAGGUCUAAAAAAUUGAAUUUACCAGUCCGUCUGCAAUUGAAUAGACUAAUCGACCAGUCCCCGAGCAUAUAACGCUCGGUGGUCGGUACAGUCCCUGAAUUCUCAAAUUGGUGGGCUGGUCGACCAGUCCUCGAGCGUAUAGUGCUCGGUGGUCGGUACAGUCCCAAAAUUCUCAAAUUGGUGGGCUGGUCGACCAGUCCCCGAGCGUAUAGUGCUUGGUGGUCGGUACAGUCCCAAAACUCUCAAAUUGGUGAGCUGGUCGAACAGUCCCCGAGCGUAUAGUGCUCGGUGGUCGGCACAGUCUUCGAGCACAGCAUAGAGAGUAGUCGACAAGUCCCCGAGCGUGGUUGGGAACGUAAACGUGCUCGGUGGUCGGAGCAGUCCCCGGGCAUAGCAUAGGGAAUAGUCGACGAGUCUCCAAGCGUAGCUUGUCGACUGGGCCAAACUCCUGAAAAAUAAAUAUAAAGAAUUGGUAGUACAUGAUGUAUAAAUAACCUUUAGAUAAAAAAUCAGUACUAAGAUAAGUUUUAGAUUUGUUCUUAUAAAAUUAGCACGAGUAGUUAAUUCAUCCUAGAGCUUUAACCAGCUCUGGUCUAGCCAACAAUCAGCAUGAGGUGCGGAACCUAGGCACGCGUAGGAUUGUCAGCCACGUCAGAGAGCUACUGCCGACCACCCGGAACGCAGAGGGCGGAUCUCGUGCACGUGUAGGGAGGCGUCGGAGACAGUACCGGCUCUGGAAAGCUCGUGUAGGAGAAAAAACUAGUCGGCUAAAAAAGUUGUUUUGAAGAAUAAUAAUCUUAAAAAUAUUAUGCCAAAAAUAAAUAAAAUAUUAGAAUUGUACUUAUCUUUGGACGAAAGUCUGGUUGGGAGAGUUGCUUGACUUGUUGUCGUGAUGGUGGUCGCGGCUGUCGUAGCGCCAUUCUUCACGGCGAUUAUUAUUGCGACUCGUGGUGAGAGCAAGUAGGCCAAACAACUUGGUCGAUAGCCUGAGCAGGUCGGUGUCGUUGAUCUGCCUCCCUUUGUAGCAAAGAAGCGGGUGACGCGUUGUCGGCGUGGUCGGAGACGUUGCUGGAGUAGUUGGAGUCGUAGCCAGCGUGGUUGAAGCCGCCGCCGACGUCGAUGAAGAAGUGGUUGGUGCAGAUCGGAUCCACACCUCCUCUGUGGUCGUGGCGGUGUAGCUGUUGAAGCUGACGGUGAACGUGAAGUCGCCUGCCAUGGCCACGAAGUCAGGGAUGAUGACCAUCUCGUUCGUCGGGAGAGCUGUACGCGUACCCCCUACCUGGCGCGCCACUGUCGACGAAAGCUGGUCGGCAGUAUACCUUGGGGUAUACCCACGGUAGUAGUUUAUCGGUAGACGGUGCGCAAACUACGAACUCGAUGGUGACGCAAGACACAGGCGAGCUUUUUAUCCAGGUUCGGGCGCCGAGUUGGCGUAAUACCUACGUCCUGCGUCUGAUUGUAUUGGUUUGGAUUGAGAGAAUAAUGUGUGUAUGACUUGUCCUCUAGGAGACCCCUGCCCCUCCUUAUAUAUCCUGAAGGGACAGAGUUACAAGCAAAGUAUCCUAUUUGGUACAAAAUCUUGUAGCCUUGCGGUGCACGCCGACCAGCCGUGCGCCGCACGUCUUCAUCUUGUGGGCCAAGCCACCUCUGAUGGUGCGGCCCAUAUAGGCCCAUGAGGGUAUAAGGGUUUAUACCCCCACAAUGGGUGGAUCGUAUUCAUCUUCUCCCUUGUCAAUAACCUGAAAGUCUGUGUAGACAAAAUGAUCGUCUAUUUUGACUCGGACAUUAGUUACUAUUCCUUUAACCUCUCGAAAUGUCUGAUCUGCCAUCUGGAGCUGAAUGUAUGUUGGUUUUAGGGGCAUGGUUCCGAACAAGAGCCGAUAGGUGACUGCGGCCAUUAUGUUGACGCCCGAUCCGUUGUCGCAAAACGUCUUGUAGAAGCUGUAUCCAUUUAUGGAGCAGUAGAUGCUUGGCAUUCCUGGGUCGUCCUUCUUGGUCAAAAACGGCAACUUAAGUUGUUGAUCUUGACCUCCAUGAACUGCAGUGACCAUCUUAACUGACUCGGUCCACACUUGCUUGUUCCUGUUCCUCCUGUUGGUCCUCUUCCUUGAUUCAUGUCUGGAGUUAUCUGGAAUUUGUGUAGUCUUGUUCUUGAAGGAAAAUGUCUCCUUUCUCCCUUUGAUGUAGAAACUGAUCUUGGCAGCACUGGCGUAGAUGACAGCUCCCGAGGUGUUCAAGAAUGGCCUCCCUAAGAUGAUGGGUGCUCUCUCAUCAUUACCGGUCUCUAUCACCACGAAGUCUGCUGGGGCAUACAAGGUACCAACUCGGACACAAAGGUUGUUCAGUAUUCCUUUUGGAAAACUUAUCGUCUGAUCUGCAAACUGCAAACACAUGCCGAUGGAGAUCGGAUGACGGGGCGUCCUGGAUCGCCUCUCUUGACCGGCAGAAGGUCAGUAGAGAAUUCAGUGACUGGGUUACUCCAAUUACCUGCAUCAAACAUGUCUACAAGAUUUGCAGAUUCUAAUCCUUUCGGUUGUGAUGGUAUAUCGGGGUUAGUAAUAGGAACAGCAGCAGCUAUUUGAUUUAACUGAGAUUCAAUCAUUUUAUUAAAGCUAAUUUGAUUCUUCAUGGCAGUAGAGAAAUUAUCCAUUCUAUUAUUUAUAUUUUCUAGCAUUUUAUCAUUAGAUGCCAAUUUCUUAGAUAGGUUAUCCACUAGCUUUCCUUGAUUAGACAAUAACUCUCUCAAAGGUGGAAAAUUAUUAGUAUUGUUAUAGGAAUUAUUACCUUGAUAAUUACCUGAGUAGUUAGGCCUUUGUUGAUUCCAACCUUGAUUUUGUUGAGGACGGUUGUAGUAGUUGUUGUUGUUAUUGUUGAUGUAGUUCACAUCCUCAAGUAUGUCAGGACAGUGAUUGCCUGAGUGUCCAGUGUCUCCACACUCCUCACAAGUCAUGUGAGAGUCGUAGAUGUGCAUAACUUCUUUCUUAUCUCCAGCUCUAUCAUCGAGCUUCUUCAUGAGCAGGUCUAGCUUUGCAGACAACAUGUCUACCUCCUUGAGCUGAUGCAUACCUCCACCUCUCUUGCGUGUCUGGGUUCUCUCUUCAUUCCAACUUUGGUUGGAUGCCAUCUUCUCCAUAAGAGCUAUGGCUUGUGAUAUGGUAAGUGAUAAGAAUGCUCCUCUAGCUGCAGCAUCCAUGGUCUCUCGGGCACUGUUGCCGAGCCCAUGAUAAAACGUCUGCAUCAAUAGCCAACUCUCCAUUCCAUGAUGAGGACAUUCUAGGAUAUAGUCUUGAAAGCGCUCCCAUACUUCUCGAACAGAUUCAUCAUUUUGUUGCUGAAAACUUGUAAUCUUCCCACGGAGAGCAUUGGUCUUGCCCAUGGGAAAGAACUUAGCUAGGAAGUUUGUUGAGCAGAGUGCCCACGUAGUAUUCUCCUCCUUUGUAGCGUAGAACCACUGCUUCGCUCUUCCUAACAGUGAGAAUGGGAAGAGGCGAAGUAGUAUAGCAUCUCUGGGGACUCCUGAUAUGGUGAAUGUGCUGCAUAUCUCCAGGAAGUGUUGGAGAUGAGCACUAGCAUCUUCGUGUGCAUUCCCACAGAACUGGUUGGAUUGCACCAUGUUGAUAAGUCCAGGCUUGAGCUCAAAGUUGACGUCGAUCUCUGCAGCAGGUCCAGUGCGGAUGUUGUCUGUAGUGGGAGCUCAGAACUCGCGGAUUGAUUUGUUCGCCAUGGCUUCGAACUCUGAAGACAAGUUCUGGUGAUCUUCUUGAUUGGAUGAAGCUUCUUGCUAAAGUGUUGAUGAUCUCUUCUUGAGCUUGGCUCUUGUUUUUCUGAAUAAUGCUUCGGGAUUGUCAACAAAAUUUCCUAGAAGAUGUCUUCUAUUCAUACAUUACCCUGCAUAAGAUAAAAUAGAAAAAUAUCAGGGUAAAACUGUAUGAGAGAAUAGAUAAGCUCAAUAAUAUUAGUGAUGCGAAUGAUAACUCAAAAUCUAUAUCCAUUCUUGAUUAGUAAUCAACCUUCCCCGGCAACGGCGCCAAAAAUGCUUGUUGGGUAUUCUUAACAUCAUUACCAAAAGUAGACAGUUUUGUAAUUCUAGUAACGGUGCCAAAAAUGCCAAACCUAUCCCUCAUACCACUUAAGCCAAGUUGUCAUCCCUAGCAUGACAUGAGAGACACGGUAUUGAAAUAUGCAAUUGCUCUUCUAAAUAAAUAAUGAAUGGGAUCUGCAAGCGCACAGAUUAAUACCGAUGUAGCAUUUUAACCGGGAAGUAUUUCAGGUAUCAUUAUUUAUAUUUUUACCACUAGGAAGGGAUUAACAAUCAUCAAUAUUGAUUACAGAAUAGAAUAUGAGAUUGAGUAUCUAUCAUUGCAUGUAUAAUUGAGAACAUUUAUAUAAUUCUUUCAUACAGGGAUAAGUGUCACAUAAAAGAUAUAUGAAGUAAUGAAUAGUGACAAAGAUAAUUAAUUUGAUCAGCAUAACUUAGCCACAUAUAAAUAUGAUAAGCACCUCAAUUAGAUACUCUAGAAAGUCAUUAGCAUGGAAUUAGAACCAACUACAAGAAUAUUUCCUAAGUUAGUCUCAACUAUAUAGUCUAGCAUUAUCAUAGUUAGUGCAAGCAUACUUAGCAAUCAUUGCAAGACAAGACUACGCCCAUGCAUAGUGAUAUUAGCAAGGUAAAUGAGAAACAUAGCAAUCACUCCCCUAUUAUAAUGUUGCUCUGCCAACCCAAUACACGAGAGGGGGACUAUAUAACAAUCAAUAAAGCUGUCACUAUCACGAACUACCCCACGAUUUGGCAUAUUGGGUACAAUCGUAGAUAAAUACGGUAUAAGCACCACGCCUACACAAUAUCUGUCAUUUACCCAUGGAUCCGAUGGAUAAACGCUAUACGAUCCUAAGCAUGUAUAUUGAUCCAAUCUAACUAAGCUAAGUACAUAACUAUGAUAAACCAAGAACAAUGUAAUCUUGAAUAUAAGCAAGUAGAGCAAAGUCAUAAGCAAUAUAUUGAAAUAGAACAAAGUCAUAUUCAUAAUAUUGAAGAACAAAGAUGAUUAGAAGAACAAUUAGAAGCAUAAUUAGAGAAUUACCAAGAAUCCUCCUGACAGAUCCGGAAACCAAUCGAAGAUUGACUCCUUCUAGUUCUAAUCCUAUGUAGCUAUGCUAAUCUAGAUGUCUAAUUGAUGUGGUGGCUCUAAUCUUGAUCAGAGGCUUCUUCUCCCUUGAGGAAUAACGAAUUAGGGUUUAGAGGCUCUCUCCUCUAGGGGCCAGGGGGUCUGGUUUUAUAGUCCCUUCAAGUGAAUAUGGGUCGUUGGAUCAAACCGACAUAGAUUGAACGGUUAUCCUUGAUCCUUUAUGUCGGUGGAGAUCUUUCCCGAAAGGGUAUCCUGAUUGGACUACUACAGGUGGCGGGCGCCCAGGGCAAUUGGGCGGGCGCCCAGUGCCUGGCCCCGUUCGGCCUCUGCUUCCUUCUCGUGGCUUCUGGAGUCUUCUAGAUGUAAGAUAAUUGCGCGGCACGUUAAUAUCUCUAUGUAAUCCCGACGUGUGGGCCUUUCUUCCGUAUUUCCUGAUAACCCCCUACAGAAAUAGACAAACACCAAAACUCGUGGAAUUCUGUCAGAUAAAACCCUAAGUCUAGAUGUUGAUUUCAUUUUGAUCCUUUUCUUUGUUUAUUUGAUAAUUAAAUUUGGUACUUAAGGACCGUCAACACCUACAGACUACUCUACAGACCUACUGCUCGGGCUGAUCACCCGCAUGGCUCGCUUCUCCCGCCGAAGGCGUCAGGGCCACCGGCGCCUGGCUGGUUGAGACUGCAGGCGUCGACCGCCCAUAUCCGGCAAUCGAUGCCCCCGACAAGUCCCUGGCCGACCUGUCUGAUCCCGGCUGAUCGGGGGGAGUUGAUGUCCCGCAGAGAUUUAUAUCGCUGAUCAUUGUCGACGAUAGGUCCAGCAGAUUGACGCGAAGGUCAUCCGCCUCCCUUGGACCAACUCAUUUGGAUAUCCCCGCUCAAGCCGGAACAAAUCAACCAGGGGUAGUGGGCGCGUACCAUGCUGAGGACGUGCGCUCAGGCAAACUCACCAGCAUCCUUAACAAAUUCCUGAAGCCAGCCCCACGCGUGCGGCGCCUUUUCGACUAGGGUUAGCUUCAGCGCGCGGGGCUGGUCCUCGGGGAGCUCGGGACUAAUCAGGUCAAGUACCGGAGCUACUCCUUUCCAGAUCAUGAUGCAGUUGGUCUUCCAGGAGUCCCGUUCCUUGACCAGCUCGUCCAGGUGCUUCUUAGUGUUGACUUUGAGCACUACGAUUGAGUUUUCAAGAAAAACCAAGCAAACAGUCAGUUUAAACAAGAGGAAAAGAAAACCGCGUGGUCGAAAAGGGCGAAACGGUUCUUACCAGCCAGCUCCCGACUCUUGUUCCUCAGCUCCUCGCCAGCCUUCCGCUUGGUAUCCAGCGCACCGGCACGCUCCUUCUCGUGAUCAUUAUCGGCUAGUCGCCGAUUCAGAUCCAGCAGGCGUUCUUCCUGAGCUGCCUUCUCAGCCGCCUCCUUCUCGGCCUCCAACUGAAGGCGGUCCACCUCAUCGGUCAGGGCCUUGUUCUCGGCAACUAUACCCUCAAUUUGGUCGAAGCACCUCUUCCGGUACUUCGCCAUUUUCAUUGCACCCUACAAGAAAUAUACAUGUCAUACAGUGAACAAGCAACAGUACACACAUAUUCUGGCAGAAUACUAGACCACUUACCUUAACUUCGUCAACGAGCCGCUUAGCAGCGCGCUCUACCCUCGCCGCCUCCUCAGUCUCGGCGAGCUCUUCGUGGCCGGCCCUGUGGUCCCCACCCUGGCGCCACACAUAAACGUGUUGGCGACCAUCGCAGGGACGCCCCUGGAUCUCCUCCACUUCAUCAUUAGAGGCCGCUUCGGCCUCGAUGCCCUCCCCGCUACCCCCGGCCAUGGUAACAGGUAUCAUCGGACCAUUACCCCGGUUAUGGGAGCCCUCUGGCGUGCAAGCAUCUGCCGGGACUGGAGUUGGGGCCCUCUCUGCUUCAGUAGGAGGGGGGGUCGGGACCUUGUCUCCCUCCUCCGCAACACUGCUUGGGGGAGGCAUCCUUUCCGUCUCAUCAGCCCUUGUCGGGGUCCUCGCCCCAGCCUUGUCUCAAGCCGGGUCCUCCUCGGUGGUCUCCGUCACGGACACAGCCGCAGGCUGCUCCACGGGCCGCUCACAAGCAGUCUGCCCGGCGGCAUCCUUGUCAGCAACGGCCGGCUCGGUUGUUCUCAAGCCGCCAAUGUUGCUCGGAUCAACGUCCGAGGCCGCACUAACAAGAAAGAGCCGAUGCAAAUUCCCAUAACAACAGUAUACUUUGUAAAAACAAAGAAAGUGCAGAAGACAUGUUUUAGAACUCAAAGGUCGGAGCUCCUGUGCGUCGCCGCGAAGAACCUUCUCCUGGUCCUCCCAGCUGCCGCUGCUGCUUCUGCCCCUCCAAGUCGUAUUGGCUCGGUGUGCAGGCUAGGAGGAUCACUGGUUACCUGACCAGCGUCAAUCGGUGCGACGUCAGGGCGGCUGGGCGGUCUUCGGACCAAAGAUGGCGCAGCCUCGUCCUCUUCAUCCUCGUCAUCGGCGAUCCUGAUGAGCCAACGACACUUCGGGGCUUGGCUGGUCUCCGUCGGCAUUGCCUCCGUGGGGGAUGGCUCCACAGCCAUUGGCCUUUUCCCCGCCACCCUGUCUUCAGUAGUUGGUGCCGGUCGGUUCUGGUCUUCCUCGCUGCUGGUGUGUUGGAGACACCGAGUAGCAUUGUCCGCCGGCGGGUCCACCCCUGCAGGAUGAUCCAUACCGGGUGCCAGCGACACGUACAACGAGCACCGGUCAAUAUCUCCUAUCUGCGAUACAACAGCGACAAGUCAUCAGUCAAAAGUCAUCAGUCAACAGGCAACAGUAUUCACAUAGCAAUACAAAUAAAUAAUGGUAUUCAUUUACCUUAGGAGCUGGUUGGCCCAGCUUGUAGGCAGGCAUCCGGUCAUCACUUCGAACGAAGUUAUCAUCAAUAAGGUUGAAUAACUCGUUCAUCAACCGCUGGACCUCUGCCUUCUCCAAACCGUCCCAGUGCAUCCUGGUCGGGUCUUGGCUUCCUGCGUACUCGUACGCCGAGUGCACCCUCCUCUGGCAGGGCAUUACUCGUCGCACGAGGAAGUUCCCGACCACUCCUAGUCCGUCCAGGCGGGACCAGUCGAUCAGGGUCAUCAUCUCCGACACUUGACCGGUGUACUCAGGCCGAUCUGUCCAGCUGACCAUCUUCUCGGGAAUAUAUCCAACGUUGCAAAAAGUGGCGCUGCCCGGUUCUUCCCUAAUGUAGAAGAACCUCUUGUACCAUUCGAUGAGGGAGGUGUUCGACGGGCAACUGAGGUAACAGUUUUUCAUCCCGUCACGAAGAUUGAGGUAUACUCCAACUGCAAUCUUGGAGCCUCCAACUGCUACCUUCUUCCCCAAGCAGAAUAAAUAACGGAAGAUAUCAAAGUGCGGCUCUAUCCCGACAUAGGCCUCGCACAAAUGUAUAAAAGUGGAAACGAGAAGAAUAGAGUUCGGGUGCAGGUUGCAGAUCCCGAUCUCAUAGUAAAGAAGAAGGCCUUGAAGGAAAGGGUGAACUGGAAUCCCAAAUCCCCUCUUGAAAAAAUCUUUGAAAACUACGAUCUCACCGGCGUGAGGUCGGGGUAGCUUUCCCCUUCCAGUGCUCUCCAGCCACCGAGCUCCUGAUUGUGCAGGAGCCCCAUCCCGACGAGGUCGUUGAGGGAUUUUGUGUUGCUUUGGGACUUCUUCCAUUCCUUGGCCAUCAUCUCGGCCCUCUUCUUGGCGUCGCUCUUCGCCAUUUCCUUCCUGUGGAAAGCUUCGAGCUCAGAUUUGGGGUUUGAAGGGGCUGAGGAAGAUGAAGGCUGGGCAAUAGUAUGUGACUGCUGGGUAAAGAACAAGGGUGCGACCUUGGGCUUUUUAUAACAACAGCCCCACCUCUACCACUUCCCGCAUUCUGGGGAAGUGGGCGGAUCUUGCGGCAGCUGCGGCGUUUCGGUUUUCAAUAGUUAUCACAGUUAUUUUGGUGGCUUUUCUGCAUAAUUGAUGAUUUCCUUUUCUUGGACCGUGCAAAGAGCGGCUACAUAGUUACCAGGCGCAUCUUUUUACGCAACAGCCUGACAAAGUUGCAGGAUACCCCGUCACAUCGCACAUUAAUACGACGAUACGAUUUUUUCAAAAAGAGAAGUAGGACUUUUGGUCAGACAGACAUGAUAUACUUGGUGCCUGUACUGACCACCGAGCAUGACAUGCUCGGGGACUGGUCGAUCGAUCUGCCCAUUCGACAUCUCGGUGACUGUACCGACCACCGAGCAUGACAUGCUCGAGGACUGGUCGAUCGAUCGGCCCAUUCCACUUCUCGGGGACUGUACCGACCACCGAGCAUGACAUGCUCGGGGACUGGUCGAUCGAUCUGCCCAUUCGACAUCUCGGGGACUGUACCGACCACUGAGCAUGACAUGCUCGUGGACUAGUCGGCCAGUCUGCCCAUUCGAUACACUCGGGGACUGUACCGACCACCAAGCAUAAUAUGCUCGGGGACUGGUCGACCAAUCUGUACUCUCGACAACCUGUUGAUUGCACCGACCACCGAGCACGCGAUACUCGGGGGCUGGCUGAUUAGUCUCAUCUUUUGAAAGUCUGGGGAUUGUGCCCAAUCUCGAGCAUGACGCACUUAGGGAUUGGUUAAUCGGUUCUCUCAGACACAAAAAAAAGUGCAACACGAUCUUGGCAUUAAAAAAGCAAAUGCAUAACGGCUGCUCAGAUAAUCCUAAUUUUUUAGACCUUUUUACAAGGCUCAUACUUCGCCUUCCAACAAGCUCGGGACUACAUCGGUACGAUGCAUCUGGUGAUGCAUUUCAGUAUCAGGUUUUCUAUGUGGUUUAUCUUUAGACCCUGGAACCACGUGCCUACGUCACCUAGUACUAGGCUGAGGGACUAAGUGGGCACACUUCACCUUGUGGUGAAUAUGCUCGCUUUUUAAAAGAUUAUACUUUUCAGAAAAGUAAAGUGGGCACACUUCAUCAGGAAAUAAAUCUUUUUUGAUUAAGAGCACCAUGCAUUCUUUGAACAACCUGCUUCUUCGAUGUUAAUGUUGAUCAACUGUCUUUUGAGUUGGUUAAAAUACUAUUGCAACUGUUCGGACGACUUUUCUGCUUAUCGAAGACGUCAAGCCUCACUUGUCGAAGAAGCUCAAGACGGCGUGCUACAUCACAAUACACGGUGCUCGGGGACUAGCUGUGGGGGUAUAAACCCCUAUACCCUUACGGCUAGACUUGGGCCAGGAGGCUUGGCCCAUCACAAGAUAGUUCGAGGCUUGAUCCAAUUGCUCGGAGUUUUGCGCAAGGAAACAAGACGUGGAGAUCAAGUAGGAUUCUAGUCGGUUGGAAUAGGAAUUUAUAUUGUACUAUCUAUGGCAAUUGUAACCGACUAGGAUUAGUUUUCGAAUCUGUAACCCUGCCCUCUGGACUAUAUAAAGAGAGGCAAGGGACCCCCCUAGGACAUAUCAUCUCAACUCAACACAACCCAAUACAAUCAGACGUAGGACAUAGGUAUUACGCCCACACGGCGGUCGAACCUGGAUAAAAACCUUGUCCGUGUCUUGCGUCACCGUCGAGUUCAUAGCUUGCGCACCAUCUACCGAUAAACUACUACCAUGGGUAUACCCCAAGGUAGACUGCCGACUAGCUUUCAUCGACAGAAACCUAGAGCCACUAUAGUUCUUCCACAUAAUUAAAUGAUAGACAUCAAUGAGAUCCAAAUACUGAAAUUAAAGAACCAAAUCGUCACUUGCAUAUAUGAUGAAUAGUAGAAGAACCUACCAUGGGUUCCUCGAGGGAGGGAUGUUGUGCCGCCGCCGGGCCCUGACUCACGUUGUGGUCGUGCAUUCUAGGUGCAGGAGGGAGAUCGGGACGCCUCGGCGCCGCUACCGCCACCGCCGUAUUGACAUUGCAUCGUCGUAUCCCUAGCGUCGUUUGGCUCGGCUUGCGCACGAACCUACCCCUACUUAUCGCGCGGCUGCUGGUUGGAGUGGUGCUUUGAUGGCGGCGAGGCUAGUGCAGCAGGGGAGCGGGAAGGUGCAGCAGGGGAGUGGGGAGGCUAGUGGUUGCUGUGGGUUUUGCAAGCGCUGGCCAUUUCGCCAAUGGAGAGGUUGCGCUCUUUGCGGGCGAGACGAGAGCGAAACGAGGAGGAAGUCGAUGGGAUAGUUUGGGGUCAGUGGACAUGAAUACCUGUUUUCAUGGUAGUAUUUACGUGUGGGCUCGACCAUCAAUAGUCCCUGGUGUUAUUUGAAAGUUGUGCUACACAUCCCUUAUAUGUCUAUGUACAUGUACCUCAUUGCACGCCUAGAACAUGUGGGAGAGAUGAGGCCCUCUACGAGCACGUGCAUGACCACUUUCUGAGAAUUGACUCAAACUUUUUUCUCAACACUAUACAGCUAAAUUAUGUGACCAUGCAAGUUUUAGAUUUUUCUAAGCACCUCAGGCAUUUUUCCAUUUUUUCAUUAGAAAAUCAACAAAUAAUUACAAAAAUAGGUAAAAAUAGUCCAAAAAUUGCCUAGGUGCACACAACAUCAUCCCUCACCUACACAAACAUCCUAAAAAAGUUUCAAGUGGUUUGGUGAAAGUUGUGCUACACAUCCCUUAUAUGCCUAUGUACCUCAUUGCAGAGUGACUAGGACAUGUGGGAGGGAUGAGGGCCUCUGCGAGCACGUGCAUGACCACUUUCUCAGAAUUGACUGAAACUUUUUUCUGAACACUACACAGAUAAAUUAUAUGACCAUGCAAGUUUUUAGAUUUUUCUAGGUACCUCAGACAUUUUUUCCAUUUUUUUCUUUAGAAAAUCAACAGAUAAUUUCAUAAAUAGGUAAUCUUUGUCCAAAAAUUGCCUAGGUGCACACAACAUCAUCCCUCACCUACAUAAACAUCCUCAAAAAGUUUCAAGUGGUUUGGUGAAAGUUGUGCUACACAUCGCUUAUAUGCCUACGUACCACAUUGCAUAGUGACUAGGACAUGUGGGAGAGAUGAGGUCCGCUGCGAGCACGUCCAUGACCACUUUCUCAGAAUUGACUGAAACUUUUUCCUCAACACUACACAGCUAAAUUACGUGACCAUGCAAGUUUUUCGAUUUUUCUAGGCAACUCAGGCAUUUUUUUCAUUUUUUCUUUAGAAAAUCAACAAAUAAUUAUAGAAAUAGGUAAAAUUUGUCCAAAAAUUGCCUAGGUGAACACAACAUCAUCCCUCACCUACAUAAACAUCUUAAAAAAGUUUCAAGUGGUUUGGUGAAAGUUGUGCUACACAUCCCUUAUAUACUUAUGUACCUCAUUGCAUAGUGACUAGGACAUGUGGGAAUGAUGAGGGCCUCUGCGAUCACGUGCAUGACCACUCUCUCAGAAUUGACUGAAACUUUUUCUUCAAAACUACACAGCUAAUUUAUGUGUCCAUGCAAGUUAUUAGAUUUUUCUAGGCACCUGAGGCAUUUUUUCCAUUUUUUCUUUAGAAAAUCAAAAAAUAAUUAUAGAAAUAGGUCCAAAAAUUGCCUAGGUGCACACAACAUCAUCCCUCACUUACAUAAACAUCCUAAAAAAGUUUCAAGCGGUUUGGUGAAAGUCUUGCUACACAUCCCUUAUAUGCCUACGUACCUCAUUGCAUAGUGACUCGGACAUGUGGGAGAGAUGAGGGCCUCUGCAAGCACGUGCAUGACCACUCUCUCAGAAUUGACUGAAACUUUUUCCUCAACGCUACAGAGAUAAAUUAUGUGAUCAUGCAAGUUUAUAGAUUUUUCUAGGCACCUGAGAUAUUUUUUCCGUUUUUUUCUUUAGAAAAUCAACAAAUAAUUACAUAAAUAGAUAAAUUUGUCCAAAAAUUGUCUAGGUGCACACAACAUCAUCCCUCACCUACAUAAACAUCCUCAAAAAGUUUCAAGUGGUUUGGUAAAGGUUGUGCUACGCAUCCCUUAUAUGCCUAUGUACCUCAUUGCAAAGUGACUAGGACAUGUGGCAGAGAUGAGGGCCUCUGCGAGCAUGUGCAUGACCACUCUCUCAGAAUUGACUGAAACUUUUUCCUCAACACUACACAACUUAAUUAUGUGUCCAUACAAGUUUUUAGAGUUUUCUAGGCAGCUCAGGCAUUUUUUCCUUUUUUCUUUAGAAAAUCAACAAAUAAUUACAUAAAUCGGUAAAAUUUGUCCAAAAAUUGCCUAUGUGCACACAACAUCAUCCCUCACCUACAUAAACAUCCUCAAAAAGUUUCAAGUGGUUUGGUGAAAGUUGUGCUACACAUCCCUUAUAUGCCUAUGUACCUCAUUGCAUAGUGACUAGGAGAUGUGGGAGAGAUGAGGGCCUCUGCGAGCACGUGCAUGACCACUCUCUCAGAAUUGACUGACACUUUUUCCUCAACACUACAUAGCUAAAUUAUGUGUCCAUGCAAGUUUUUAGAUUUUUUUAGGCAGCUUAAGCAUUUUUUCCAUUUUUUUCUUUACAAAAUCAACAAAUAAUUACAGAAAUAGGUAAAAUUUGUCCAAAAAUUGCCUAGGUGCACAGAACAUCAUCCCUCACCUACAUAAACAUCCUAAAAAAUUUCAAGUGGUUUGGUGAAAGUUGUGCUACACAUCCCUUAUAUGCAUAUGUACCAUAUUGCAUAGUGACUAGGACAUGUGGGAGAGAUGGGGGCCUCUGCGAGCACGUGCAUGACCACUCUCUCAGAAUUGACUAAACCUUUUUCUUCAACACUACACGGCUAAAUUAUGUGUCCAUGUAAGUUUUUAGAUUUUUCUAGGCACCUCUGGCAUUUUUUCCAUUUUUUUUAUAGAAAAUAAACAAAUAAUUACAGAAAUAGGUAAAAUUUGUCCAAAAAUUGCCUAGGUGCACAAAACAUCAUCCCUCACCUACAUAUACAUCCUAAAAAUUGUUCAAGUGGUUUGGUGAAAGUUGUGCUACACAUCCCUUAUAUGCCUACGUACCUCAUUGCAUAGUGACAAGGAUAUGUGGGAGAGAUGAGGUCCGCUGCGAGCACGUGCAUGACCACUUUCUCAGAACUGACUGAAACUUUUUCCUCAACACUACACAGCUAAAUUACGUGACCAUGCAAGUUUUUCGAUUUUUCUAGGCAACUCAGGCAUUUUUUCUAUUUUUCUUUAGAAAAUCAACAAAUAAUUACAGAAAUAGGUAAAAUUUAUCCAAAAUUUGCCUAGGUGCACACAACAUCAUCCCUCACCUACAUAAACAUCUUAAAAAAGUUUCAAGUGGUUUGGUGAAAGUUGUGCUACACAUCCCUUAUAUACUUAUGUACCUCAUUGCAUAGUGACUAGGACAUGUGCGAAUGAUGAGGGCCUCUGCGAUCACGUGCAUGACCACUCUCUCAGAAUUGACUGAAACUUUUUCUUCAAAACUACACGGCUAAUUUAUGUGUCCAUGCAAGUUAUUAGAUUUUUCUAGGCACCUGAGGCAUUUUUUCCAUUUUUUCUUUAGAAAAUCAACAAAUAAUUAUACAAAUAGGUCCAAAAAUUGCCUAGGUGCACACAACAUCAUCCCUCACUUACAUAAACAUCCUAAAAAAGUUUCAAGCGGUUUGGUGAAAGUCUUGCUACACAUCCCUUAUAUGCCUACGUACCUCAUUGCAUAGUGACUCGGACAUGUGGGAGAGAUGAGGGCCUCUGCAAGCACGUGCAUGACCACUCUCUCAGAAUUGACUGAAACUUUUUCCUCAACGCUACAUAGAUAAAUUAUGUGAUCAUGCAAGUUUAUAGAUUUUUCUAGGCACCUGAGAUAUUUUUUCUGUUUUUUUCUUUAGAAAAUCAACAAAUAAUUACUUAAAUAGUUAAAAUUUGUCCAAAAUUUGUCUAGGUGCACACAACAUCAUCCCUCACCUACAUAAACAUCCUCAAAAAGUUUCAAGUGGUUUGGUAAAGGUUGUGCUACGCAUCCCUUAUAUGCCUAUGUACCUCAUUGCAAAGUGACUAGGACAUGUGGCAGAGAUGAGGGCCUCUGCGAGCAUGUGCAUGACCACUCUCUCAGAAUUGACUGAAACUUUUUCCUCAACACUACACAGCUUAAUUAUGUGUCCAUACAAGUUUUUAGAGUUUUCUAGGCAGCUCAGGCAUUUUUUCCAUUUUUUCUUUAGAAAAUCAACAAAUAAUUACAUAAAUCGGUAAAAUUUGUCCAAAAAUUGCCUAGGUGCACACAACAUCAUCCCUCACCUACAUAAACAUCCUCAAAAAGUUUCAAGUGGUUUGGUGAAAGUUGUGCUACACAUCCCUUAUAUGCCUAUGUACCUCAUUGCAUAGUGACUAGGAGAUGUGGGAGAGAUGAGAGCCUCUGCGAGCACGUGCAUGACUACUCUCUUAGAAUUGACUGACACUUUUUCCUCAACACUACAUAGCUAAAUUAUGUGUCCAUGCAAGUUUUUAGAUUUUUCUAGGCAGCUUAGGCAUUUUUUCCAUUUUUUUCUUUAGAAAAUCAACAAAUAACUACAGAAAUAGGUAAAAUUUGUCCAAAAGUUGCCUAGGCGCACAGAACAUCAUCCCUCACCUACAUAAACAUCCUAAAAAAUUUCAAGUGCUUUGGUGAAAGUUGUGCUACACAUCCCUUAUAUGCAUAUGUACCAUAUUGCACAGUGACUAGGACAUGUGGGAGAGAUGGGGGCCUCUGCGAGCACGUACAUGACCACUCUCUCAGAAUUGACUAAACCUUUUUCUUCAACACUACACAGCUAAAUUAUGUGUCCAUGUAAGUUUUUAGAUUUUUCUAGGCACCUCAGGCAUUUUUUCCAUUUUUUCUACAGAAAAUAAACAAAUAAUUACAGAAAUAGGUAAAAUUUGUCCAAAAAUUGCCUAGGUGCACAAAACAUCAUCCCUCACCUACAUAUACAUCCUAAAAAUUGUUCAAGUGAUUUGGUGAAAGUUGUGCUACACAUCCCUUAUAUGCCUACGUACCUCAUUGCAUAGUGACUAGGAUAUGUGGGAGAGAUGAGGUCCGCUGCGAGCACGUGCAUUACCACUUUCUCAGAACUGACUGAAACUUUUUCCUCAACACUACACAGCUAAAUUACGUGACCAUGCAAGUUUUUCGAUUUUUCUAGGCAACUCAGGCAUUUUUUCUAUUUUUUCUUUAGAAAAUCAACAAAUAAUUAAAGAAAUAGGUAAAAUUUAUCCAAAAAUUGCCUAGGUGCACACAACAUCAUCCCUCACCUACAUAAACAUCUUAAAAAAGUUUCAAGUGGUUUGGUGAAAGUUGUGCUACACAUCCCUUAUAUGCUUAUGUACCUCAUUGCAUAGUGACUAGGACAUGUGGGAAUGAUGAGGGCCUCUGCGAUCACGUGCAUGACCACUCUCUCAGAAUUGACUGAAACUUUUUCUUCAAAACUACACAGCUAAAUUAUGUGCCCAUGCAAGUUAUUAGAUUUUUCUAGGCACCUGAGGCAUUUUUUCCAUUUUUUUCUUUAGAAAAUCAACAAAUAAUUAUAAAAAUAGGUCCAAAAAUUGCCUAGGUGCACACAACAUCAUCCCUCACUUACAUAAACAUCCUAAAAAAGUUUCAAGCGGUUUGGUGAAAGUCUUGCGACACAUCCCUUAUAUGCCUACGUACCUCAUUGCAUAGUGACUAGGACAUGUGGAAGAGAUGAGGGCCUCUGCGAGCACGUGCAUGACCACUUUCUCAUAAUUGACUAAAACUUUUUCCUCAACACUAGACAGCUAAACUAUGUGAGCAUGCAAGUUUUUAGAUUUUUCUAGGCAUCUCAGUCAUUUUUUCCAUUUUUUCUUUAGAAAAUCAACAAAUAAUUACAGAAAUAGGUAAAAUUUGUCCAAAAAUUGCCUAGGUGCACACAACAUCAUCCCUCACCUACAUAAACAUCCUAAAAAAGUUUCAAGUUGUUUAGUGAAAGUUGUGCUACAUAUCCUUUAUAUGCCUAUGUACCUCAUUGCAUAGUGACCAGGACAUAUGGGAGACAUCAGGGCCUCUACGAGCACGUGCAUGACCACUUUCUUAGAAUUGACUGAAACUUUUUCCUCAACACUACACAGAUAAAUUAUAUGACCAUGCAAGUUUUUAGAUUUUUCUAGGCACCUCAGACAUUUUUUUCCAUUUUUUUCUUUAGAAAAUCAACAAAUAAUUACAGAAAUAGGUAAAAUUUGUCCAAAAAUUGCAGAGGGGCACACAACAUCAUCCCUCACCUACAUAGUCAUCCUAAAAAAGUUUCAAGUGGUUUGGUGAAAGUUGUGCUACACAUCUUAUACUCUUAUAAAGCUAAACCCCACUAGAGAUUUCUCUCAACAUGCAAGCUAUUCACAUCAACAAUCCACUAAAAUUUGCAAUUAUAUCCAACUAGCACAUGUAAUUAUGAUAGUCAUCUCUUUAUCUACUAACAUACAUUUAGCUGUUCAUAUUGAUGUGUCAAAUCAUUCAACAAAAUUAAUUUAAGAUAAUUUCAUUCAUAUAAAUAUAAAUAUAAAUAGUCUAAUUUAUUUUUAAAUUAUCUGAAAUUCCUGUAGCAACGCGUGGGGUAUUCUCCAAGUUCCUUAUAUGCUUAUGUACCUCAUUGCCCAAUGACUAGGACAUGUGUGAGAGAUGAGGGCCUCUGCGAGCACGUGCAUGACCACUUUCUCAGAAUUGACUAAAACUUUUUCCUCAACACUACACAGCUAAAUUAUAUGAGGAUGCAAGUUUUUAGAUUUUUCUAGACACCUCAGGCGUUUUUUCCAUUUUUUUAUGUAGAAAAUCAACAAAAAAUUAUAGAAAUAAGUAAAGUUUGUCCAAAAAUUGCCUUGGUGCACACAACAUCAUCCCUCACCUACAUAAACAUCCUAAAAAAGUUUCAAGUGGUUUGGUGAAAGUUGUGCUACACAUCCCUUAUAUGUCUAUGUACCUCAUUGCAUAGUGACUAGAACAUGUGGGAGAGAUGAGGGCCUCUGCGAGCACGUGCAUGACCACUUUCUCAGAAUUGACUAAAACUUUUUCCUCAACAAUACACAGCAAAAUUAAGUGACCAUGCAAGUUUUUAGAUUUUUCUAGGCACCUCAAGCAUUUUUUCCAUUUUUACUUUAGAAAAUCAACAAAUAAUUACAAAAAUAGGUAAAAUUUGUCCAAAAAUUACCUAGGUGCACACAACAUCAUCCCUCAUAUACAUAAACAUCCUAAAAAAGUUUCAAGUGGUUUGGUGAAAGUUGUGCUACACAUCCCUUAUAUGCCUAUGUACCUCAUUGCAUAGUGACUAGGACAUGUGGGAGAGAUGAGGGCCUCUGUGAGCACGUGCAUGACUAGUUUGUCAAAAUUGACUGAAACUUUUUCCUCAACACUACACAGCUAAAUUAUGUGAGCAUGCAAGUUUUUAGAUUUUUCUAGGCACCUCAGGCUUUUUUUCCAUUUUUUCUUUAGAAAAUCAAAAAAUAAUUAUAGAAAUAGGUAAAAUUUGUCCAAAAAUUGCCUUGGUGCACACAACAUCAUCCCUCACCUACAUAAGCACCCUAAAAAAGUUUUAAGUGGUUUGGUGAAAGUUGUCCAACACAUCCCUUAUAUGUCUAUGUACCUCAACUCAUUGCAUAGUGACUUGGGCGUUGGAAAGAUGAGGGCCGCUGCGAGUGUUGACGGUCCUUAAGUACUAAAAUUAAUAAUCAAAUAAACAUGAAAAAGGAUCAAUAUGAAACAAACAUCUAGAAUUAGGGUUUUAUCUGACAGAAUUCCACGAGCUUUGGUGUUUAUCUAUUUUUGCAGGGAGUUAUCAGAAAAUAUGGAAAGAAGGCCCACAUGUCAUGUUUACAACGAGAUAAUUACGUGCCGCGCAAUUUUCCUCAAUCUAGAAGGAUCCAGAAGCCACGGGAACGAACGAGAAGCGAAUCGGGCUCGGGAGCUGGGCGCCCGCCCUGGCCAAGAGGCCAAUCAGGACUCUGCUUCGGGACAAGACUCCACCGACCUAAAGGAUCAAUCUAAACCAUACAAUCUAUGUCGGUUUGAUCCAAUGGCUCACGUUCACUUGAGGGGACUAUAAAACCAGACCCCCUGGCCCCUGGAGGAGAGGAGGAGAAAUCAUUAUUCAGAGGUAGCCAUAAAAAGUUAGGGUUUAGAUCUCUCUCCCACAGAGAAUUAGAAUUAGCUACUCCCUAAUCCUUCAAGUUUAGAGGUUGAUUAGAUAGCAAUUAGAGAAGUAGAGCACUACGCUCUGGAUUCGGAUCUUCGGUAAUAAAGAUUGGUAUUAUUCAUAUCUUUCUCUAAUUCUAUUGUUCUAAUUGCAUUGUGUCUCUAAUUAUUAUGCUCUUAGUUUGCUCUAGUUCUAUAUUUGAUAUAGUUCUAAUUGAUAAUGAGUUUAUGUAUAAGUUUGCAAAGCGCUUAGCUCUUGACGCGAGGGAGUUAGGUGACAGAUCACAUGUGAGCGUGGUGCUUAGAUGUUAUUUAUCUGCAAAUGUAUCCUAUUGGCCGAGUCGUGUGGUAGUUCGCGAUAGUGACAGCUUCGUUGAUUCUUAUAUAGUCCACCCUCCGUUGAUAGGACAGGCAGAACCGGUAUUGUGGAGUAAGUCAUGCGAUGUUCUCAUUUACUUUAUCAAUGUUCCUUAUACAUGAAUGAAGAGUCUUUUAUGCUAUAUAUGAUCUUGUAGAUAACUAGAGUAGAUUAUGACUUAGUAGUUAGUAGAUAACUUAGAAUCCAUUCUCUAGCUAAUCCGACAUCACCUACAUAUAUGAGGAGUAGUCUAUUUUCUAAUCGCUGUGCUAUUUAUCCCAUGAACUUAUACUUUAUUAUCAUUAUCUUUAUGGUUUACCCCCUGCUAAAGUAUGUGACUGUGUGACGAGUUUCUUAUUAGUAAUCAUGUUCUUGCAAGUUUAUCUCUAGUCUAUGCCUUGAUAGAUUUUGUCCCUUGAUUUAAUUCCAUCUCCUUAGAUCCCUAGAGCAAAAUUAUAAAUAACGAUACCUGUAAUACUUAUCCUGGUGAAAUGCUACAAUGAGGUGUUUUAUCUGUGCGCUUGCGGAUAGAAUGGAUUAUUUUCUAAAGAGCCUUUACAUUUAUAAAUACUUUUGUACACUCUGGCGCCAUGCUAGGGAUGACAACCUAGUAUCUAAGUGGUGUUAGCUAGUGUUAACAAGCAUUUCUGGCGCCGUUGCCGGGGAACUUAUAGGAAUUAUACGAAUCUCAGGAAUAAGUCAUAAAAGGGAACAAAAGGGUAAUAUUAAGGAAGCCAGAAAAUCAGUCAAGGUUAUUCAUAUAAAAUAUUAGACUAGACUAUAGAGAAAUAAUUGCAUAAAACAGCUACUAAGUGAGAAAUCAUAACAAGGCACCUCUGCUUUGGCAGGUUCACCCUGUUGUUUUUCUAUGUUUAUAUUUUUAUACAGGGUAUAACAGGAUUGACUUUGGGUACAUUCAACUCUUCAUCAUCAGAACCAAAGCAAUCAAGAGAAGAAGAAGCUAGCUACCAAUUGUUGAAGCUAUGGCACACAAGACCUUGCAAGAAUUCUCUGCUCCAAGUCUUGAGAACAUUCCAACUGGUCCAAGAUUUGCAGUAGAAGAAGGAAUACCCGAGUUUGAGCUCAAGUCAAGCCUCAUCAAUUUGGUACAAGCUACACAAUUCAGUGGAAAUGCACAUGAAGAUGCCAGUGCACACUUGCAGAAUUUCUUAGAAAUUGGAAGCACAAUCCACAUCAACGGAGUUGACAAAGACGUCAUACUACUUCGCCUUUUUCCAUUCUCACUAGAAGGGAAAGCGAGGAAGUGGUUCUACACUCAUCAAGAUAACAUCAACAACUGGACGAAGUUGUCAGAUGCCUUUCUAUCAAAGUUUUUCCCUAUAGGCAAAACAACUGCCUUAAGAGGAAAUAUUGUCAGUUUCCAACAGCAGAAGACAGAAGCCAUUGCAGAAGCAUGGGAGCGUUUUCAAGGAUACAUAUCAGAUUGUCCUCACCAUGGAAUGGCUACAUGGUUACUUAUGCAGACCUUCUAUCAUGGAUUAACCCAUAAGACUCGUGAGUGCCUAGAUGCAUCUGCUAAAGGAUCAUUCUUGGAGCUUACAACUAGAAAAGCAGAGAUACUUUUGGAUAAGAUAGCAGAAAACCAAUGUUGGUUCCAAGAUAAAGCUCAACAAUGUCAUCAAACUGAAGAAAUACCAGAAGAAGUAAAUGCACUAUCAACUAAGAUGGAAAAUUUGCUCCAUUGGAUUGACCAGAGGGCCAAGUUCAAAGAAGAUCAAAGGGCCAUUGAGACAGCAUACAAAUAUCAACCAACUUCGAGUCAACCCAAUAGCAAAGGUAAAGAAUAUAACUACUAGAGGAGGCAAAGCCACCAGAGAUCCACCAUACCCAAAAGAGAAACAAAGAACAUCAGCACCAGUGCAACCAGCAGUGAUAGAAGAAGAAAGCCCAGUUGAAGCAGAAGAUCUGCUACAACUACCAAGAAAUGGAGAAAUGAGGAAAGAUUUUUACGACACCAACUAUUUGCCAUUUCCCAGAAGAAACAGAGGAUUGCAGUCGGAUGAGCAGUUUGGUAAGUUUGUAGAGGUCAUUCAGAAUAUGUCAACAUACCUCUGCUCGAUGCCAUACAGGUACCUACAUAUGCAAAGUACAUCAGAGAUAUUCUUAACAAGAAGAGACCACUGCCCACCACUGGGGUUAUCAAGCUGACAGAAGAAUGUAGUGCGGCCAUCCUCAACAAACCACCAAAGAAGAAGGAAGAUCCAGGAUGCCCCACUAUUGAUUGCUCGAUUGGAAACCAACACUUCAACAAUGCACUUUGUGAUCUCGGAGCAAGUGUCAGUGUGAUGCCAGCAUCAGUCUACAAAAAGCUUGAUCAUGCAACCUUAGAACCAACAUCAAUGUGCCUACAACUAGCGGAUCAAUCGGUUCGACACCCGUUGGGCAUCGCCGAGAACAUUCCAGUCAAGAUCAGAGAUUUCCUGGUGCCAGUAGACUUCGUAGUACUGGACAUGAGUCCUGACUCGAAGGUGUCCAUCAUCCUUGGAAGGCCAUUUCUGAGCACUGCCAAUGCCCACAUUGAUGUCGGGAAGGGAGAAAUCAAGUUCAACAUAAACGGUCAAGAAGAACACUUCACAUUCAAACCCAGACCAGAGAAAGACUCUACACUGAAGGAAGUUCAUGAAGAACCACUGGAGACACCAUCUCCGGAGGAAGGUAACUCACAAGAUUAAAAGAUUUGGAGGUCCAGCUUGGGGGACCUAAAAAUCCCAAACCCUCACCGGGAGGUAAAUCGGUAUUUACCUGCAUUAUUAAGUUUCUCAUAUUUAAAUUCUUGCAUAGUUAAAUCUUGCAUUAGUCAUAUUUAUUCAUAGCAUUAUUAUAAUAAUGAAAAGCCCCAUAUAAAUAAUAUUCAUGGUGUGUAACAACCCAUAUUUAUUAAUUAUUGUGGAGGCACAAAAAUAUUUUCCAUUAUCAUUUUCAAUAAGUUUCAAUUCUCAUAGAUUUUCCUGCAUUAUAUUUAAUUAUAUUGAUCUUCUAGAAGCAUGACCCACACUCCUUGGGUCCCACAUGUCAUACACUUCACCUCACAUACAUCCCAUCACAUAAUUUCAUCCACCAAUAUGUUUCCACUCACUUGACAUCUUUCCACCGUCCAACCACCACCAACACAAUAUUAUUCUGCGUGAGAUCAAAGCAAGGAAGCAAGUGGAGGAGGCACACCCAGGAUGGACACCAGGGGUGGGCGCCCGCCCACCUACCUUGGGCGCCCGCCCUGUCCCCUGCUCAGCCUAUAAAAGGCCACCUCCAGCUCCCCUUCUCUUCACACAAACACUUCAGAAAACCACACAAAUCUCAGUUUCCCGAGAAGGAGCUUUUGUAGAGAGAAAGAGGAGAGUGGAAGGGAAGGUUGGAAUUCUUUUGAGAGAGUGUUUAUCACCUAGCAAGUAGUGAUCCCGUUGUCUAAGCGGAAGUAAAAGUUGUUUAGGGGAGGCUCUACCAAAAUAGAAACUUGUCUUGAACGAUUAACCCCUGGACUACUGAUAUUCCGGACAGCUGACCACUAACAUUUUCUCUCACAUUUUCCACCAGUUGUGUUUUUGCCAACUUUUGUUUGCAGGAUGUUUAAGAAGGUGAAGAAUGCAGGGAAGGCUCUCAAGAACAUUGGUACAAGGAGUUCAUCCCGACACUGCUCACAGCCAUCAGAGAUGAACGUCGAUCCGACACCCACACAAGCUCCAUCAUCUUCAUCAGGUCAGCAAGUUAAGGUCCUUCUCAAGAUAGGAGACCUAGGACUGAAGACCCGAAGAGAGAAGGAGGUCUAUCAGCAAUUGAAGAAUAAAGAUUUCAUUCACACCCCUACUCUCGAUCCAACCCUACUACAAGAAACAGGUAUGGACACUGAAUUUGACUUAAUUUUUUCAGAUGAUGGGUUGGACAAAUUUUUGGAAUAUAACUGAGCUGGGUUCUCGUCUUCUCACCCUCGAAUUUCUUUGCACCUUACAAUACUAUGAGGGGGGAAUUGUUUUUCGGAUGUUUAAACAGGAAAUUAUGUUAUCUUGGAGAGAGCUGAGCGACCAUCUUGGUUUCUCUUCAAGAUGCAUCCUGAACAUUGACUCCGAUUUACCCAACUUUGAGAGACACCAGUUUUGGAGAGAAAUAUCUAGAGAUAAUUUUUAUAGUCAAGCCCGAACCAGUGACAUGGAACACCCCACUCUUAGGAUGUUUCACAAAUGGCUUGGGUACAAUCUUUUCUAUCGUGACGAUAUUAGGAAAGUAAGAGUAGGAGAUUUACAACUUUUAUAUGCUGCUAUUAGUAAAGUACCCACUUCAUCUGUUACACUAUUAGUUUCACAUUGGCUUAGUAUACCUAGUCUGCAGGGACCAGUAGGGUGUACUUCACUUAUCACUCGUCUAGCCUCUAAUCUUCACUUACUAGAAAAUUCAUUGUUAGACUUCAUAGAAGAAUUAAGAAUUUAUCAUGGCUAUGACACAUUUAGACAAGCUCAGAUGUUAAAGAAAGAGGGGAACAUAAUAUAUAUGCUGUAUGAUGAUAAAGGCAAGAUUCGGUUACCUAACCCGAACCUUGGCCUCUACUCUGUGCAAAACUUUUUGAUUGAAAUUGCAGCAACACCAGUGAACCAGAGAACUCCACAGCGAGUGGCAUCUGAAAGGAUAACCACUCACCGAGAACGCACUUGGUAUGGAGCUGACCCUGGACCAGAAGAAGCAGCGCACCUGCAUUAUUGCGAUUACAACCCUCGAGUCUUUCGAGACCCAUGGUCUCGUCAUGCGCAACCACAAGAGCCAACAGAGGAGACAUGGCCGGAGAGACAAGAUCACCAGUGGACAAACCCGCCUUUUCAUACGGGCAGGUACUCCACUGAUCCAUAUGGAGCUUCAGGAUCCAGACCUCCACCCCAAGUUGAUGCAGGACGAUACUCCGAUGCCUCCUUCGCCUUCAUGAAUGACUAUUACCAAGAGGCCGGUGCUUUCUUCACUCGUACCGACAACACCCUCCUCGACAUCCAGAACACGCAAGCAGAACAUGGAAGACUCCUGGAAGAGCAACAAAAAUAGAACCAGGACCAUGCAGCUGCAGUAGAAGAGCCGAGACAAGAUACAACAACAAUGAACGACAACAUCACAACCAUGAUGCGGUUCUGGAACAUCGGGUAAGACCGACGUCAACAUCCAGCUUGGGGGAGUUUCUCCCCAAUUUAUCAAGUAAGUUUCUAUUUGCUCUUCUUAUUUAUUCUAUUCUGUCUUAGUAUUUAAUUUAUCUUAAAAGGAAAAAAACUUAGAAAACCAAAUAAAUAUUUUCUUGCUUUAAUUUACUGCACUUUAUAAACAUGAAAACAAAAUAAAAAGAGUGUGUAGAUAAGUGUGCUUUAUUUACCUGCUAAGUUCAAUCUCUAGAAAAAAAUAAAAAGACCAAAAAUAUGCAUGAUGGAAAUGAUGAACAGUUGCUCUGUUUGCUUACUUUCAAGUACCUAGCUUUUAUAUUAGAAUUCUUCCAGGAAUUACUAAAACUGAAACUUACUAUCUUUGGGAAGCAUAAAACUAAAGUCUAGGUAAGAGAAAGGCAUGAUAUAAAGUUGAGCUACUGUUUAUCUUGUUCCUACUACACUAAGUUCUAGAGAUUUAUUUUGAAAACUUACAAAUCACAUGAUGAGUUCCUAGCAUUGCAAACUACCUACCACAGCCAUACUUGCUAUAACAUCUUUUACUAUAUUCACAUUGAGUUUGAUCGAGCUGUGUUGACCCUUAGGAGCUUUUCAUGUGGUUAAAUUAAGAUAUUCACUUGCACACAUCUACCACAGCAUUCAUCACCAAUCAUUAAAAUUGCUAAAAAUAUAAUCACUCACUGUCCCGAAUAUUGUUAUUCUCUCUCUAAAAAGAUUUAAUGCAGAAGAGGCAUGGGUUAUGCAAAAAUAUACGAGGAAAUAAAAAGGGGCAAGUGCCCGGAACCUCGAAAAAGAAAGAAAAAGAGUGAGACGAGAGGUAAAAAUGGACAAGUGUCCGGAGUAGAAUUAGGGGUACAAAGAUGCCCACUUGAGCGGAAAAAAUGGACAAGUGUCCGACAGUAGAAUUAGGGGUAUCUACUACCCACCUUAAAAAAAAAGAGAGAAGAAGAAAAAGAUAGCCCAUGUUCUCCCAAAGCAAAGAUCAAAGAAGAGGAGAGAUAGCAAUAUAAGGAGCAAUGAGAACUAAAUUUUAUUAUUAUCACUUAUGCAUUUUCACCAUCACUAUCAUUUACUCCAUCACACAUGCACAUCUUGAUUUAAUUAUAUGCUGAGUUCCUUUGGAUCCAUGGCUCGAUUAGACAACAUAUGUAUGAGCUGUUUAUCACUCCUAUGAGCUCCACUUAAAUAUUCCAUUAGCUAUAGGUAAGUGAUAUUAUGGUAAGGAUCCAUAAAUACCACAUAUAGAGAGACUUGAGAGAAUCAUUGCUGGGAACUCUGAGUUUUAUUUUGAAAACUUAUGAAAAACUCUGGAACAAAGGUGAAGUAUAGACAGGAGGGAUAGUGCUUGACUUAACUAUUUUGUCUUUUGAUUACUUAAGAUUUAAGUGCAGGUACUAAACUCCAUAACACUUCACUCUAAUCUGGAAUAAUUUUUAUAUAAAAGCAUGUGUGCCUGUCAGGAAAGAAAACAUUGAAGCAACUCCUGAUCCGUCUGAGUUUAGCUGUUUGCUCAGGGACGAGCAAAGGGUAAGCUUGGGGGAGUUUGUUGACGGUCCUUAAGUACUAAAAUUAAUAAUCAAAUAAACAUGAAAAAGGAUCAAUACGAAACAAACAUCUAGAAUUAGGGUUUUAUCUGACAGAAUUCCACGAGCUUUGGUGUUUAUCUAUUUCUGCAGGGAGUUAUUAGAAAAUAUGGAGAGAAGGACCACAUGUCAUGUUUACAACGAGAUAAUUACGUGCCGCGCAAUUUUCCUCAAUCUAGAAGGAUCCAGAAGCCACGGGAACGAACAGGAAGCGAAUCGGGCUCGGGAGCUGGGCGGCCGCCCACCCCCCUUGGGCGCCCGCCCUGGCCAAGAGGCCAAUCAGGACUCUGCUUCGGGACAAGACUCCACUGACCUAAAGGAUCAAUCUAAACCAUACAAUCUAUGUCGGUUUGAUCCAAUGGCUCACGUUCACUUGAGGGGACUAUAAAACCAGACACCCUGGCCCCUGGAGGAGAGGAGGAGAAAUCAUUAUUCAGAGGUAGCCAUCAAAGUUAGAGUUUAGAUCUCUCUGCCACAGAGAAUUAGAAUUAGCUACUCCCUAAUCCUUCAAGUUUAGAUGUUGAUUAGAUAGCAAUUAGAGAAGUAGAGCACUACGCUCUGGAUUCGGAUCUUCGGUAAUAAAGAUUGGUAUUAUUCAUAUCUUUCUCUAAUUCUAUUGUUCUAAUUGCAUUAUCUCUAAUUAUUAUGCUCUUAGUUUGCUCUAGUUCUAUAUUUGAUAUAGUUCUAAUUGAUAAUGAGUUUAUGUAUAAGUUUGCAAAGCGCUUAGCUCUUGACGCGAGGGAGUUAGGUGAUAGAUCACAUGUGAGCGUGAUGCUUAGAUGUUAUUUAUCUGCAAAUGUAUCCUAUUGGCCGAGUCGUGUGGUAGUUCGCGAUAGUGACAGCUUCGUUGAUUCUUAUAUAGUCCACCCUCCAUUGAUAGGACAGGCAGAACCGGUAUUGUGGAGUAAGUCAUGCGAUGUUCUGAUUUACUUUAUCAAUGUUCCUUAUACAUGAAUGAAGAGUCAUUUAUGCUAUAUAUGAUCUUGUAGAUAACUAGAGUAGAUUAUGACUUAGUAGUUAGUAGAUACCUUAGAAUCCAUUCUCUAGCUAGUCCGACAUCACCUACAUAUAUGAGGAGUAGUCUAUUUUCUAAUCGCUGUGCUCUUUAUCCCAUGAACUUAUACUUUAUUAUCAUUAUCUUUAUGGUUUACCCCUGCUAAAGUAUGUGACUGUGUGACGAGUUUCUUAUUAGUAAUCAUGUUCUUGCAAGUUUAUCUCUAGUCUAUGCCUUGAUAGAUUUUGUCCCUUGAUUUAAUUCCAUCUCCUUAGAUCCCUAGAGCAAAAUUAUAAAUAACGAUACCUGGAAUACUUAUCCUGGUGAAAUGCUACAAUGAGGUGUUUUAUCUGUGCGCUUGCGGAUAGAAUGGAUUAUUUUCUAAAGAGCCUUUACAUUUAUAUACCUUUGUACACUCUGGCGCCAUGCUAGGGAUGACAACCUAGUAUCUAAGUGGUGUUAGCUAGUGUCAACAGCGAGCACGUGCAUGACCACUUUCUCAGAAUUGACUGAAACUUUUUCUUCAACACUACACAACUAAAUUACGUGACCAUGCAAGUUUUUAGAUUUUUUAGGCACCUCAGGCAUUUCUUCCAUUUUUUCUUUAGAAAAUCAACAAAUAAUUACAGAAAUAGGUAAAAUUUGUCCAAAAAUUGCCUAGGUGCACACAACAUCAUCCUCACCUACUUGAACAUCUAAAAAAGUUUCAAGUGGUUUGGUGAAAGUUGUGCUACACAUGUCCUAGUCACGCAGCGAAGAGGUCUCCAUUUAAAAAUGAACUCAACUGUAUUCGUGAGAAAAUGAACUCAACUCAACUUCAUUAAUGUGCAUCGGUGAGGGUUAUUUUCGUAACUAGCCAGCCCAUAUUAAGCACGGGCACCUACUCGGUGCGCGGUUUCACUCUUCUCGGCUUGCUCAUCUCUUCUUCUUCCACAGUCGGUUAGGCGAGGGAUUUUGGCAAGGUGGAUUGCGCGGUGGCGAGGCCUAGAGAUGGAGCGUGGAACCCAUGGCGAUGGCGACACUAGCCGGAGGAGGCUCCCUCAUCACGAGGCAACAGAGGUGGUGAAGAAGCCAAGGUGCAACACCCACUGUUCCUUGGGUGGCGGUCUCAUGGAGUCCAAUACUGAUUCCAUGGAGGCGGCGGCGUCCACCUUCACACGCCCAGCCGUCGGCAAGGAGAAGACCCUCAUCGACGAGGGCGGCAACCAGAAGGGCCACAUAUGCUCCACCGCGAUACCUCGCCCAAUCCCAAGGGGUUACGGUUUAUUAAAGUUUUGCCUUAUAUGUUUACAACACUGAUGCUUUCAUUAAUUUCAUAUUUUAUAUGAUUUAUGCUUAAAUUAAUUAGGUUAAAAUCAAAUUAAUCUAGUUUUGUCGUAAUUAAUGUAUGUUUAUCAUAUGUUUGUUGCAUUCGAUAAGCUUAAAAUUCAACAUAUCAUCAAUGUUAGUUUCGCAUGGUCAUAUUUAAUUGUUUAUCAAUGAUUGUUGCAUAUGAUCGAUUAUAGGAGCCGGCAAAACUAGAAGCUACUUUCUGCUUUUGGGCUGAAACUACAAAGCAUCAGAUGCAAGAAGACAUGGAGGACCUCUUUGAGAAGAUGAAUAAAGAGCUGCAAACCAGGGAAGACAGUGUAACAAUCUGUGAUAAGAUGAAGCAGGAGGUGAAGACCUAGAUUGAUCAUAACAUGGAGCAGAUGUGGAUGAAGCUGCUUUGGGAUUACAAUAUGUAUGGGCACCUUUGGGCUAAUGACUUAGAAUUUGAACUAGUAGGACUGUGGUGGUGCUGUUGGGAAGAAAAACUUUAAUUAACUAUAUAGAUAUUAGUACUUUGUAAAUAUAUAACUAAGUAUUGUGGUACCUUUUAAAUAUGUAAUACCCGAUUUUAAGGACAAAACCAGAUAUGCACCAUAUGUGAGUUUUAGAAGUCAAAUCCCACAUAUAGCUACAAAUAAGGGAUAAUAUCAAAAGACAAUUCACAAAUAUAUAACACACUUAAUAUAAAAGGGAUAACCUUUGAUAGCAAACAACGGAUAGACAACUCCAACUUCAGGUAUUAACUUCUCUCCACAGGAUCCAACUGACUGGUUGAUCACAAGUCCAAAACUUCUCCUGAGGUGUGGGGGAAAUUGCAAGAGUGAGCACAUAUCGUACUCAACAGGUAUAACCAGGGGUUCAUGAGGCUCAAAUAGCUAACACUGGUUUGACUGCAUUUAGCUUUUAUAUGUAGAUAGCAUAUUUAUAUUUAGAUAGCAAAUGUCAAGGUAGCAUAAUUAAAUCCCAUAACCACAUGAUCAAUGUAUACAAGAAUUAAGAAUAACACAUAUAAACAACAUAAUAAACCAUCAUUUAUCAUCAUUAAUCAUGUUUAUCAGUGUCCAUCUAUUCCGUCAGUUUUCCGGGCCGCCCGUAUCCAUGGGCACGGCUAGUAUACUAGAUUUAACACUCUGUAGAGGUUGUACAUCUUUACCCAUGAGUCAUGAUUUACCCUUUCACCCGAGGCCCGUCGACCCCUUAGCUCACUUCCAAGGAAAGCCGGCAGGGUUCACUAUGAAGUCUUUCAAAAGUUCGUCUAACAAGUUAGGGCCGCUUGGUUUCAUUAGUCAGUCCAUGUGAUUCACCCGCAGGAAUCCACGGUCUGCUAUUCCCCAAUUGCGCCACAAUGGGUAACCGCUAAUGAGCUAGAAAAAUUACUCAUACUUUGACUAAAGCCAGAGCCAUAUAGCCCUCAUGGUUGUACGAGUUGUCCUAGCUUUUGCCAACGGAUAAGUCCUUAUGGAGGGUCAAGAUCAAUCUAGCAAAAGCCAAAGUUCUUUCCACCCUUUAUAUUCAAGUUGCUAGAAAGCUUAUUUUAUUGUUUAUUGUAUAUCCAAACAUUCAUGUUACAAGAUCAUCGAUUAUAAUCAAGUACUAGCAAGAACUACCCCAAAUGCAUAUCCAAAUAGGUAUCAAGGAAUUCAAGAUAGCAAUCAUCUAUGAUUUUACUAGGGUUGUCAAGGUGGACACAUGCAUAUGAUAUAUGUAUUAAAGUGUGUAGGUAACAAGGAUGAUCCCAAGUUAUACUUGUCUUGAUCGAAGCUUUCCUGAGCCUGCUACUGGUCUUCAAAAGAUUGACCUUGAUCACCAACGUAUCGCUCACCGUCUAUACCCGAUCAUCAAUCAACAACACGCAUUCCAAUGGACAAUCAUACAUGAAGCAAACAAGCUAUAAUUAGAAUAAUACACCAAACAGUGGUAAAACAAAGAUAAAAGUUUAUGAAAAUAUUCUACGUAGCGCUACGAUCGCACAAAUGUAAAGAUCACGAAAAUCAGAAUUGAAACGGUGAAAUUAUGAAUUUUCUAAGAUUUCCUAUAGAUAAAUAAUUAAUUAAAUAGGGUCACAAAAUUAAAAAGUUUCAAACUGGGAAAACAAAGUUACUAACAUGUAGAUCUUUCGAAAAAAAAUCUAACGCAAUUUGAAUGAGUCAAAACGGAGUUCAAAUGAAUAUUUUAUAGCCAAAACAAACUCAGUGGCAAUUUUGUGAAUACCGGAAAGCGUAUUCUUAAAACGUGCUUUGGGCUGCGGGUUCUAUUAUCAAAAAGGGGAGGGGCUCUUUAGAAAUUAUGCCAGCCGAAAGGGUAUCUUCGUUUGGGAGCCGUUGAUCUCAGAUUGAAUGGCACAGAUUAGAGCUGGGGGAGAGGGGAAGCAGCUGUCGGCCGAAACAGGGGAGACACCCAGCGGAGCCAUGGCCUGGGUCAAGCUUACCUCGCUGGAGUAGAUGGAGAGGGCACUAGAACGCUCGGUUUUCAAUGGGGAAAGUACUGGGAGAAAGACAGGAUCGAGACGAACUCACCUAGGGCCUCUUCGCGAUCAGGGAUGGCUCGGAGAAGGCCAGCGUCGAGAGAUGGCGGGCAAAGGCUUCUACAAGAGUUCGGCAACAUGGACUGAGCAAACAGAAACUAAAAACAACGGGAAAAGAGGUGCAGGGACUUCACAAAUCCGUUAUGAAGCCCGACAUCAAGCUUACGGAAGCACAAACGUGGUGGAAGCGUUGAUCCGUGUUCGGCGUCAAUCUAUGGAGUGGCGGCGGCGCUUGCAAGCUGGGCUAGGGAAAACCGACGCUAAGGGAGGUGAAAAGGAGGUCGAGGAAAGGCGUUGGAGGCUUUAUAGGAGCAUAGGCGUGGGGAACAAGCCGAAACGUGAGAGAAUCGGAUCACCGGGACGGAUUCCUUUCCUGGGGAGAGUCCGGUCUCCAUACUGUUGGGAGGAAGAAGAUGGGCGAUGCCCGGUGGGUCCUACCCAUGAGCGAGGGAAGGAGGGGGAAAGGCGGGUGCGUAGCCAGGCUUGUGCUGGGCCGUGGCUCUGUUGCUGGGCUUCGGCCGGGGAGCUGGGAAAAGUGGGGGCUGGGCCGCGCGAGGGGAGAGGGAAACAGGCCGCGGGGGGGAAGGCCAGGGGGCUGGGCCGAGCUGGGGUUUGUCUUUCUCCCGCUUUUUUUGUUUUUCUUUUCUUUUCCAAAACCUUUUUCCAAUUAGGCUUUUGAGCAAAACAAGUAAAGAUAAAAACAGAAACAAUAGUCACAAAAUUUCUAUACCCCAGCAUGAAUGCAAAAACAUGUUUCUAAAACUUAUGAUAAAUUUUAUUUUUCACCAAAAAUUAUUUAUUCACUAAAUUAAAUGCUCACAAAAUACUUUAAAUAAAUCCAAUUAAACCCUAUUAAUUGAAAUCCAAUUUUUGGGUGUUACAAAAUAUGUGUGUGCUAAUGAUAUUUUGUGGCUUAUGUGUGUCACCAGUUCAUUCUAAGACUGCUGCUAGGAGGGCUGCUGGCCGGCUUCCUGGUGCUGGGGGUGCCUAUGGGUGUGUUUGUUUAUUUCCUACAUAAGCCUGGCUAGCAAAACUAAGCCUGGCUAACUCUAGCCUGUCUAUAGCAAGACAAAACCUGUUUGUUUGGUUGUGUGUGUUGUUGAGUCUGGCUAGGAUAAGUUUGUGUUUGGUUGGUUGGCUUAGUUUGUAUACAGUCACCUCUUCUUUGAGCUGGUAAGUUUACCUUCUCUGAGGCAUUUUGUAGAACAGCUGGUGGGCAUGUUCUUGGGCUCCCUGUAGCCACCACUACAAACGGUCGCAUCAAAGAGCUGGCUCACCCUUCCACUGUCCACUCCGACUGCACGCUCCGCGACACGAUGGCCGUGCUCCGCCUCGCCUCCUUCACCCUCUGCGCCACCACCGCCGCGGCUUCCGCCUCCUCCACCUCCUCCGACAUCGCCAUGGGGACCUCAUCAGGCCCCACAUCGAGGCAGCGAGGGAGAGCUAUGCAUCCGCGCUGUCGGACGCCGCGGCGGAGAGCUACGCAUCCGCGCUGACGACCGGAGAAGCUGCAGAAGAUCUACCACCUCGCGUGCCCCAUGUCGCCCGUGCAAGGAGAAGCUGACGGCCGGAUCUACCACCUUGCGGGCCGCACGUCACCCGUGCAAGGAGAUGAGGAGCUCGCCAGGGCAAAACAAGGAAGGCGGCGUCAGGAGGCGAGGCACUGGGGACAGAGCGAGGAAGGCGGUGUGCGGAGCGGUGACAAGAACUGGCCAGACGGCUGGCCAGGGAAGUAGCUAGACAAUGGUACAGUCAGAAGGUAAGUCAACAACGAGGUGAAUGGGGAGUUUUACGAGCCAACUUUUGUCUAGAUUUUUAUUCCCUCGACCGUAUCGGCGACCUUAGACUCGAAGUCCUAUCUUUUAAACAAAAAGAUAAUGAAACUUUGGGAAAAUCCUGGAAACAUUUUUCUGAUCUUUUAGAAUAUGGUCCAAACCUUAAUCUUGAAAACCCUGUUCUUUUAUUUCACUUUUUCAAGGUCUUCAGAAAGAUCAUAAACAAAUGCUACAUACAAUGUCUAGAGGUUCUUUCUUCCGCAUCCCUACUGAUGAAGCUAGAGUGAUCUUAGAUAGAAUCCUAGAAGCUGAGAUGGAUAAUACCCUUCAUGAUGAAACCUACGAAGCCGAAGUAGACACUCUGCCAAAUUCUUCAUCUACUUUAGCUAUCCCAAGUUCUGAGCCACAAAAGGAAGAAAUUCCACCACCGGACUUCAUGCUGGAUAUAGAAUCUGAUCUUUUUGCUGAUUUUGGAAACAUUUCAAACUACCAUUCUAUUGACAAACCCCAAAACAGCCAGUUUAGCAUUUAUUUGCCAAGUGAAUAUCAAUUAAGAGAGCUUAUCUCAGUCAUGAGUAGCGAGUGGUUGGAGGAAUCAGAGCUUUCCUCUGAUGUAAUCCGUUUUGACACACUCUCUAUAACUAUACACUGUGCUUAUAAUUCUGAUUGAUUUGAUGCUCUCUAUAAUCCUAUUGUGGGGAUCAACAUCAUGUCUGAAUCUUUUGCACUUAAACUAUUUAAAAACUUGUUCUUAACCCCCACAACAAAGGUCUUAAAGGAAUCUUCGGGACGAUUAGUCCCCAGUCUUGGAAUUAUUAAUGUCCUACAUCUUACAGUAGAAGGCUGCAUGUUUCAUUUGAACUUCUAUAUCUUUGAUACAUGGGACUUUGACCUAUUGAUAGGGCAACCUUUUAGAAGACUCCUUUAUGAAGGUCAUACUGGAAAGCUACACAUUUCUUUUGGAAAAGCCUUUAAAUUUCCAAUAACAGUUUCACACACCUUAAACAAUAAGGCCGAGUCAUAUCUUUUGCCUGAUCCUAUGGAGGAGGUAAAGGCUGCAUCUCUAGAACUUUUAGAUGAAUCAGACUUAGAAGACGAAACUCCUUUCUUCACAGAAGAAGAAGCUAAACCUUCUGAACCUGAACCCUUGGAUGAGUUUGUAGAAACACCUAGACCCCCCAUAGAGCUUAAAACUUUAUCACCCGGUCUUACCUAUGCUUUCCUAAACAAUAAUGACCAUUCUUGAGAAACUCACUCAGGAGCAAACUCUGCGAUUAAUGACCAUUCUUGAGAAACAUCACUCAGAUUUUGGCUACUCACUCCAAGAUCUUACAGGAAUCAGUCCUAUGAUUUGUACCCAUCGUAUUCCGACAUAUCCUUUUGUUUCAGCUUCUUGAGAACCCCAACGUAGACUUAACAACACUAUGAGAGAGGUAGUUAAAAAGGAAGUUAUAAAGUUGCUGCAUGUAGGGAUUAUAUAUCCUGUGCCGCAAAGUGAGUGGGUGAGCCCAGUUCAAGUUGUGCCUAAAAAGGAGGCAUGACUGUUAUUAUGAAUGAAAAGAACGAGCUAAUUCUGCAACGCACCGUCAUAGGAUGGCGGAUGUGCAUAGACUAUAGAAAACUAAACAAAGCCAUGAGAAAGGAUCAUUUUCCUUUACCUUUCAUAGAUGAGAUGCUAGAGCGAUUAGCGAACCAUUCGUUCUUCUGUUUCUUAGAUGGAUAUUCAGGGUAUCACCACAUCCCAAUCCAUCCUGAUGAUCAAAGCAAAACCACUUUUACAAGCCCAUAUGGAACUUAUGCUUACCGUAGAAUGUCUUUUGGAUUAUGUAAUGCACCAGCUUCUUUUUAAAGAUGCAUGAUGUCUAUAUUUUCUGAUAUGAUUGAAGAGAUUAUGGAAGUUUUCAUGGAUGAUUUCUCUGUUUAUGGAAAAACUUUUGAUAGUUGUCUUAAAAACUUAGACAAGGUAUUGCAAAGAUGUGCAGAAAAGGACUUAAUCCUUAAUUGGGAAAAAUGUCAAUUCAUGGUUAGGGAAGGAAUAGUGCUAGGACACCUAGUGUCUGAAAGAGGUAUUGAGGUAGACAAAGCUAAAAUUGAAGUAAUUGAACAACUACCUCCACCGGUGAAUAUAAAAAGAAUUCGAAGCUUUCUUGGCCAUGCUGGUUUUUAUCGCAGAUUUAUAAAAGAUUUUUCAUUUAUUGCUAGACCACUUACUCUUUUGCUAGCCAAGGAUGCUCCUUUCGAAUUUGAUGAUGCAUGUCUAACAUAUUUCAAUCGAUUAAAGAAAGCACUCAUCUCUGCACCAAUUAUUCAACCUCCUGAUUGGUCGUUGCCUUUUGAAAUUAUGUGUGAUGCUAGUGAUUAUGCUGUGGGGGCAGUUUUGGGACAAACUAAAGAUAAGAAGCAUCAUGCAAUUGCUUAUGCCAGUAAAACUUUGACAGGAGCUCAACUUAACUAUGCAACCACUGAAAAAGAGCUUCUAGCUGUUGUCUUUGCCAUUGACAAAUUUAGAUCUUAUUUAGUUGGAGCUAAAAUAAUUGUUUACACUGAUCAUGCUGCAUUAAAAUAUUUGCUCACUAUAAAAGAUGCUAAACCUCACCUGAUUAGAUGGAUCUUAUUACUUCAAGAAUUUAACUUAGAAAUAAAAGAUAAAAAGGGAGUAGAAAAUUCUGUUGCUGAUCACUUGUCUAGAAUGUAUUUUAAGAAUCCACAGGAAACCCCCAUCAAUGAUUCACUCCGGGACGACAUGUUCUACCGGAUUAACAGGUCUGACCCCUGGUAUGCAGAUAUUGUUAAUUUUAUGGUUUUAGGGUAUGUACCACCAGGAGCAAACAAGAAGAAGCUUAUUCAAGAAAGUCGUUCACAUAUAUGGGAUGAGCCAUACCUCUUCCAAGUAUGCUCUGAUGGCUUACUCAGGAGAUGUGUGACCACUGAGGAAGGAUGGAAGAUCAUCGACAGAUGUCAUUCAUCACCAUAUGGAGGUCAUUAUGGAGCAUUCCAUACACAUUCAAAGAUCUGGCAGUGUGGAUUCUACUGGCCUACAAUGUAUGAAGACACAAAGCAAUAUAUCAGAAGAUGUGGGCCAUGUCAAAGGCACGGAAACAUAAACACAAGGGAUGCCAUGCCACUCACCAACAACCUUCAGAUUGAGCUCUUUGAUGUAUGGGGAAUAGACUAUAUGGGUCCAUUUCCUCCAUCAAAGAAGUGUGAAUACAUCUUGGUGGCAGUUGACUAUGUCUCCAAGUGGGUAGAGGCACUACCUUGCAAGCAUGCCGACAACAUCAGUUCAAAGAGGAUGUUUGAAGAAAUUAUAUUUCCAAGAUUUGUAGUCCCCAGAGUAGUGAUAAGUGAUGGAGGAGCACACUUCAUCGACAAACGCUUCAAGCAAUAUCUAUCAAAACACGGAAUCCGUCACAACAUCGCUACUCCCUAUCAUCCUCAGACAAGUGGCCAAGCAGAGACUUCCAAUAAGCAAAUCAAGAAUAUUCUUCAGAAGACAGUGAAUGAAAUGGGAACGGUAUGGAAAGACAAGUUACCCGAUGCACGCUGGGCAUACCGGACAGCAUACAAGACCCCAAUUGGAAUGUCUCCAUACCAAUUGGUGUACGGGAAGACUUGCCACCUACCUGUUGAACUAGAGUUCAAAGCACACUGGGCCAUAAAGAGAUGGAACAUGGACCUAGAUGUUGCUGGAGAUCAUAGAAGAAUGCAACUAUCAUAAUUGGAAGAAUGGCAAGAGAAAGCAUAUCACAAUUCGAAGAUCUACAAAGAAAGAGUCAAAAGGUGGCAUGACAAGAGAAUCAAGAAGAAGGAGUUCACACCUAGAGAUAAGUGUUGACAUUUGCUAACACCACUUGAAUACUAGGUUGUCAUCCCCAGCAUGGCACUAGAGUGUACUAUGGUAUUUAUACGCACACAGAUAAUCCGCAAGCGCACGGAUACCGUUGAAGCUUUUACCCGGUUAAAGGUUUUAUCAUAUCCACAGGGAAACGGGAGAACUAAUCUACACUCUAACUUAACCAAGAUAAGUAAAUAAGUGUAAAUAGGAAAGAUGGUAGAAUCGAAUAAGAACAAUAUUAAAGGUAAGAUAACAGUGAGUGAUAAUAUGGGAAUAGAGAAUAGAGCAAUUCUAGUAUAUGGGCGAUGGUAGCAGAAUAGAGAGGGUAACUAUGGUUUCUCUACUUCAAAGGGGUAUGUCUAUGUCUGGGACGAACCACGUGAUAAGAGUACACCACAAAGGAUGCUUAUCCUUAGGCCGAUAAACCCUACCCAUCCUGCUAACGAGAGGUGGACUACAGAGGACCAACGUAACUGUCACCUACGCGGCCUACCACACGAUCCAGCUAGACAGGGGAUAUCCACAAGUAAUCUAGGUCUAAGCACCACGCUUACACCUAUACUACAACUCUCACCUAUAGCGUCCUAUAGAUUAGAAUACUCAAAAGAGUUGUGAACCAGAACAUACAUAAUUAGUAAUUGCAUAAUGAAUUAGAUGUAGAUUACCAGAGUCAUUCCAUGAGCAAGCUUGAUUAGAGCUUGAUCAUGACGAAGUACAACCGGAGGAAGAACCGACAGGCCGGCCUCUCCUCUAAUCCUCCUUCGCUCUCCAUCUUGCUACUAUGUAGAUCUACUCUAGUUUAGAGAAGAGAGGAGAGCUCUCAUCUCUAAACCCUAGCUUUUGCUCUGUCGAUGAAUAAUGAAUAAUGAUCAAGGGGUGCCUCCUCCAGGGGCCAGCGGGUCUGGUUAUAUAGUCCCCUCAAGUAAACCUGGGCCGUCAGAUCAAACUGACAUUGAUCGUGUGGUUUUCCUUGAAGUAUUAGGUCGGUGGAGCAUGAUCCGCGAAGUUGAAGCUGAUUGGUUACUGUAGCUGGGCGGGGACCCAAGGGACUUGGGCGGGCGCCCUGCCCCCAGGCCCGAUCGGCCUCCCGUUCGUUCCCGUGGCUUCUAGAGUCUUCUAGAUGGUAGAAAAUUGCGCGACACGUUAAUAUCUCUAUGUAAACCCGACGUGUAGGCCUUUCUUUCAUAUUUCUUGAUAACCCCCUGCAAAAAUAGACAAACACCAAAACUCGUGGAAUUCUGUCAGAUAAAACCCUAAGUCUAGAUGUUGAUUUCAUUUAGAUCCUUUUCUUUGUUUAUUUGAUAAUUAAAUUUGAUACUUAAGGACCGUCAACAAACUCCCCCAAGCUUACCUCUUGCUCGUCCCUGAGCAAGGAUAGACUCAGCAAUGGAUCAGAAGUUGUUGCAAUAUCUUAAAAAUUUGACGGUACACAUGGUUUUAAAUAAGAUCUCAUCUCUCAGUUAGAGUAAACUGUCAAGAACUAAAACUUACUUACUUUACCUUUCACCAUGGGACUUGUAACCGUCACUUCUGUCUUGAGUAGUUAAAAGAUAGAACAGUCUAGCCAAGUGCCAUGUCUCUUAUUCUUGAUCAGCUAUAGCUCUGGAGUUUUUGCAGAUUUUCAAAUAAAACUCAGAGAUUCCUCAUAUGACUCUCUAAAUCUCUCUUUUGUGCUAUUUCUGGAUCCUUACCAAGGCAGUGAUGGUAUAUGCCUUCUCUCAAGAUAUGUGGUAUUUGUGGUAUAAGGCAUAGUGACAUUGCCUUCUCUCUCACCCUACUCUAAUAAGGCUUUAAUAUCUGGAGCUCAUAGGUGGGAGAUCAAGUAUACAUACUUAUAAGACAUUUAUUGCAUAGUCAAACCAUGGAUCUAGAGAAACAAGUCAAUAAGUCAAAUCAAGAUGUGCAUGUGUGGCGAAUGAAUGGUGUAUGGUGAUGAUGGUGAUAACAAUGGUGAAAGUCUAAUUCUACUUUUGCUCUUUUGAGGGGAUACAAACCUUCCUUGCCUUUUGAAACUUUAUGAGGAGAAUGAGAUGCUCUUCUUUUUCUUUCCUCUCAGGUGGGUAUCUUGUACCCCUAAUUCUACUGUCGGACACUUGUCCAUUUUUACCUCUCGUCUGACACUUUUUCUUUUCUUUCGAGGUUCCGCGCACUUGCCCCUUUUUAUUUCCUCGUUUAUUAUUUUUUUUAGAGCACUCAUCUCUUGAGAUAAUAUAGCAAGUGGUAGUAGCAAGAUAACUUGGGCAUUUAUUUCACAAGGGAAAAUAGAAAUAUUUUUGGCUAUUCUCUCCCGGAUUAGGAGUAGAAUAUUUUUGGGUGGUUCUGGAAAUGGAUGUGGAUGGUACUUCCGGAUUAGAAGUAGCAUAUAUGAGUGAACGUGCAAGUGAAACUUGAUUUAACCACAUGACAAGCUCCUAAGGGUCUACACAGCUUGACCACACUCAAUGCUCAUAAGCCGUAAAUAAUAAAUGUGUGGCUCAAAGUCUAGCAAGCAUGUAUAUAUGGCUGUGGUAAGAAUUUAAACUCUCAUCAUACAGGAACUCAUCAUGCAAUAUUUUAAAGAUUUUUCAAAGAUAAAAUUCUCCAGAAUUCUAGCAUCUCAAGGAACAGAUAAACAGCAGCUCAACCUUCCCAUAUCAUAUCCGUUAACAACUUAGAUUUCAGAUCAAGUUUUCAUCCCACAAGUUUAGAUCUAGAGCAAGCUUUAAAUUAUAAC
RNAcentral lists this long non-coding RNA (101588 nucleotides) under Sorghum bicolor (sorghum). RNAcentral describes it as "long non-coding RNA (SBIC_LNC008510)". The stretch from base 65497 to 65603 matches the Rfam family "Plant small nucleolar RNA R71". The record is from RNAcentral. Lineage: Eukaryota; Viridiplantae; Streptophyta; Magnoliopsida; Poales; Poaceae.